RNAcentral lists this long non-coding RNA (90697 nucleotides) under Citrus maxima (pomelo). RNAcentral's name for it is "long non-coding RNA (CMAX_LNC000888)". The stretch from base 67083 to 67186 matches the Rfam family "Plant small nucleolar RNA R71". Lineage: Eukaryota; Viridiplantae; Streptophyta; Magnoliopsida; Sapindales; Rutaceae. The record is from RNAcentral.
UAUAAUUCCACAUCAAUUGAUAUCUGGUUUUUCAAAGUUGGAGGUACUCAGGUUGCUUUCACGCGGUCGCUGGAGCGUAAUAGAAGGUAACGUUCUAUGUGAUGAUGCUGAACCUUUGAUGAAGGAAUUGCUGGGUUUGAAGCAUUUAAAUGUUUUAAGCUGGACCUUCCGAAGUUCACUUGCUGUCCAAAAGUUUUUGAAAUAUCCAAAGCUGGUGAGCAUCACUCAAUCUGUAAUGGUUUGCCAAUGUGAAAGUCCACCGUUCAAUGUCUUACAUCUAGCAUACAUGGAGAAUCUUCAGGAGUUACGCAUUUCAGACAGUAAUUUGGAAGAGAUGAAGACUGACAGCACAGAAGAGGUAAAGAAACUUUUUCAAAGUGGUUUCCGCAGUCUCGACAGAGUUGUCAUAUGGAGUUGCCAAAAAAUGAAAGACUUAACGUGGCUAGUUUUUGUUCAAAUUCUCAAGCAGCUGCGUAUAGUCUUUUGUACAGAAAUGGAAGAAAUAAUUAGUGUUGAUAAAUUGAGAGAUAUUUCGAAGAUAAUCGGGUCAGAGCAUAACUUUUUUGCACAACUCGAAUCUCUAACCAUAAAGUGGGGAAGAAAUUUAAAGAGCGUUUACCCGAAUCCCCUGCCCUUUCCAAAGCUGAAGAAAAUUGAAGUACGUGAAUGCCCACAGCUGAAGAAGCUCCCACUCAAUUCCAGCAGCGCGAAGGAACGUCGAGUUGUCAUCGAGGGGUCGAAAAAAUGGUGGGAAGAGCUACAAUGGGAGGACCAAGCCACCCAAAAUGCUUUCUCUUCCGGUGUCGUACUUGGGGAUGAUUUUCAUUAAUAUGUUUGAAUAUGUAUUUCUUUUCUUUUUCUUUUUUUUUUUAAUUUUCAUUAGAUUUAAUUGCAUCUUGUUGUUGUUGUCUGGUGUGUCAAUCGUUAUCUAUUUUCAGUUAAUAAAAUUUCAGCAGUGGAUUCUUGGUUUUAGAAUCCUCCCACUGGAAAGAAUUUCUCCUUUGGCUUGAAUGCGACCUUUUUACUCGUCGACAAAAUUGUAUUUGUCGCUUAAGUCUUGUUUGUUUUAAAAUGCUGGCAUAUUUAUAGAGUGGGAACUCAGAUGCUGAACUCAUAGUAAAUAUUUAUUUAAUUUGUUAUAAUUAUAUUUGGUGAGAUAUUUAUUCAAUAAUUGCCCUAUCACUUUGUGCAUGAUCACAGAAUUUUGUACUUCCGUCUGUGAAAUAACUUUUGGAAAAGGAAAUUAAUUUUUUUAAGUAACGGUAAAUAUUUUAAAUUUUUAUUUUAAAUUUUAUUUUAAAUAAUAUAGUAUGUAAUGUGUCAUUUAUUUAGUGAUUGAUAAUUUAAUAUAGGAUUUAAAUAAAUUAAUUAUGCUAUUUUAUUAUUUAAUUAAUAAAUAUUAUAUAAUUUAAAAUAGAUUUUUGAGAUAAAAAUUAUAAAAGUAAAAUUCUACUCAACAGACUAAAUUUAAAAUGAUGUGAUUGGCAGGUAAGACUUAAGAAUUAGACAAAAUUUCUCAUUCAACAGCUUGUAGAAAAUUUAUACACUAGGCCUUAGCUAAACUUGGACUUGUCGUAUGUUUGAAGUAUUCGACGAUAAUCAUAUCUGCAUUUUGUGAAAUAAUUAAGAUUUUUUAUUUUUGGUUUGUUUAGGGCUUUUCAUCGGUCUUCGUCUUGGUCUUUGUCCUGGUCUUGGCGUCUUGCUAUCAAAUCAAGUGUUCUCUUCUCCCAUCCUCUAAUGAAAGUGCAGGGCCUCAAUUAUUUGUGCUGAGCUGUUUGUUACUGCUAUCACUUUAGAGGUUGAUGCUAAUGUCCAAAGGUCACAUUUAAUUUGCUUGAAUGCGACCUUUAUUUUGGUUGACAAAGAUUAUUUGGUUGCAAAGAUUAUAAUUAACAACAAGCUAAUAUCUAUAUAGUAGAGAGAGAAAUAACAAAUUCAAUGUUGGUAAAAUUUUAUCUUCCCUUCACUGCUCUCCUUUGCUGCAAUCAAGCUACAGUUGUAAAGUGUUUGAUAAACACUAAUUGUUGUGUCUUGAAAGAUAUGUUGAUAUAAUUUUUCACUUGUAUAAUAGAGAAUCUAUUAUGUUAUUAUUAAUAAUUUCGUCAAAAUUAUUAUUUAAAAUUUUAUAUUUAAUAAAUAUUAUUAACUUUUGUUUUAUAGUUACAAUUUUUUUUUUUUUUACAACAACUGUUGCUUAAAAAUUAUAACACUUCAAUUCCAAACAUACCUUAAGUCUAUAAGGCAUAAGUUUUCACUCUUCAGAAAGGUGUUUGAUGGAAAUGUAAAGAAGUUCGAUGAAAUGUCUCACCUACACAACCAAGCCACUUAACAUUGCAGUCUUAUAAUACGAAUUCCUGCCUUCUCUUCCAUUUUCACAAACAUAAUUCUUUCUUUCUCACUUUAUUUUCUUCCUUGAAAUUUUUGUUAACAAAAAUGGGUAACAUCAUUCUCAUGCGUGCUUCUUAUCACCAGACUCAAUUCUUGCAGUUUUAUUUUAUUUUAUUUUAUUUUUCCUUCGUGGAGAUGCUAAAAUAUAUAUGAGAUCUAAAAAGCUAAUCUUGAUGAGUUGCAGAAUCCAAUGCAGAAUUUGAAAGUUACAAAAGAUUAUAAAUACUAUUUUAACUUGUAAGCUUCCAUUGCUAUACAGUGAGGUAUGUCUAGAUAUCAUUUUGGUCUUUUAUAUAUUGGGUUCCAGUGAAAGACUUUUGUUCUAGUUGAAUUUAAUUUUGUCUUUGUAUUUACAGACAAACUAUUAGGGACAUUUAUCAUACAUAUUUGGCUAGUUCGCCGUGGAAAAAUAAUAAUAGUUGAAAAGACAUAGGGUACUUUUUAUUUUCCUUUAUAUUACUAAUAGAUUUCCCACGCGCAACAGACGAAGUCAUUGCUGCUUCAAUAAUUGCCCUAUCACUGUGUUCAUCAUCACAAAUUUCUUUAUUACGUUUGUGAAAUAACCUUAGCAUAACAAAAUUACUCCUCCUUUUUAACUAAUAAUAGAUAUCUCAAAUUUUAUUUUCAGAAUAUGGUAUGUAAUGUAAGUGAUUGAUAGUUCUUUAUAAAAUAUAUAAAUAAAUUAAUAGUGUUUUCUUAGUGUCUAAUAUAUAUAAAUCACUUGCUCCAUAUAUUGCACUAUUGAUAUGGGCUAAAGUUUUAUACUAUGAGACCCAAUUUCUAUAAUUUACACUAUAAGUUACAAGUAUUUAGGAAAAUACUAUUGCAAAUCAGAAGGUAUUAUCUAUUUUAUACCUAAAGCAUUUCACUAUUUAAGACUAGUAAAACUUCUAUAUUAUUAUAAUAUUUGAAUCAAACACCAAUAAGCGAGUAAAUCAGGUGGAAUGAGAAUGUUCUAACUUAACCAAGGUCCUCGGUUUGAAACUUAGAAAUGCAACUACAUUAAAUACUUAUUGGGAGAGAUUUGCCGCUUUAGUGGUCCUAUCCCGCUUGAAUCUAGAUUAGUCGGGGAUCUAAUGUGGUCUUUGGAUACUAGAUGAUUUAAAAUACCGAUAAUAUUGGAACCAAACUAAUUUACAAUUAUGAAGAUGUUAUAAUUUAAUAGAGGCAUAGUAACAAACUAUUAAUAGAGCGUAUAAAAUUUAAUGUAUAAACAAAAUUCUAUAAUUUACACUAUAAGUUGCAAGUAUUUAGGUCAAUACUAUUGCAAAUCAGAAGAUAUUAUCUAUUUUAUGCCGAAAAUAUUUCCACUAUUUAAGGAUAGUAAAACUUCUAUAUAAUUAUAAUAUUGGAACCAAACACCAACAAGCGAGUAAAUCAACUAGAAUGGAAAUGUUCUAACGUCAAGGUCCUCGGUUCAAAACUUAGAAAUGCAACUACAUUAAAUAUUUAUUGGGAGAGAUUUGCCGCUCUAGUAGUUCUAUCCGGGUCGAAUCUGGAUUAGUCGGGAAUCUAAUGUGGUCUUUGGAUACUAGAUGAUUUAAUGUACCAAUAAUAUUGGAACCAAACUAAUUUACAAUUAUGAGGAGGUUAUAAUUUAAUAGAGGCGUAGUAACAAACUAUUAAUAGAGUGUAUCAAAUUUAAUAUUGGAAUCCGAUGAUUGGUUGCAACAUAAGAUAUUUGUAAGCUUAGUUAAAGGUUCAUUAAAAAUUAUAGAGAUAUAUAAUUUCGCAGUCGAUGAAGCCGUGCAUGAGGUUAAGGCAAGUGAUGGAAUGACUUGCGUUACAAAAGAGGUAUGUGAAGUUGCACUAUAAAAAUAAAAUAAAUUUGUAUUUUCAAGUAGUGAAGGUGUAGUUAGUUUAUUUGCGGUAGCAGUUUCACAGCUGACAGAUGAACAAAGAGUGGUUGCUUGUCAAAUGGGCUUUGGUAGUUUGCGACAACUGAACCUUGGCAAGCUAAAAAGGAAACUUUGUGGCUAGUUAAUUGAGAUGAUUGAUACUUUGAGGUACAUUUUAGAGUUGAAUGGUAUUAGCUUUCAAACAAGAUCAUCAAAGAAACUCUACCAACUAGGAAAUUUAAACUUAAUCUAUGCUCCGCAAAUUCGAAUAUUCUCUAAUAUGAAACUACUUUUAUGUGUUUUAUUAUUCCUAGCUUUUACCGACUUGGUAACGUUGUUAUGGAAGCACGACAACUAUUAUGUCCGUGUAAUUUUUAUUGUAUCUUUUGUUAUGUCAUGAUAUCGAAGCUUAGUUUUAUGACUCUAACUACUAAGAACUGCAAUUGCAGCAUCUUUUGAAUAUUACAUAUGUGCUUGUAGUAUCUCGACGGAUUAAAACCUGCUAUUUAAGUUCUUCUACCCCCUCCCCCCCUUCAUUCUUUCAUUUAUACUUGCUGCACUAUUUACUUCGCACUCUGUAAAGCCAGAUGAAAGCUUGUUCAUUUAUGUUCACUUGCAAUUCAAAAGCACAGUUUAUUUCAACUGUCAAAUUGACAACUUGCACGUAUAGAUUUCAGUCGAAACAAGGUUAUUGGUCGAUCAAGAAAUUGAAUCCAUAUGGCCGUUCCAGCGUUAUUCAACUACCUAAUAUCAAAUAUAUAAAUUAAUUCAACCCACUUCUGUGUCAAAGGCAUGGAACAAAUUAUGAAAGAUUUUUCAGCUAUCAUAAAUUCGAACGAGUGUAGUUUGUAUCCUUUCGAACUUAGACAGAUUUUCCUUCCAUUAACCUUAUAGUGUUAGUAAUCCUAUUACUUGUUUUUAAAGCUUGAAUAGUAUACCGAAAUUUUUGGUUUUUGCAACAUAAACUUGUAUGUAAUGUACAUUUUAUAGUUCUUUACAAAUUAAUUGCUGCUAAAAUAAUUGUUUCGACUACUAUAUUUAUUGUUAUAAUAGAUAAACAUUUUCUUGCAACUCAAACAGUUCCAAUGGCAUGAUCUGCAUCCCCCGUUUGCCUCUUGGGCUACGAACCUGCUUAACAGCUGCACCAUCUUGCUCCUUUUCAUCAAACGGCAACUUCGCUGCAGACAAAAAGAGGGGGUACACUGCCCAGGGGCACCAUAAACGCAGCCCAAAAAGAUGAUUUUGUCUUUCCAUGUCUUAGUAUUUUAACCAAAAAUAAUAAUAAUAAUUCUUUACAUCAUCAAUGAUUGCACUUGUAAGCCAGGCAAUAGUUUUUUUAUUAAAUAAAAAAUUAAUGUUAAAUUUUUUUUUUUUUUUUUUUUUUUUUUAUCUAGCUAUCAUUGACUUAAUAUUUUGAAUCUUCAUCCAAAGUUAAGGCACAAAACUUUUAUUCUAAAUAAAUAUUCUCAAUAUAAAUUUAUCACUUAAAUAAUAAAUAAUAAGAUUUAACAUUAAUUCUGUCGUUACUGAAAUGAAUUGUAAAUUUUAUAUGACGUGUAAACGUAUCAUUAUGUUCUUGAUAUUUGACAUAUGAAUUAUAAAGCAACAAAUGUAUCAUAUUUUUAUUUCGGUAUUGUGCUUCUCCAUAUUUGCUUAAUUCUUUUCGUUGUACUCAUUGCUUCUCUUCCUCUUUUCGUCAACGACAAUGGGUAACCUAAUCUCAACCUUCUUACCAGCAGACUUAUUUGAUCGAAUUUCAAACUGCGUUGGUGAACAAGCAAAAUAUGUAUGGGGUCUCGAAAAAAAUCUUCGGAUCUUGGAGACUGAAUUGCACAAAUUGACUCGAGCAAGGGCCGAUCUGAAGACCAGGGUUGAGGUCGAACAACAACGACCUCGAACCAGACGAACGAACCAGGUCGCAGGGUGGCUUGAAGAUGUGCAAAAUCUGGAAACUGAAUUUGCCGAGCUGGAACGAGUCAGAGCUCAAGAAAUGGAUAGAUUGUGCCUUGGAGGCCUCUGUUCCAAAAACUUCGUUUUAAGCUACAAUUACGGGACUAAGGUGGUCGAGUUGACGGAUCGAGUGAUCAAUUUAAAGAAAGACGGAGAAAAAAUUGAAGUCGUUGUUGAGAAGGCGCCGGAUGGUGCAGCAAUUGAAUUACCUCUUGAUCACACAGUUGUUGGUCAAGAACUAUUACUUGGUCAAGUUUGGAGAUGUAUCACUGAUCAGGAAAAUAACAGGGGAAUUAUCGGCUUGUAUGGUAUAGGGGGAGUCGGCAAAACUACCCUUUUAAAACAAGUCAACAACAACUUCUGCCAUCAACAGCAUAAUUUUGAUGUUGUUAUCUGGGCGGCUGUGUCAACACUUCAAGAUGACAUUGGAAAAAGGAUUGGCUUUUCAGAAGACAGAAACUGGAAGGAAAAAAGUCUUCAAGACAAGGCUGUGGACAUCGCUAGCAUUCUAAGCGGAAAGAAGUUUGUGUUGUUAUUAGAUGAUAUAUGGGAGCCCAUUGAUUUAACACAGCUGGGUGUCCCUCUUCAAAAUCUAAAUGAUGGGUCCAAAAUAGUCUUGACAACUCGUUCAGCUGGGGUUUGCGAUCAAAUGGACGCUGAAAAGGUGGAAGUGUCUAGUUUGGCACAUGAUGAAGCCUGGAAAUUAUUUCAGGAGAUGAUCGAAAGAUCCACUCUUGACAGUCAUACCAGUAUUCCAGGGCUAGCCGAAACCCUGGCAAGAGAGUGUGGUGGGUUGCCGCUAGCGCUUAAAACAGUGGGUCGAGCCAUGAAAAGCCAAAGGAAAGUUGGAGAUUGGAAACGUGCAAUUCACAAAAUGACAACAUCAGCUUCUAAAUUCUCAGGUAUGAAAGAAGAGGUGUUUUCGCGUUUAAAGUUCAGCUAUGAUAGUUUGUCUACGGACGAACUUCGUUCCUGUCUCCUGUAUUGUUGUUUAUAUCCUGAAGACUACGAAAUUCCUAAAAGGGAAUUGAUUGAUUACUGGAUUAGUGAAGGAUUUGUGUAUGAUUUUGAUGAUGGAUGCGAUUUUAUUGAUGACCUUCUUCAAGCAUGCUUAUUGGAGGAAGAAGGCGAUGAUCAUGUAAAGAUGCACGAUAUGAUUCGUGAGAUGUCAUUAUGGAUAGCGUGCACGGUAGACAAGGAGGAGCAGAGCUUUUUGGUUCGCGCUGGAGUUAAAUUGACCGAAGCACCAAAGGUUGAAGAAUGGGAAGGUGCCAAACGGGUAUCUCUGAUGGCAACUGGAAUUGAAUGCCUAUCGGAAAUUCCCACGUGUCGACGUCUGAUAACUUUACUUCUGGAUGAAAAUCGGAUUGAGGAGAUUACUGAUGGCUUCUUUCAAUCUAUGUCGACUCUUAGAGUAUUAAGUCUACGAAGAAAUACUUCCCUAAGUAAACUACCUUCGGGGAUUUCAAGUUUGGUUUCAUUGCAUCAUCUUGAUCUAUCAUGGACUGAGAUAACUGGGUUGCCGCAAGAGCUGAAGGCGUUGGAGAAGUUGAGAUAUUUGAACUUGGAGAAUGUAUUUGAGUUGUCUGUAAUUCCACAUCAAUUGAUAUCUGGCUUUUCAAAGUUGGAGGUACUCAGGUUGUUUGGGUCCGUUGGUAGGGGUGUAACAGAAGAAGAAGAAGAAGGUAACGUUCUAUGUGAUGAUGCUGAACCUUUGAUGAAGGAAUUGCUGGGUUUGAAGCAUUUAAAUGUUUUAAGCUGGUCCUUCCGAAGUUCACUUGCUGUCCAAAAGUUUUUGAAAUAUCCAAAGCUGGUUAGCAUCACUCAAUCUGUAUGGGUUGAAUGUGGCAUGUAUACAAGGCCACCGUUCAAUGUCUUACAUCUAGCAUAUAUGGAGAAUCUUCAGGAGUUGCGUCUUUCUCAGAGUGAUUUGGAGGAGAUGAAGAUUGACAGCACAGAAGAGGUGAAGAAGCUUUUUCAAAGUGGUUUCCGCAGUCUCAACACAGUUGAUGUAUUUUAUUGCCAAAAAGCGAAGGACUUAACGUGGCUUGUUUUUGUUCAAAACCUCAAGGAGCUAUUUAUACAGUUUUGUAUUGAUGUGGAAGAAAUAAUCAGCGUUGAUAAAUUGGGAUAUAUUUCAGAGAUAAUCGGGUCAGAGCAUAACUUUUUCGCACAACUCGAAUCUCUAACCAUAUGGAUGGGAAUAAAUUUAAAGAGCGUUUACCCGAAUCCCCUGCCCUUUCCAAAGCUGAAGAAAAUUGAAGUACGUGUAUGCCCACAGCUGAAGAAGCUCCCACUCAAUUCCAGCAGCGCGAAGGAACGUCGAGUUGUCAUCCGGGGAGAGAAAGAAUGGUGGGAAGAGCUACAAUGGGAGGAUCAAGCCACCCAAAAUGCUUUCUCUUCCGGUGUCAUACUUACUGAGGAUCCUGUUUAUUAAUAUGUUUGAAUAUGUAUUUCUUUUUUUUUUUUUUUAAUUUUCAUUAGAUUUAAUUGCAUCUUGUUCUUGUUGUCUGGUGUGUCAAUCGUUCCCUACUUUCAGUUAAUAAAAUUUCAGCAGUGGAUUCUUGGUUUAUUAAUGUUUAUAUAACUGAAUUGUUCAGCAGAUGUACUCUGCAUAUGUACUCUGCACAACUAACACAGAAAUAAAUAUAUGUAAGGGGGUACAGGACUGACUCUGCUUCUGGCUUCUAAGGAGAAAGAGGGGAAAAUAAACAUUUUAUCUUCCCUUAACUGCUCUCCUUUGGUUUGAAAUAUGUGACCUUUAUACUCGUCGAUAAAAUUGUAUUUGUCGCUUUAAGUCUUGUUUGUUUUAAAUCCUAGCAUAUGUAAUUAUGUAUGGAGUGGGAACUGAGAUGAUGAUGAAAGAUAAGUAAACAUUAAUUGAAUCUGUUAUAAUUUUAAUAUUAAUUUAACAAGAAAGUGAUAUUAAUUUGCCUGGCCCAUAUGAAAAACAAUUAUAAUUAAAGCUUUUUCUUUUUCUUUAAUUAGUAAUAGAUUUCGGAUAUAAAGCAGACAAAUUUAAUUUCUGCUUCAAUAACUACCCUAUCACUGUGUGCGUGAUCACAUAAUUUUGGACUACCGCUUGUGGAAUAACUUUAGAAAAAGAAAAUUAAUUUUUUUAAGUAACGAUAAAUAUUUUAAAUUUUAUUUUAACUAAAUUUGAAAUGAUGUGAUUGGCAGGUAAGACUUAAGAAUUAGACAAAUUUUCUCAUUCCACAGCUUGUAGAAAAUUGAUACCCCAGGCCUUAUCUAAACUUGGACUUAUCGCCUGCGGUAAAGCAUGAGUCAUGUUUCCAUGUAUGUUUGAAAUAUUGGACGAUAAUCACAACGGCAUUUUGUGAAAUAAUUAAAGUUUUUUUUUCUUCUCCUAUCUUCCAAUGAAAGUGCAGGACCUCAAUUAUUUUAAUAGAGAUGUAGUAAUAAAUUAUUAAUGAAACAUAUCAAAUCCAAUGUAUAGAUAAUAAUAAAAUAAAUAUACAUGGUUUCAAAAAAGCUAGUACAUGUUUCUAUAUAAAAAAAAUUAUCUUAAAAGUUUUUGAACUUUUGUGUUCUCUUUAAUAUUUUUCUCUUAUUUUGUUAUCGUAAUAUAUGGGUACAAGUUCACUUAAUGUAACAUAACAUACUUUUUUUGCUACACACACACACACACACACACACACAAUGUCAUAAUUAUUUUUUUUUAAAAAAAUCAAAUGCCACAACUUAUAUCUUAAUUACCUAAGCCCUAAAGUAACAACAAAAUGAAAGGAGUGGGCCUUUUGACACCCCCUCUAAGAUCCUCCUUUAAAUUCCUUAUAACUCUUUAAUUAAAAUUACUUAAAUAAUUAAAGAUAAAUUAAUUCCAUUUUUAUUUUAGUUGAAAAUUUAAUUAAUACUUAAAUAAAAUUAUUCUUUUAACAUUUUUUCCACCCACCUCAUUUCAUAUAUAUAUAAUUUUUAGAAACUUUUAAUAAUUUAUAAUUCUUUUAAGGUGAAAUUUAAUGAGAAGAUUAUUAAUUUUAAUUUAUAGAUUAGUAUUUUAUAAAUUAAACCAAGGUACUUUGAUAAAUAAAAAUUAAAACAAGUUUUAUAAGGAUUUUGGAGUGUAGGAAUUCAGAAUAUAGAUUUUCAUGUGGACGUUGAAUAUGCUGAAGCUGAAGCUAUGAAUUUUAGAAUAAAAAUGGCAAUAGACUUUGGUUUAACGCCAUUAAUUGUUGAAUCAGUUUCGAAGACUAUUUUAAACUUGGCGAAAGGUUUUGAAAGAAGUAUGAAAGAAAUAUCAUGGUUAAUUUUCGAGAUUCGAAAUUGUAUGGUUGUGAAAGACUACUUCAAAAUCAAUCUUAUAUUGAGAAAUAGUAGUGAGACCACUCAUAAAUUAGAUAAAUAUGAUGUUAACAAUUCGGGCUGUGUAAUUUGGUUGGAGGAAAUUUCAACUCAUGUAAGUCUUUUUCCUUUCAGUGAUUAAUUGAAGCUUUCCAUUUCCAAAGAGAGAUAGAGAGAGAGAGAGCUCAACUCAAAUGAAAGUAUGAAACAAAGAGUAAAUCCUGAUAGCAGAAAAAUGAGCCAUGAGUAGAAUUAUUCGCACCUUUGAAAGCCCUCAUAAAAGUCUUUAUUCAAUAUGUCCUGCUAAAUCAUUCAAAAAAUAAUAUUAUUUCUAAGGGCAGAGCUAUUUGCACUCUAAAAAUUAUUGUCAACACUUUAUUAUUAUACACACUCAUUUAUUAAUUUGAAAAAAUGAAUUAUACUUUGUACACUCCUUAAAGUACUAAAAAUGUACUCAUUUAAUCCUUUUUAAAUUAAUUUACUCUAACACACUCAUGAAAACGCCUUACAUACUCAAAAAAUUUCUCUAAACACUCUUUUAUUAUUAAAAUUUAAUUAUUUGGUUGUAUAAUAUAUUUCUCCAAUAAACGAAGAAUGAUACAGGAGCAACUAAAAAAACCCAUCAAAAUAUUUCACCAAUGAAAAGAUCGUGAGAAAUAAACAUUAUAAUCCGAACAAAUAAAUCAAUUAGCCAAUAUAUCAUUUAGCCAAAUCAAAGAUGUUGCUUGCGCUUCGUAGUUCUGAGCUUAGAAUCAAGUAGAGAAGUGAAGAUGAAAUUUUUAAUUGCUGAGAAUAUGAUUUUGAGGUUGAUGGAGGACUUGAAAGAGAGGGACAAGAAAGAAUGAUUCAGAGUAGGUGCUUGGCAAAAGGGACCCUUAUGACGAUAUUCUUCAGUACAGCUAUGAUGCCACUUCCACCUCCAAUUGAAUGCCAGAAAAUUCAGAGUUUGUCAAAAGAGGAUGGUAAAUUAAGUUGUUUUUUUUUUUUUUUUAAAUCUGGAUUUGGUUGAACAUUUUUAUGUCGCAAAAAUGUCUGCUGGGUUGUAAUGCCUCAGUUGCAGACUAGUUUGUAAGAGUCUGAAUAAUUGUCCAUGUUACUCUGGUAUUGUGGAAUGACAUGUAUUUUUUGGCCAAAAGAAAAAAUCAAGCAACCGAUGUAAACUUGUUUAAUAUCAUCGUAAUAUAACUGAAAAAGAAGUAAUUAUAGUCAUACAAAAAAAAUUAAUAACUGUCAUGUCCUUAAUAGUAAUUUAAACCAUAGAUAUUAUUGUAAUAAUUUUUUUAAUAAAAUUAAAAGUGUUUAGUGUAAUUUUUAGAGUGUACAUAACCUCACCCUAUUUCUAAACCCACGUAGGUUGAUUCCAAAAACACCCUUGGCUUGCACACCAACCGCAUUUUCACAUUUUCUUCGUCUUGCGGAACUUGAAACCCAAAUCUGAUGGCUUCAACUUUCGACUAAUCAUGAUCUCCACUAGAACUUAUAAUUUUAAAAGCUAUUUCCAUAAUAUUUUCAUUAGAAUUUCUUAUAACAACAUCCAACAUUGGUUAUUGAUAUUUUAAGGUUUCAUCUUAAAUAAUAUUAACAAAAUAAUUAAAUUUUUAUCAAAUUUUAAGGAAAUACAUUGUGCUUUGAUAAACAAGGAAUGUCAACUAAAUAUCGUCAAAAUAAAUAAUAAAUUUUUAAGUCGACUUUUGGUUUCACAUAAUUGUAAUUAUGGAGAUUAGUUAUUCGAAUAAAAUUUAAUUUUCUUUUGUUUAUUAUUGUAAAUUUCAAUAGGGACAAAUGCAUGAUUAUAAAAGAAGGGUUUGAGGUUUUUUAGGGGUACCAAUAGGACCACUCAUGAGCCAUAACAAAAAAUUAAGCCCAUGCGAGGCCCACCUAAUCCAUUUUUACAUUUAACCUGAAGAAUCAGACGACAAUAAACAAUAGACCUAAAUAAAAAGAUGAUAUAAAAGUAAGAAUAAUAUUAAGAUCCUAAUUUUUUAGUCUUAACUUCUUAAGUCUUAAAGUCACACGUUAUUCAUUUAUUAGACGAUAGAUUUCAUAACUUGUAAAAUUAUUUAACCACCAUCUAAUAAAUGAUUGUCAUAUCUUUUGAAACUUAAAUUUUGGAAUGCUUAGCAUUGAGCUGAAUCUAAAUUAUUUCAUUUUCCAUUAUUGUUAUUUUAUUUUAAUUUUUUUUUUCACAAUCGGAUUUUGCUUUGAGACAAUAGAAAGCCUUUUCGCUUUAAGCAUGUAUAGUAAUUUGAAAAAAAAAAACAUAUCCAUAAAUUAUCCAUGAGUUUCUGAGAACCAAUUAACUUCAAAAUCUCUUCCAGCGCUAGGAGGAACAUCGUCAAUAACUUUUUCAUGGCCUUUUGGGUAAUAAAUCCCAGUUCUUUCAUGAGGAACCCAACCACAAUUCCCUUCAUUUUCUCCCACAUUAUUAUUCAUCUGCUGGCUCCUCAUCACAUUUCCUUCUUCUGCAUUGGAUUUCAAUGUUGUUUCUCUCAUCAUAUCAUGAGAACUUGUUUUCUUUUGAAAGGAUUUCCUCAUCAUUGGCCUAUAUGUUUCAAAAAGACUCAACAAAUUAAUAAUGCAAAAACAAAGAGUAAAAUAUUCAAACACUCAAAUGAAUGAAAGUAAUCUCUUUUUAUUAUUGCGUGGACAGUGGCGAAAUCAGGAUUUUGGAUCGACAGAUGUCAUCAAUAAUAGAGAAACAACAAAUUUUAAGUAGGUUAUACCACAAGAAUAUAAACAUAUGGGGGCUACAAAAUAAAAUUAUCAGACACAGAGACAAAUUUAAUUGAAGACUUUCAUAUUUCUUGAUAAUUUUUUUUAACCUGAGGCCCCUGUGGAGACAUAUUGGUUCAGUUAAUAAAACAUUUAAUUCUAUGUACUUAACCAACCACUCAUAAUUAGUAAAUAAAUAAUUUGAAACUAUUAGGCCUAUUUCGAACGAACUGUUUCAUAACAAAAUUAAUUUAGAUAAAGUGAAAAGAUUUAUUUACAAACAUACCAUGCAAUAAUGAAGUGCGAUUGUCAAAAUGAAAUGAUGAAAUAGCAAAGUAGAUAGAUAAUGAAAGCAUUACUUGAAAAACAUGGAGUUAAAGGUGGGAGCUCCUCUAGCAAAUGAUACUGUCAUCUUUUUGUUCUUUUUUCUCUCACUUUCUCUCUUUCCAAACAAUGUGGGUGGAAUGAAUUGAAUUAUGAUUUUGAUAGAGAGCUCUUUAUAUAGUGAAGUUAAAUAAGAGAAUAUUGUUAUCCAUUUCUCUCAUCUCUAGGGAGAUCAUUUAUUGUUCCCGUGCACGUCAUUUUCUGUUUGGAUAAAUAUUAAAUUAUAAUACUCUUUCUUGAUCAUUGGGGAGCACUCAUUGCAGAGCAUGGCCUUCUUUUGUUCCCUUUUGUUUUGUUUUUGUUUUUUAGUCAUCUAAGUUAUGGGACAUGGCUUGCGGACUCAGCUUUUAAAAACUUUCCCUAGAUAAGUAGUUGAAUCUAGGGGAGGUACUUUUUAGUCAUAACGAGAUUACACGAUAUAAAAUGAGAUAUAGAGGCGGAUUCACCUCAUGAUUAGUGGGACACAGAGAAUAAUAAAAAAAAAUAUUUGAGUUAUUAAUUAAUUCUGUUGAAUAUAUUAAAAUAGGCAAGUUAAAUUUAUAAAAAUAGUCUCAUAAAUUUAAAAUUUAUAAAAUUUUAAUUUUGAGAAUUGCAAAAAACCACACUUUAAUUAAAAUAUAAAAGGUUAUGAGGUAACCCAUAUAGGUGGUUUACUAUUAUUUAAUUUAGUUUUUAUUAAAUCUAUAAAAAUGAUUUAUAUAAACUCAUCAAGCUAUAAAAUUUGAGUUUUCGCAUUGUGUUGUUAUAUAAUUUAGCCAUCGAUAAAUCAUUUUUAUGAAUCCACCACUGAUAACAUAAAUAUAAAAAAAUUAAGUGCUCGAUUUACCUCACGCAAAUAUGACAUAAUAUUUUCGUUAACUGUCAUAAGAAACUUAAAAAUGGUAGUCAAUUAAAUAAACUAUGACCAUUGACAAAAAAUUAAUGAAAUUGUAACAGAUAUACAAAAAGAUUUUAAAAUCAUUUUGCCCUUAAGUUGAUAUAAGAUGAGUCGUUAAUAAUUGCAUGUGCAAACAUCGUAUAUUCUUUAUAAUUAAUUGUGCAGAUUUUGAUGACCAUUUGGGUGUAUUGGGGUUAUGAAUUUUGUGAGUUUUUUCCACUUUUGUAAAUUCUUAUUUGUUAGUAAAAUUACAUUCCAGUUUUUGCCCAUGCACAUAGGCAAUACGCCGAACCACGUAAAUUAUUGUGUCCUAUUUUCUUUCCAUUUGUUUAUCACCACAUUUAUAUUUCUCCAGAAGUUGUAGUAUUAGUAAUUGCUCAACCCGUGUUUCCGUAACACCCAUAAUAUUUUCAUUAGAAUUUCUUAUAACAACUUCCAACAUUGGUUAUUGAUAUUUUAAGGUUUCAUCUUAAAUAAUAAUAACAAAAUAAUUAAAAUUUUUAUCAAAAUUUAACGAAAUAUAUUGUGCUUUGAUAAACAAGGAAUGUCAACUAAAUAUAGUCAAAAUAAAUAAUAAAUUGUUAAGUCGAGUUUUGGUUUCACAUGAUUGUAAUUAUGGAGACUAGUUAUUUGAAUAAAAUUUAAUUUCUUCUGUUUAUCAUUGUAAACUUGAAUAGGGACAAAUGCAUGACUAUAAAAGAAGGGUUUGAUAAGGAUUUUUUGGGGGUACCGAUAGGACCACUCAUGAGCCAUAACAAAACUAAGCCCAUGCGACGCCCACCUAAUCCAUUUGUACAUUUAGCUUGAAGAAUAAGACGAUAAUAAACAAUAGGCCUAAAUAAUAAGAUGAUAUAAAAGUAAGAAUAAUGUUAAGAUACCAAUUUUUUAGUCUUAACUUCUUAAGUCUUAAUGUCACACGUCAUUCAUUUAUUAGACGAUAGAUUUCAUAACUUGUAAAAUUAUUUAACUACCAUCUAAUAAAUGAUUGUUAUAUUUGUUGAAACUUAAAUUUUGAAAUGUUUAACAUUGAGCUGAAUCUAAACGAUUUCAUUUUCCAUUAUUGUUAUUUAUUUUAAUUUUUUUUUCCCAAUCGGAUUUUGCUUUGAGAAAAUAGAAAGCCUUUUGGCUUUAAGCAUGUAUAGUAAAUUGAAAAAAAAAUUAUCCAUAAAUUAUCCAUGAGUUUCUGAAAACCAAUUAACUUCAAAAUCUCUUCCAGCACUAGGAGGAACAUCUUCAAUAACUUUUUCGUGGCCUUUUGGGUAAUAAAUCCCAGUUCUUUCAUGAGGAACCCAACAACAAUUUCCUUCAUUUUCUCCCACAUUAUUAUUCAUUUGCUGGCUCCUCAUCACAUUUCCUUCUUCCGCAUUGGAUUUCAAUGCUGUUUCUCUCAUCAUAUCAUUAGAACUUGCUUUCUUUUGAAAGGAUUUCCUCAUUAUUGGCCUAUAUGUUUCAAAAGACUUAACAAAUUAAUAAUGCAAAAACAAAGAGUAAAAUAUUCAAACACUCAAAUGAAUGAAAGUAAUCUCUUUUUAUUAUUGCGUGGACAGUGGCGAAAUCAGGAUUUUGCUUCGACAAAUGUCAUCAAUAAAAGAGAAACAACAAAUUUAAGUAGGCUAUAACACAAAAUAAUAAUAAUAAUAAUAAGAGGGCUACAAAAUAAAACUGUCAAGUCACAAGAGAAUAUUGUUAUCCAUUUCUCUCAUCUCUAGGGAGAUCAUUUGUUGUUCCUGUGUACGUCAUUUUCUGUUUGGAUAAAUAUUAAAUUAUAAUACUCUUUCUUGAUCAUUGGGGAGCACUCAUUGCAGAGCAUGGCCUUCUUUUGUUCCCUUUUGUUUUGUUUUUGUUUUUUAGUCAUCUAAGUUAUGGGACAUGGCUUGCGGACUCAGCUUUUAAAAACUUUCCCUAGAUAAGUAGUUGAAUCUAGGGGAGGUACUUUUUAGUCAUAACGAGAUUACACGAUAUAAAAUGAGAUAUAGAGGCGGAUUCACCUCAUGAUUAGUGGGACACAGAGAAUAAUAAAAAAAAAUAUUUGAGUUAUUAAUUAAUUCUGUUGAAUAUAUUAAAAUAGGCAAGUUAAAUUUAUAAAAAUAGUCUCAUAAAUUUAAAAUUUAUAAAAUUUUAAUUUUGAGAAUUGCAAAAACCACACUUUAAUUAAAAUAUAAAAGGUUAUGAGGUAACCCAUAUAGGUGGUUUACUAUUAUUUAAUUUAGUUUUUAUUAAACCUAUAAAAUUUGAGUUUUCGCAUCAUGUCGUCAUAUAAUAUAGUCAUCGAUAAAUCAUUUUCUUGAAUCCACCAUUGAUGACAUAAAUAUAAAAAAAUUAAGUACUCGAUUUACCUCACCCGUUAACUGUCAUAAGAAACUUAAAAAUGGUAGCCAAUUAAAUAAACUAUGACCAUUGACAAAAAAAAAUUAAUGACAUUGUAACAUAUAUACAAAGAGAUUUUAAAAUAAUUUUGCCCUUAAGUUGAUAUAAGAUGAGUCGUUAAUAAUUGCACGCGCAAACAUGGUAUAUUCUUUAUAAUUAAUCGUGCAGAUUUUGAUGAACAAUGCACCAAAGCCACAUGGUAAAAAUCUCCCUUAUGUUUUUGUUUUGAGAAAGUUGCUGAAUCAAUGUCAUGACGCUAAUUUUCAAAGCAUGAAAACAGAAUGAAAUUAAAGAAACCAUAGUGAUGUAUCUUGUUUGCAUACUGGAAUGAAAUGUUGAUUUAGGCAAAUUUAGGAUGUAAAGUGUAAACUAAGGUUCACAUAAAAAUAAUAAUAAUAAUAAUAAUAAUAAUAAUAAUAAUAAUAAUAAUAAUAAUAAUAAUAUUAUUAUUAUUAUUAUUAUUAUUAUUAUUAUUAUUAUUAUUUUAAUCCAUUAAGAGAAAAAGGUUGUAUGCUCAUCAACCCAUUGCAAACUUUUGGCUUAAGAUUAAUAUGAGUAAUACAACACAGCUAUAUCAUAUCCCUAAACUUGAAAAUUAUUUAAAAAGGACCAUGAAUUGAUGAGGAUGAUAAAAUUAGCAAGGUUUCUAUUUUAUAAGUGUUUGCCAUAUGAUAUAUCAUUAAAAUGUUGUCCGUUUAUAUAUAUCUCAUGUUUUAUUUAUUUUAUGUAAGGAGAUUAGGGAGACCACAUAUUGUAAUUCCCCUUGUGAAUGUUUACUGGGGAGAGAAAUGAAAAAAAUUCAUCAAGUGUGUAAUCCUGAAUUUGGUUGGUGGAGUCUUCAACAACAGCUCAAAAACUUGCCUCCUCGGUUGUUGGUCACCUCAAGAAAUAUCGCAAACUGUUAGCAAGAACCUGCAAAUUUGAUCAAGCAAAGUCUAAUCAGUACAUCAACGAUCGUGCAAGUCUUCAGGCGCACCGUGUGAUCAUUAGCACGUUAAUGUUCUUACCGCCCACUUCAAAGUUUAAAUUCAAAUCUUUUAUAUAAGAACAGUUUUGCAACUAGAAUACCGAUUUUGAGUAGAAAUGGUAAGUCUCUUUAUUCUUCAGAGCAAACAAUCUAUAAAGCAAUUUCCGAUGUCCUAUAUGUAGGCCUGUUGUUUUUACCUGUUGGAGAGGCUUGAUAAUGGCUUUACCCUUGUAGCUGACAUGAAACUUUGCCUUAGCCAACAGCCCCUGGGUGCGAAAACAAAAAUUAGAACAAAAUAUAUUAAUAAGGGAAGGCCACUCUUUUGUCAAUAUAUAUAUAUAUAUAGAGUUUGUUAUAAAAGAUUACCUCAGUAUCAAACUCUCCCGAUUCAACAUUGACAUUGAUGACAGUGAAAAUCUUUACAAGAUCCACCAAUAAUCCUGGUCGAUCAGCCGUCUCCACCAAAAGCAAACUUCAAUAAAACAAAAGGUAAAAUAAACAAAAAUAGUAGGAAAAUACUUGGUAUCUAGAAGGGCGAGAGAAACACGAGAGAAACGGCAGCACAUGCUGCCGUUUCACUCCCAAAAUCUCUCGCCUUUUUUUAAUUAAAAAAAUUAAAAAAUUAAUAAAAAAUAAUAAAGAAAACAUAAUCUUAUCUGCUCCUUACUCCAUUUUUGCAACUCUCUCACCAUCUCUGUCGAGUAGCUCUCUCUCUCAUUGGCUCUCACUAUUUCACGAUCUCUCUCUCACUCACACACUCCUUUUCACGAUCUGAAAUUUUCUGGCCUUCUGCAACUCUUACAAGAAAUUAACGCUUUGGUUCUCACAAGGAUAGAUUGGGCAGGAAAUUGCCACUUGGGCUGGAGUAUGAGUAGUAAUAGUGUGGGACCAAAGUUUGGUGGAUAGCAAAAGCUCCAUCAUCUAGAUAAGAGAAUGAAUUAUGCAUUACCUUCGCUUGGGGCCAUCAAUAUCAUCAUAGAUGCUUAUGUGGGUUGCUAUGUCCACAUCAACCUGACAAAUUCCAGCACAACAAGAUUUGAGACAAGAUUGAAGUGGGACGUUAUCCUUCCCAUAAUAACUCAUAUACGUAGUUUUUAACAUUCAUGACAACAUGAUAUUAAUUUCAAUGGCAGGCAAAUUGAAUAUAAUGUCUUUAAAGAAAAUGAGGAUAAAAGUGAAGUAAUAUUUGGCCCAAGAGAACUCUAAAAACAACUUAGUUUCCUAUUCAAAUGAUCCACUAGUGAGAAGAGCCCACUACAAGAAAAACUGACCUAUUAUGAUAGGUAAAAACUGUCAUCGUAGGGGGUAAAUGAUGGUUAUUCUUACCGUCAUUAUAGCCAGCGUCAAGAAAAGAUGACAGAUAAAAUCGCGUCACGAGUUGUGAUAGAUUUUACCUAUCAUAAUUAUGUCAUACUACUUAGAAGAGGGAAAUUAUUAUUUUUUUUAUAUUUUCAUUUUUUUAGAAAUUUCUUGGAUUGUAUUUUUUUUUUUUGGGAUAUCAAUUGUGUGUAUGACUAGCAUUUUCUAUCACAAUUUUUUUGAAAAAUUUGAUUAUUUAUUUUAUUUAUUAAUUUAAAAUAAAAAUUAUGCAAUUUUAAAAUUUAAAUUAUUAAAAUUAUAUGAAAUAAAAUAAAUUACUAAAUGCAAAUAAAUCCAAAACCAAUGAACUAAAUUAGUGAACUUUAUUAACCAUAAAAAUAUCCAAAGUACAUUACAUUAGUUAAUCAAUAUUCCAAAGUCAAGCCAAUAGGCAACAAAGGCCAAUCCAAAACCAAGCAAAGUACUCCGCAUUCUGCAACAUCCAGCAACAAACCUACACAAAAUGUAGUCUUCCAGCGGCAAAAUCCAGCAGCCCUAAAGCCAAGACAUGAAAAUUCAUCCAGCAUCAAAUCUAUGCAAAAUGUAGUACUCUGGCUAUUCAAUCCACUAACUAAUUAAUUAAUUAAUCAAGCAAACUAACUUAUGUAAUUACACUGAAAUGGAAGUGGCACACCAGAUUAGCAGCAAUGACAGGUGAGGUGGUAGUUAAAGCCCAAACAGCAAGAAAGCCACAAGCCACACCUUUAAGUUCUUUUGAUCUUUUGUAGCUGCUACUACUACUACUACUACUACUACUACUACUACUUCUAAUAAUAAUAAAAACCAUCCUAUUAAUUUAUACAAGUCCCAAUAUAAGUAUAUAACUAAACAUAGGGUUCAAGAGUUCCAUGUCUUAAAAGUUACAAUCACAGAGACAUUUCCAAAAUGGAAAAACGAAGAUAAAGCUUAUAAAAAAUAAAUAUACCUAUUUAGUAAUUUAACAGCCUCAUAAACCAAUCAUGGACACAUUUCCAUCGACCCGCAAGUAAUCAAUCAUAGCCUUCAGAUUAUCUUUCUGAAAAACAAGCCAUCAACUUCAGACGGACCUUAAUUACAAGAAUAAAGUCCAACAAGACAGGUAAUUGAUCUCAUAAGUGAUUUUUUCCCCUUUAAAAGUUAAAAUUUUUUAAAAAAAUUACUAGCUGUGUAAUUUCUUCCCGCUAGUUAAUCAGCCACCAACUUCAUUCAAUCAUAGAGUAAAAUGCUCUCCUACAGAGAGCCCAGAUCCUGAAAAAUCUCCUAUAACUUUCAUUAUUCAUUUAUUAUUCAAUUGGAAAAUAAUUUCAAUGAGCCAAAUUCAUAUAAAAUAUAGAUUUAGAUUCUCGCGAUCCUUAAAUCUCCUAUAAGUUAACACAACACAGUCCUUCAAAAAGCAAAGCAACAUUAUGUCAACAUAAAUUAAACAAUAUAUGAGUGAUGAACUGUACACCUAGACUAAGCACGAGCAAGAUUAAAUACAACACUUCAUCAAGCUUUGCCAUGAAUUGUAUCAGAUUUGCUUUGCGAAUGAAUAUAAUAAGCUUCAUAUUCCUUCGCUCCUCAUAGGUAGAAAUGACCUGCAACAAUUAAAGUGCCAAGAUUCAUUCAUGGUUUUUAUCAAACACUUGGAGGGAAUACAAAAAUAGUAACUAUAUCCCCAAUUCGAAGGUAGUGAGCAUACGGCUACAUGCAAGUAUAUAUCAAUAUGUAUAUAUCUUUUAGGAAUUCUAUGCCUUGAGGUUGUUAAUUGUGGUGCUAGCAAGCUAUGUUAUUAAUUGGUAUAAAUUUUUGAAUGGUACAAAAGGCGUGAGAUUCAAACCAUGCUCAUAUGAGUGCGGAGAGUGGAAAUUGAGUAGAAACCACAAUACUAUUGAUAUUCUUAGAGGAUCUUUCCAUGUGACAUUCAUUCAAAAUUGUAACUAAGAGCAAAAUGCUUAACGAUUUUUAAUGCAUUGUACACAUAUCUAUCAGACAAUAUCUUGUAAGAUCGAAAAAUUGAUAACAUUCCCUCAAGACAAAUGAAAAAUGGAAUUGAACUAGUCAAUAUCUGCAUUACCCAAAAGAGAAACAAGGGAUGGGGAACUCUGAUGAAAUAAUAAAUUCUCUGCUCGGUACAAAAACAGCCACUGGAAACACACAUUGGUUGGAUCAUAUUGACAUUAUUUCCAACACACACAAUAGAAACAAUACCAAUUGCCCACCAAGUGCAUGACUCAAUGUGCGCCCAGCCUGACACCACUUCCUGCACAUGCGACUCGGCCCACAAUCACCACUAAUUUCAACGAAUUAGUGAAUUUAACCAAUGAAAUUUAAAAAAAAAAAAGACUUUGCAUCACAGUGAACUAAUUUGAGAAUUAUCUUUAUAUAUAGUUCCAUGCAUGCCACAAAAAGUGAAAAAAAAAUUAGUUAUUAGAAAACCCCAAUGAUAAAGCAGCCUAGACAAUAUCCCAACACCCAUCACCAGUAAAUUGGCAAGGAUCUUUACAGCCUAAAUCAAAUUUAACAAUAAAACUAUAAUAAUUAGAUUCCAAAAAAAUCAAAUAAAUGUUUAAAAUUCCAUAAAUAAAGAAACAUAGAAGACCAAUCAAAUAGAUCCAAAUUUAACAAGAGCACACCUAGGAUUUUCAAGUUUUACAUGUACAGGGUUCAAAUUUGACAAGAAAACAUCUAGGCUUUUCAAGAUUUAGGUGUGUAGGGUUUGAAUUUGACAAGAACACAUUUAGGGUUUUUACGUUUUACAUAUAUAGGGUUCGAGUUUGACAAGAACAUUAAAAUUGAAAUGAAACACAACACUAGAAAUAUUAUUUACCUGUAUUGAUCGAACGGUUACAACAGUGGGUGAGCGAGGGUUCUCGGUUAGGGUAUUGAAAUUCAAUAGUAGGAGCACAUGCGUUUGGUGGGUAUUCCAUAUAGUUCUCAGUGAGAGCCAAAAUCGAUAGUGAAAUACAAGAGAAUGGCGGCAGUGGUUCAGUGCCCAUGCAAGGAUUUCAGACGAAAAGGGCUUUGUGAGUGCGAGAUUGACGAGAGUGACUGAGCGAGAGACGAGAGUGAGAGUGCCAACACUUGGGGAAAAAAAAUUCGAUGAGUGAAAACUGAAGAGGGUUUUGUUUUUAUUUAGUUUCAAUCUAAACGGUGACGUUUCUUGUCUAAAGAGAAAUUUUUAAUCCAAACGAUCCCGUUUAUUCUUUAUUUAUUUUUUUCAUUCAUUUUAAAAUUUUCAGUCAACCUUGUGAAAUAAAGUCAAAAUAAAAAGCUACUUGAUGAUCAAAAUUAUAUCACAAACUUGUCAUUACUUCUUGAUAAUCAAAUAAUUUAUCAUUAGUCUAUCAUAAGUGUUUGAUAGAUGAAAUUUCUAUCACAAGUAUGUCAUAAAUGAAUGCUAGAAAAAAAUUUAUCAUCCAUCCGUUGUAGUAGCUCUGCAGACCAAAAACUGUCACACAGAGGACUGUCAUGGUAGGUCAUUUUUCUUGUAGUGGCAAAAAAUAUCAAUAAUCUGAAAAAUUAAAAUAAGACCAAAAAGCAAAAACCUGUUGUUUUGGAGGAUCAACGCCAAAGGUAACACCCAUUGCCAACUGGGAACUUGAUUCCUGAUUCCAUCACCAACACAAAUGGAAUAAGGUUUUCAUAAGACAAUUCCUAUAGGUGCUCCACCAAGUGAUAUCUCAAGAGAGACAAAAAAAUGAUUACCGGGUGAUACUGAAGUAGAUUGUUUAUAACUAUCAAACGAAUUGCCUCAAGCACCUCAGGAUCAUCAACUUUCCUACCAGUAUCACUGCACACAAGCAUCAUGACCAAAUUAAUCAAAACCACAGUGGGAAUCUAUUGCAAGAACUGCUCCAAAAAACAACGAUGGCUCUUUGGAUCAUUGAUUUUAGGUUCUAGUAUGUCUAAAAUUUUAACGAUUUCAACAUUAGUGAUAAACAUGUAUUUGCAAUAGACUGAUCAUACUUGUAUAUGGAGCAUCAAAAGUAGGUAUUUACUAUGCUCAUCAAAUAUAGACUAGAAGACGUUGACAAAAAUUAAAGGAAAUUAGUGAAUGAAACUGCAAGCAGAGAAUAUAAAUCAGCUUAGUAAUGCAAGGGCAUGAAAAGCAAAAUGCAUAUGCAUCACAAAAUUAUAGAGAUAUAUAAUUUCACAGUCAUAUGAUGAUAUUGCAGCGGUGAAGCCACGCGUGAGGUUAAGGCAAGCGAUGGAAUGACUUGUGUUACAAAAGAGGUAUGUGAAGUUGCACUAUAAAAAUAAAAUAAAUUUGUAUUUUCAAGUAGUAAAGGUGUAGUUAGUUUAUUUACCAUGAUUGCGUCCUGGAUAGAAAUUGAAUCCAUGUUUAAGAAUUUAUCAACGGAGAGAAAAUGUCAAUACAAAGUCAAUGCGAAUGAAUAGUGAAGUCAGCAGUCGCAAAGGCAAAGUUCUAAACCAAAUGUACUCCAGAUAGAUUAGCGGUAGCAGUUUCACAACUGACAAAUGAACAAAGAGUGGUUGCUUGUCAAAUGGGCUUUGGUAGUUUGUUACAACUGAACCGUGGCAAGCUGAAAAAGAAACUUUGUGGCUAGUUAAUUGAGAUCAUAGAUACUGUGAGGUACUGAUAAAUUUAUGAAAUGAGAGUUAUUACAUCAAUUCUAGACUUAAAUCAAGAUUACUUAGAGAGCAAAUAAGGUGUUUUUAUUACAUUUUGGUCAUAGUUUGCAUAAACAUUCAUUUUAGUUGAGUCUUAAUAAGUUUUGCUUGAAUCAAAGUAAUUUGUACUCAAAACAUGUGCAUAAUUGUAGGUUUUCAAAAAUUCUUAAUUCAUGAAGGGAUGCUGUUAGAGUACAAUUUAUGCACUAGUUUUGCAUUGUUUACUUCUCUUAAUAUCGAUGUUUUGCACUUAAUAAUAGUGAUUUACUUGUGUUUUACUUUUGUAGCUGCAAUUCUAUUGAUUGGUGAUAAAAUUGAGCUAUAAGAUGAUGUUUAAGGAUGAUUGUUCUCUUGGAGAAAUUAUGAGCGUCAGAAGAACUUUGUUGAUAAGGCGUGGGCGCGUGCUGUCAACUGCGGACCUGCAGUUUUUAGUUUAACGUAUUUUGUAUUUUUGGUUAUUUUUGUAAUUACAAAUUUAAUAUUUCAGAUAUUAGUAUUUUAUUUUAAAUAGAAUUCUAAAAGAGAAGAGAGAGAGAGUAUUUAAGGGAGGAAUCUAUUGUGAAGGAUUUGGAUUGGAGAAAAAGAAAGAAACCCUAGAUCUAAUUUUUCUCUUCUCUCUAUGAAGAACUAAACUUAUUUUCUGGUUGAAGGAUAAUGAAGCUUUGAUUCAUCACUACUGUGAGAUCUUUUUUUUAUGCUUUAAUUGUUUUAUUACUUUUUGGGUAUUUGUUUAUUUUCUGAAUUAUUUUCAUGAUUAUGUUUGUUAAUUAGGUAAUUGGCCACUAUUUAAUUAUCAACUUAAUCUAUUGUCAAUUAAAGGAUUCAUUGUAUGAAGAAUUUAAUGUUUGUGACAAAUAACAUAGCAGAGAGUUGUGUUGUGAGAAUAAACAAUCUAAUUUAAAUGAAUCAUCAUAUGUGUUGAUUAGGAUUUGGGUCUCUCUGGUUUUUCAGGCUGUCAAUUGAUUAAAUCAUAUGAUCGUAUCGAGGGUUGUCUAUUGAUUAGGGAAAUAUCCAACGGUCGUACCUUGGUUAUCGACUAGUUAAGGAGAGAUUGGCUAUUAGAGGGUCUCAAUAGCUAUAACCGGUCUAUUCAUAAGUAAUAAUAAUCUAUAUUUGAAUCAAUGAUUAGUAGUCGAAUCAAGCUGAGUUAAUUCCUUCAACCAGAGCUUUCUCCAAUUUGAAUUACAACUUUAAUUUGCAUUCUUGUUAUUUUAAUUUGAUUUUUAUUAUUGUCAACAAAACCCCCAUUUUAUGUUUUACGUUUCAAAAGGAUUUAAAUAAUUACCGAUCUCUGUGGACACGACCCUGCUCAAUCACUAUACACAAUUUAUUUAGAGUAGGAAUUUAUUUUUGUUGGCUUCGACACCCAUCAGAUGCUGAGGCAUUAGACUAGCAAGAGGAUGGAAGAAAAUGGCCGUAAAAGAAGUAAAGCACAAUCGGGAACAGUGCAAUGUUGUAGCUAUUGUUAGAGCAACCAUUGCUGUAGCAAUUUGGGACCACUGAGGGAGAAAACUUAAGCGCGGGUCAGCUGCAGAAUUGUGAUCUGCAUGUUUCCUAAUUUAAUUCAUGCACGCCACGAACUUUUAUUUACCCUAGUUUGCAGUAUAAAAGGGGGGCGCGCACCACAUAAAACUGCGGCAAGGGAAUUAUCAUUAAUACAUUAGAGAAAAGAGAAGAAGAAGAUCGGAAUUAAAGGGGACGGCUUCAGCAGAAUUGAGAAAUCCUGCAGAGUUAUUUGGAUUUGCUUUUUGACGUUCUCAACUUAUACUUUUCUUAUUUCUUUAACUGUUCUAAUGUAUCUCGUGAACAAUAUAUUAAUGUUUUUUUUUCUCAUUCAGUUGACCACCCAUUUAAUAGUUCAAGUUAAGAUAGAGCCGCAAAAGGGCAUGUCUUAGCGGAUAUUAUUAGAGUAUUACUUGAUCUUAAUUUAAGUUUCCUGGAUUAAGUUAUCUUGAAUCCCAUAAGGGCUAUACUUGAAGUUAAGAUUUGUGACACACUAGACAUAGGUGCUCACCUUAUAGGGUGGAGAGACUAAAGGGUCAUAAAGCCAUAUCAUAAGUAGAUUAGCAACUGGUCAUUGCUAGUAUACUUAAGGGUAUGAGAGUUCCAAUACGCAACAGCUGAGGACGCAGAUUCAGAAAUAGCUCUUGACUUGAAUUUUGGUUUUGGCUUUGCAUGAAUCCCAGUGUAAAUCCUGUAGAAAACUUACAAUCUUCAGUGAACCGCGUAAAACGAGACUUACUUGAGUGGGUUGAGACUCUUCUCGAAGACUUUCUUCGCUUCGUCGAUAUCUUUGGAAUCUUCCAAACAUCUGUUAUGACACUCAAGGAAGAGCAGUUUGCUGCCAAAGUUGCUAUAAGGAAAAAAGACGACGUAAAGAUAGCUUCGUAUUUGAAAUCAAGAAAAAGAUUGGCCAAAGAGAUGCUUAAGCUUGUCAGUGAAAUUCGGUGUAUCGGCCAAUACCAGGUACCGCCACCAAUGCUGGCGUCCGUUAUAGAUUCUGAGUUAGCCGGUGUCGUCACUGAUGCUGUUCGAGUGAAAUUUCUCCAUCAUCAUCUAAUUCUAGUACGCGAUCAAGUGGCAGUCUUUUCUUUCUCAACGCCAAAAGCUUAAAAAAAAAAUAUUACAACCCAUUACAGGCCAGCUAAGAUAAAUCCCUGUAUGAUUUUCGCGCCAAGGAUCGUACUGUCACUAGGGAUAAUAUUAUCUUUUCAAAGUUAACUACCAGUCAAGAGAAAAUUUAACUAACGGCAGGGGGUUUUUUUUACAAAUAAAACGAUUUUGGCCAUCUACUUACAAUAGCCUCAAACCUCAGGGGAGGUUUUUAAAAAUUACCCCCGUGGAAAAAUAAUAAUAGUUGAAAAGACAUAGGGUACUUUUUAUUUUCCUUUAUAUUACUAAUAGAUUUCCCACGCGCAACAGACGAAGUCAUUGCUGCUUUAAUAAUUGCCCUAUCACUGUGUUCAUCAUCACAAAUUUCUUUAUUACGUUUGUGAAAUAACCUUAGCAUAACAAAAUUACUCCUCCUUUUUAACUAAUAAUAGAUAUCUCAAAUUUUAUUUUCAGAAUAUGGUAUGUAAUGUAAGUGAUUGAUAGUUCUUUAUAAAAUAUAUAAAUAAAUUAAUUGUGUUAUCUUAGUGUCUAAUAUAUAUAAAUGACUUUCUCCAUAUAUUGCACUAUUGAUAUGGGCUAAAGUUUUAUACUAUGAGACCCAAUUUCUAUAAUUUACACUAUAAGUUACAAGUAUUUAGGAAAAUACUAUUACAAAUCAGAAGGUAUUAUCUAUUUUAUACCUAAAGCAUUUUCACUAUUUAAGACUAGUAAAACUUCUAUAUUAUUAUAAUAUUGGAAUCAAACACCAAUAAACAAGUAAAUCAUCUGGAAUGAGAAUGUUCUAACUUAACCAAGGUCCUCGGUUUGAAACUUAGAAAUGCAACUACAUUAAAUACUUAUUGGGAGAGACUUGCCGCUUUAGUGGUCCUAUCCGGCUCGAAUCUAGAUUAGUCGGGGAUCUAAUGUGGUCUUUGGAUACUAGAUGAUUUAAUAUACCGAUAAUAUUGGAACCAAACUAAUUUACAAUUAUGAAGAGGUUAUAAUUCAAUAGAGGCGUAGUAACAAACUAUUAAUAGAGCGUAUCAAAUUUAAUGUAUAAACAAAAUUCUAUAAUUUACACUAUAAGUUGCAAGUAUUUAGGUCAAUACUAUUGCAAAUCAGAAGAUAUUAUCUAUUUUAUGCCUAAAAUAUUUCCACUAUUUAAGGCUAGUAAAACUUCUAUAUAAUUAUAAUAUUGGAACCAAACACCAACAAGCACAUAAAUCAACUAGAAUGGAAAUGUUCUAACGUCAAGGUCCUCGGUUCCAAACUUAGAAAUGCAACUACAUUAAAUAUUUAUUGAGAGAGAUUUGCCGCUCUAGUAGUUCUAUCCAGGUCGAAUCUGGAUUAGUCGGGGACCUAAUGUGGUCUUUGGAUACUAGAUGAUUUAAUGUACCAAUAAUAUUGGAACCAAACUAAUUUACAAUUAUGAGGAGGUUAUAAUUUAAUAGAGGCGUAGUAACAAACUAUUAAUAGAGCGUAUCAAAUUUAAUAUUGGAAUCCGAUGAUUGGUUGCAACAUAAGAUAUUUGUAAGCUUAGUUAAAGGUUCAUUAAAAAUUAUAGAGAUAUAUAAUUUCGCAGUCGAUGAAGCCGUGCAUGAGGUUAAGGCAAGUGAUGGAAUGACUUGCGUUACAAAAAAGGUAUGUGAAGUUGCACUAUAAAAAUAAAAUAAAUUUGUAUUUUCAAGUAGUGAAGGUGUAGUUAGUUUAUUUGUUGUAGCAGUUUCACAGCUGACAGAUGAACAAAGAGUGGCUGCUUGUCAAAUGGGCUUUGGUAGUUUGCUACAACUGAACUGUGGCAAGCUAAAAAGGAAACUUUGUGGCUAGUUAAUUGAGAUGAUUGAUACUGUGAGGUACAUUUUAGAGUUGAAUGGUAUUAGCUUUCGAACAAGAUCAUCAAAGAAACUCUACCAACUGGGAAAUUUAAACUUAAUCUAUGCUCCGCAAAUUCGGAUAUUCUCUAAUAUGAAACUACUUUUAUGUGUUUUGUUAUUCCUAGCUUUUACCGACUUGGUAACGUUGUUAUGGAAGCAUGACAACUAUUAUGUCCGUGCAAUUUUUAUUGUAUCUUUUGUUAUGUCACGAUAUUGAAGCUUAGUUUUCUGACUCCAAUUACUAAGAACUGCAAUUGCAACAUCUUUUGAAUAUUACAUAUAUGCUUGUAGUAUCUCGACGGAUUAAAACCUGCUAUUUAAGUUCUUCUCCCCCACCCCCCGCCCUUCUUCUUUCAUUUAUACUUGCUGCACCAUUUACUUCACACUCUGUAAAGCCAAAUGAAAGCUUGUUCAUUUAUGUUCACUUGCAAUUCAAAAGCACAGUUUAUUUCAACUGUCAAAUUGACUAGUUGCACGUAUAGAUUUCAGUCGAAACAGGGUUAUUGGUCGAUCAAGAAAUUGAAUCCAUAUGGCCGUUCCAGCGUUAUUCAACCACCUAAUUUCAAAUAUAUAAAUUAAUUCAACCCACUUCUGUGUCAAAGGCGUGGAACAAAUUAUGAAAGAUUUUUCAGCUAUCAUAAAUUCGAACGGGUGUAGUUUGUAUCCUUUCGGACUUAGACAGAUUUUCCUUCCAUUAACCUUACAGUGUUAGUAAUCCUAUUACUUGUUUUUACAGCUUGAAUAGUAUACCGAAAUUUUUGGCUUUUGCAACAUAAACUUGUAUGUAAUGUACAUUUUAUUGUUCUUUACAAAUUAAUUGCUGCUAAAAUAAUUGUUUCAAUGGCAUGAUCUGCAUCCCCGGUUUGCCUCUUGGGCUACGAACCUGCUUAACAGCUGCACCAUCUUGCUCCUUUUCAUCGAACGGCAACUUCCCUACAGACAAAAAGACGGGGUACACGGUACACUGCCCAGGGUCACCAUAAACGCAGCCCAAAAAGAUGAUUUUGUCUUUCCAUGUCUUAGUAUUUUAACCAAUAAUAAUAAUAAUAAUUCUUUAUAUCAUCAAUUAUUGCACUUGUAAGCCAGGCAAUAGUAUUUUUAUUAAAUAAAAAAUUAAUGUCAAAAUUUAUUUAUUUAUUUAUUUUUUUUAUCUAGCUAUCAUUGACUUAAUAUUUUGAAUCUUCAUCCAAAGUUAAGGCACAAAACUUUUAUUCUAAAUAAAUAUUCUCAAUAUAAAUUUAUCACUUAAAUAAUAAAUAAUAAGAUUUAACAUUAAUUCUGUCGUUACUGAAAUGAAUUGUAAAUUUUAUAUGACAUGUAAACGUAUCAUUAUGUUCUUGAUAUUUGACAUAUGAAUUAUAAAGCAACAAAUGUAUCAUAUUUUUAUUUCGGUAUUGUGCUUCUCUAAAAGUAACCCUCACCAAAUUAGCUUAAUUCUUUUCGUUGUACUCAUUGCUUCUCUUCCUCUUUUCGUCAACGACAAUGGGUAACCUAAUCUCAACCUUCUUACCAGCAGACUUAUUUGAUCGUUUUUCAAACUGCGUUGGUGAACAAGCAAAAUAUGUAUGGGGUCUCGAAAAAAAUCUUCGGAUCUUGGAGACUGAAUUGCACAAAUUGACUCGAGCAAGGGCCGAUCUGAAGACCAGGGUUGAGGUCGAACAACAACGACCUCGAACCAGACGAACGAACCAGGUCGCAGGGUGGCUUGAAGAUGUGCAAAAUCUUGAAACUGAAUUUGCCGAGCUGGAACGAGUCAGAGCUCAAGAAAUGGAUAGAUUGUGCCUUGGAGGCCUCUGUUCCAAAAACUUCGUUUCAAGCUACAAUUACGGGACUAAGGUGGUCGAGUUGACGGAUCGAGUCAUCAAUUUAAAGAAAGACGGAGAAAAAAUUGAAGUCGUUGUUGAGAAGGCGCCGGAUGGUGCAGCAAUUGAAUUACCUCUUGAUCACACAGUUGUUGGUCAAGAACUAUUACUUGGUCAAGUUUGGAGAUGUAUCACUGAUCAGGAAAAGAACAGGGGAAUUAUCGGCUUGUAUGGUAUAGGGGGAGUCGGCAAAACUACCCUUUUAAAACAAGUCAACAACAACUUCUGCCAUCAACAGCAUAAUUUUGAUGUUGUUAUCUGGGCGGCUGUGUCAACACUUCAAGAUGACAUUGGAAAAAGGAUUGGCUUUUCAGAAGACAGAAACUGGCAGGAAAAAAGUCUUCAAGACAAGGCUAUGGACAUCGCUAGCAUUCUAAGCGGAAAGAAGUUUGUGUUGUUAUUAGAUGAUAUAUGGGAGCCCAUUGAUUUAACACAGUUGGGUGUCCCUCUUCAAAAUCUAAAUGAUGGGUCCAAAAUAGUCUUGACAACUCAUUCAGCUGGUUUUUGCGAUCAAAUGGACGCUAAAAAGUUGGAAGUGUCUAGUUUGGCACAUGAUGAAGCCUGGAAAUUAUUUCAGGAGAUGAUCGAAAGAUCCACUCUUGACAGUCAUACCAGUAUUCCAGGGCUAGCCGAAACCCUGGCAAGAGAGUGUGGUGGGUUGCCGCUGGCGCUUAAAACAGUGGGUCGAGCCAUGAAAAGCCAAAGGAAAGUUGGAGAUUGGGAACGUGCAAUUAAGAAAAUGAGAACAUCAGCUUCUAAAUUCUCAGGUAUGAAAGAAGAGGUGUUUUCGCGUUUAAAGUUCAGCUAUGAUAGUUUGUCUACGGACGAACUUCGUUCCUGUCUCCUGUAUUGUUGUUUAUAUCGUGAAGACUACGAAAUUCCUAAAAGGGAAUUGAUUGAUUACUGGAUUAGUGAAGGAUUUGUGUGUGAUUUUGAUGAUGGAUGCGAUUUUAUUGAUGACCUUCUUCAAGCAUGCUUAUUGGAGGAAGAAGGCGAUGAUCAUGUAAAGAUGCACGAUAUGAUUCGUGAGAUGUCAUUAUGGAUAGCGUGCACGGUAGACAAGGAGGAGCAGAACUUUCUGGUUCGCGCUGGAGUUAAAUUGACCGAAGCACCAAAGGUUGAAGAAUGGGAAGGUGCCAAACGGAUAUCUCUGAUGAAAACUGGAAUUCAAAGCCCAUCGGAAAUUCCCACGUGUCCUCGUCUCGUCACUUUUCUUCUGGAUGGAAAUUGGAUUGAGGAGAUUACUGAUGGCUUCUUUCGAUCGAUGUCUUCUCUUAGAGUAUUAAGUCUACGAAGAAAUCUUGCCCUAAGUAAACUACCUUCAGGGAUUUCAAAUUUGGUUUCAUUGCAUCAUCUUGAUCUAUCAUGGACUCGUAUACGCGGGUUGCCGCAGGAGCUGAAGGCGUUGGAGAAGCUGAGAUAUUUGAGCUUGGAGGGUACACGGCACUUGUCUAUAAUUCCACAUCAAUUGAUAUCUGGCUUUUCAAAGUUGGAGGUACUCAGGUUGCUUUGGUGCGGUCUCUGGAGCAGAAAAGAACAAGAAGAAGGUAGCGUUCUAUAUGAUGAUGCUGAACCUUUGAUGAAGGAAUUGCUGGGUUUGAAGCAUUUAAAUGUUUUAAGCUGGUCCUUGCACAGUUCACUUGCUGUCCAAAAGUUUUUGAAAUAUCCAAAGCUGUUGAGCAUCACUCAAUCUGUAGGGGUUUACUUCUGUCAAAGUCCACCGCUCAAUGUCUUACAUCUAGCAUACAUGGAGAAUCUUCAGGAGUUAGUCAUUUUAAACAGUGAUUUGGAAGAGAUGAAGAUUGACAGCGCAGAAGAGGUAAAGAAACUUUUUCGAAGUGGUUUCCGCAGUCUCAACACAGUUAGCGUAGAUUAUUGCCAAAAAGCGAAGGACUUAACGUGGCUUGUUUUUGCUCAAAACCUUAAGGAGCUGCGUAUAGAUUCUUGUUAUGAUGUGGAAGAAAUAAUCAGUGUUGAUAAAUUGAGUGAUAUUUCAGAGAUAAACGGGUCAGAGCAUAACUUUUUCGCACGACUCGAAUAUCUAACCAUGUGGCGGGGACCAAAUUUAAAGAGCGUUUACCCGAAUCCCCUGCCCUUUCCAAAGCUGAAGAAAAUUCAAGUAUUUCAUUGCCGACAGCUGAAGAAGCUCCCACUCAAUUCCAGCAGCGCGAAGGGACGUCGAGUUGUCAUCGAGGGAACGAAAAAAUGGUGGGAAGAACUACAAUGGGAGGAUCAAGCCACCCAAAAUGCUUUCUUUUCCUGUGCUGUACUUUGGGAGCAUCUUUAUUAUUAAUAUGUUUGAAUAUGUAUUUCCUUUUUUCUUUUUUUUCUUGCUAUAGAGUUGCAUGAUUGUGAUAUCCUUAUUAUUAUUAUCCUUUUUUUUUUUCACAUGAAGUUCAGUAACUACUUCCGAGAGUAAUAAGAUCCAACUCGUUUUUGGUUUGGUCAAAAACUUUUUGUGGCCCCAAAUCCUUUUUAACACCAGGCCAGGCAUAGCCACUUAGGCUUGUGGCUCAGUGGUAAAUCAUUGCCCUUAAAAUUAAGAAUGAUCCUUAUUAUUAAAAUGUUGGCAUAUUUAUGGAUUGGAAACUCAGAUGCUGAACUCAUAGUAAAUAUUUAGUUAAUUUGUUAUAAUUAUAUUUGGUAAAAAAAAUAAUUAAAUUUUUUUCUUUUCCUUUAUAGUGUGUUUACUUGUCAGUAAUCGGAAUGGGCUGGAAUUGGAAUGGGUUAGAAUCAGAAUAAACUGGAAUGAGAAUGAGGAAUAGGAAUCAAAAUAAGUUGUUUACUUGAACUGUAGGAAUUGGAAUCAGAAUGAGUUAGAAACCCAUUGAUGUGUUUACUUUAUCUAAGAAUCAGAAUUGGAAUCGGAAUAAGUUAAGUUGUUUUAAGUUACUAAAACACCCUUAGUUGUUAAUAAUAAUAAUAAUAAUAAUAGUUGUCCUUUGGUAUUAAUGAUAAUAAUAACAAAUUUAAUAAUAACAUUAGAAAGAAAUAAAUAAUAGUAAUAAUUAAUGAUAAUAAUGAAAUUAAAUAACAACUACUAAUACUACAAUAAUAAUAAUAAUAAUAAUAAUAAUAAUAACAUUAAUAACAAAUAAGCAAACAAUGAAAUAAUACAAACACCAAUCUAUAUAAUUUUAGUGUACAAUCAGUGGCCAAACAAUAUAAGAAAUUAAUAAUUUAAAAUAUAAAAUUAUAAUUCCCAAAACAAACAUCGUGCUCCUCUUCAACGGAGGUAGUAGAUCGCGACGGCAAACGGCGGCAGGACGAGCGCGACCACGGCGGCAACAGAUCGAUCGCGACUAAUCGCAGCAGCAGAUCGUGACGAACGGAAGCAGCAGAUCGCAACCUUUUGACACCCCCGCUAAGACCCUCCUUUAAAUUCCUUAUAACUCUUUAAUUAAAAUUAUUUAAAUAAUUAAAGAUAAAUUAAUUCCAUUUUAUUUUGAUUGAAAAUUUAAUUAAUACUUAAAUAAAAUUAUUCUUUUAACAUUUUUCCACCCACCUCAUAUUAUAUAUAUAUAUAUAUAUAUAUAUUAGAAACUUUUAAUAAUUUAUAAUCUUUUUAAGGUGAAAUUUAAUGAGAAGAUUAUUAAUUUUAAUUUAUGGAUUAGUAUUUUAUAAAUUAAACCAAGGUACUUUGAUAAAUAAAAAUUAAAACAAGUUUUAUAAGGAUUUUGGAGUGUAGGAAUUCAGAAUAUAGAUUUUCAUGGGGACGUUGAAUAUGCUGAAGCUGAAGCUAUGAAUUUUAGAAUAAAAAUGGCAAUAGACUUUGGUUUAAUGCCAUUAAUUGUUGAAUCAGACUCGAAGACUAUUUUAAACUUGGCGAAAGGUUUUGAAAGAACUAUGAAAGAAAUAUCAUGGUUAAUUUUCGAGAUUCGAAAUUGUAUGGUUGUGAAAGACCACUUCAAAAUCAAUCUUAUAUUGAGAAGUAGUAGUGAGACCGCUCAUAAAUUAGAUAAAUAUGAUGUUAAGAAUUUGGGCUGUGUAAUUUGGUUGGAGGAAAUUUCAACUCAUGUAAGUCUUUUUCCUUUAAGUGAUUAAUUGAAGCUUUCCAUUUCCAAAGAGAGAUAGAGAGAGAGAGAGAGAGAGAGAGAGAGAGAGAGAGAGAGAGAGAGCUCAACUCAAAUGAAAGUAUGAAACAAAGAGUAAAUCCUGAUAGCAGAAAAAUGAGCCAUGAGUAGAACUAUUCGCACCUUUGAAAGCCCUCAUAAAAGUCUUUAUUCAAUAUGUCCCGCUACAUCAUUCAAAAAAUAAUAUUAUUUCUAAGGGCAGAGCUAUUUGCACUCUAAAAUUAUUCUCAACGUUUUAUUACUAUAUACACUUAUUUAUUAAUUUGAAAAAAUGAACUAUAUUUUGUACACUCCUUAAAGUACCAAAAAUGUACUUAUUUAAUCCUUUUUAAAUUAAUUUACUCUAACACACUCAUGAAAACGCCUUACAUAUUCAAAAUAUUUCUCUAAACACUCUUUUAUCAUUAAAAUUUAAUUAUUUGGUUGUAUAAUAUAUUUCUCCAAUAAAUGAAGAAUGAUAAAGCAGCAACUAAAAAAAUCCAUCAAAAUAUUUCACCAAUGAAAAGAUCGUGAGAAAUAAACAUUAUAAUCCGAACAAAUAAAUCAAUUAACCAAUAUAUCAUUUAGCUAAAUAAAAGACGCAGCUUGCGCUUCAUAGUUCUGAGCUUAGAAUCAAGAAGAGAAGUGAAGAUGAAAUUUUUAAUUGCUGAGAAUAUGAUUUUGAGGUUGAUGGAGGACUUGAAAGAGAGGGAGAAGAAAGAAUGAUUCAGAGUAGGUGCCUGUGACCCUGAUGACGAUCUUCUUCAGUACAACUAUGAUGCCACUUCCACCUCCAAUUGAAUGUCAGAAAAUUCAAAGUUUGUCAAAAGAGGAUGGUAAAUUAAGCCCCCUUUUUUUUUUUAAUCUGGAUUUGGUUGAACAUUUUUAUGUCGCAAAAAUGUUUGCUGGGUUGUAAUGCCUCAGUUGCAGACUAGUUUGUAAGAGUCUGAAUAAUUGUCCAUGUUACACUGGUAUUGUGGAAUGGCAAGUAUUUUUUGGCCAAAAGAAAAAAAUCAAGCAACCAAUGUAAACUUGUUUAAUAUCAUCAUAAUAUAACUAAAAAGGAAGUAAUUAUAAUCAUACAAAAAAAAUUAAUAACUGCCAUGUCCUUAAUAGUAAUUUAAACCAUGGAUAUUAUUGUAAUAAUUUUUUUUAUAAAAUUAUGAGUAUUUAGUGUAAUUUUUAGAGGGGUGGGGCUAUUUGAACCCACUAAUUUACUCAAUAAACCCACUUUAAAAAUAAUUUUUUAUCAUUAAAAUACCCCUAAAUUAAAUUACAGUUAUGGACACUAGAAUAUAAUUAAAAAAAAAACAGAAUUUUUACUCUUUAAACCCAUCUUUAUAUUCAACAUAGUUUUAUAGAACCCUAAUCAAAUUUUCAUUAAACCCUAAUCAAUCAAGAGGUGAGAUUCUUCUCUCAAGCCAUAUAUAUUGUUAAAUAGGCACAUGUGAGUUGAUUCAGAAUAACAAAAUUAAUUGUUAUUGAUUUGAUGGAUAUUGAUUUUAUGGAGGAUUAAUUGUUUAAUUGCUAUGAUUCGUUUGGGAAUGACCCCUCACUCAAAAUUGUUUAAUUAGUAUUGAUGAUUAAAUUUUCAAUUAAUAAUCAAUUAUUGUUUUUUCCCAAAUUCUGAAAAAAAUAUUUUUUCUCAAAUUCCUCAUAUUAGAUUUUCAUACCAUCAUACAAGAUUUUUCUCACCACACUAUAAUAUAACUCAAAAAAAUAAUUUCAUGAUAACAACUAUUUUCUCCAUUUAGAAUGUUUUGAUUCAUUUGUCCUUGAACGAGGGCCAUUCACUCAAAAUUGAUUAUUAAAUUUCCAAUUAAUAAUCAAUUUCCAAUCUAAUGGGUUUAUAAAUGAACAUUAUGGGUUUAAUGAGUAAAAUUACUAUUAUUAUAAAAACUGGGUUUAGAAAGGGCAUAUUAGGUAUUUUAGUGGGUUUACUGAGUAAAAUUUAAAAUUUUAAAAUUUAAAGAUGGGUUUAUUUAUUAAAUAGGUUUAUUGAGUAAAUUGGUGGGUUCAAAUAGCCCCACCCUUUUUAGAGUGUAUAUAACCUCACCCUAUUUCUAAACCCACAUAGAUUGAUUCCAAAAACACCCUUCGCUUGCACACCAACCGCAUUUUCACAUUUUCUUCGUCUUGACGAACUUGAAACCCAAAUCUGAUGGCUUCAACUUUCGAAUAAUCAUUAUCUCCACUAGAACUUAUAAUUUUAAAAGGGGGUUCCCCUAUGAUGCUGUAAUUUUUUUACAACAUCAAUAAUGUUUUUAAUUGUGCACCAUUGGAUUUAAUCAACGGUACACAAUAUUUGUAGGCAAAAAUAAAAAUAAAAAAUAAUGGUAAACGGUUAACAAACGUAUAAGGGGUGGAGAAGUUUGUAAAAUAACUAUGACCACCCUUAGAGUUUGAAAUAAUUUCACUUAAAUAGCAUAUUUUAUUUAAAAUUAUUUUUCAAUCCCCCUUUAAAUUUGAAAUGUGAUAAUCUUUUUUAAAUAAAUCUUCCAAAAUCUAUUACCAUUAAGUAUAAAAUAUAAUGGUAGGUUAUUUAACACAAAUCAAAUAAAUAAGUUGCAAUUGCAAAAUUUAUAUAUGAUAUAACACUAAUAAAUAACACAACUAAAUACAUAUACUUAAGUAAAUGUCAUAGUUACAUCAAUAAACUCAUUGUUCAGAUUGCUUGUAACAUAAAAAUUACUUGAUCACACAUGUUUUAAUAAAAUUUAAUAUCGUAUAUUAAAAUACUAAUUAUUUUAUAAAACAGUAAGGGUCAUUGUAUAAUUGAUCAUGAAGUAUGUAUUAUUUUUAAUACCCAUUUAACAUACUUAUUUUCUUAACUUUAUAUUUAUCUUACAGUUAAUAUCCUUACAUGGUAGGAGUUUUAAGUUUUAUAAGCUUAUAUAUUUUCAUUUUAUUUUCAAAUAUCACUUUGUUAAUUUCAUAAAAGUUACUUUUGUUAUGAUAGUUAAUAGUGAUAAUAAAUAAAAUAUUGCCUUCAAUAAUAUUUACGUGGGAAAAAAAGUGAAAGAAAAUCGUUUAUAUUUUUAGAUUUUUAUUGACAUGGUAGGAAAUUAUCUCAGCCUUAUAAAACUUAACUUUCACAAGCUUGUUUUUAUUUUAUUUUCAAAUGUCACUUUGUUAAUUUCACAAAAGUUAAAUCUAACACAUAUUCCUAAUUAACUUUAGUUUAUGAAUCAUGAAAGAUUAUUUUAUUGUUAUUCUUUGAUAGUAAUUAUAAAAUUUAUAUGCUACGAAGAGUCAUUACUUUUAUUAUGAUAAUUAAUAGUGACAAUAAAUAAAAUAUUACAUCAAAUAAUAUUUAAUGGACAAAACGAGGAAAAAAAUCAUUGUAUGUUUUUAUAUUUCCAUUAUAAAGAUAUGGUUUGUGAUACUUUAACUUAAAAUUUUGGCACAAUAUUUGAGCCACUAAUAUCUCAUAUUCUAAUGGUUGAUAUUGAAAGUCAAAGCAUCAUUUUAUAAUGUUAUAUCCUCCACCAUUGAAUAGCAUGAAAUAAAUAGUUUAAUUUUUUGAUAAAAAUUUAAAUCAAAAUAUUUCUCACUCUAUAGUUAUAUAAACAUAUAUAUUUUUCAAUAAUAAUUGGUGAAUAAAAUAUUUCUCAUUUGCUGUGACUCAUAUAGUAUUAUUAAUAAAACACAUAUAAAAUAGUUUAUUGCAAUACUUUCUAUUAUCAUUAUUGUUUAGGUAUUAAUGGUUUGUAAUUAAAUUCAUACAAUACAAAUUAUUACAAGACUUUGUGUUAAAUAGCCUACUUGAUAUUAUAUUUUAUACUUAAUGGUAACUGAUUUUGGAAGAUUUAUUUAAAAGAAAUUAUCAUAUUACAAAUUUAAAGGAGGGCUGAAAAGUAAUUUUAAAUAAAAUAUACUAUUUAAGUGAAAUUGUUUCAAACUCUAAGGGUGGUCACAAUUAUUUUACAAAAAUUAUCUACCCACUUGAACGGUUACCAUUAUUUUUAAAUUUUUUUUUAGUACAAAUAUUGUAUACCAUUGAUUAGAUCUAAUGGUUCACAAUUAAUACAUUAUUGAUGCUGUAAAAAAAUUUACAGCAUCAUAGAGGAACCCUUUUAAAAGCAAUUUCCAUAAUAUUUUCAUUAGAAUUUCUUAUAACAACAUCCAACAUUGGUUAUUGAUAUUUUAAGGUUUCAUCUUAAAUAAUAAUAACAAAAUAAUUAAAUUUUUAUCAAAAUUUAAGGAAAUACAUUGUGCUAUGAUAAACAAGGAAUGUCAACUAAAUAUCGUCAAAAUAAAUAAUAAAAUUUUAAGUCGAGUUUUGGUUUCACAUAAUUGUAAUUAUGGAGACUAGUUAUUCGAAUAAAAUUUAAUUUCUUCUGUUUAUCAUUGUAAAUUUAAAUAGGGAUAAGUGCAUGAUUAUAAAGGCAGGGUUUGAUAAGGAUUUUUUGGAGGUACCAAUAGGACCACUCAUGGGCCAUGACAAAAUUAAGCCCAUGCAAGGCCCACCUAAUCCAUUUUUACAUUUAGCCUGAAGAAUAAGACGAUAAUAAACAAUAGGCCUAAAUAAUAAGAUGAUAUAAAAGUAAGAAUAAUGUUAAGAUACCAAUUUUUUAGUCUUAACUUCUUAUGUCUUAAUGUCACACGUCAUUCAUUUAUUAGACGAUAAAUUUUAUAACUUGUAAAAUUAUUUAACCACCAUCUAAUAAAUGAUUGCCAUAUCUAUUGAAAUUUAAAUUGAAACUUAAAUUUUAGAAUGCUUAGCAUUGAGCUGAAUCUAAACGAUUUCAUUUUCUAUUAUUGUUAUUUUAUUUUAAUUUUUUUUCACAAUCGGAUUUUUCUUUGAGACAAUAGAAAGCCUUUUGGCUUUAAGCAUGUAUAGUAAAUUGAAAAAAAAAAUUAUCCAUGAGUUUCUGAAAACCAAUUAACUUCAAAAUCUCUUCCAGCGGUAGGAGGAACAUCUUCAAUAACUUUUUCAUGGCCUUUUGGGUAAUAAAUCCCAGUUCUUUCAUGAGGAACCCAGCCACAAUUCCCUUCAUUUUCUCCCACAUUAUUAUUCAUCUGCUGGCUCCUCAUCACAUUUCCCUCUUCUGCAUUGGAUUUCAAUGUCGUUUCUCUCAUUAUAUCAUGAGAACUUGCUUUCCUUGGAAAAGAUUUUUUCAUAAUUGGCCUGUGUGUUUGAAAAGCAUUUAACAAAUUAACAACACAAAAACAAAAGACUAGAAGAUUCAAAUGCUCAAAGGAAUGAAAGUAAUCUUUUUUAUUGUGAGGAUAGUGGCGAAAUCAAGAUUUUGGUUCGACAAAUGUCAUCAAUAAUAGAGAAACAAUAAAUUUAAGUAGGUUAUAACACAAAAAUAUAAAAAUAAGAGGGCUACAAAAUAAAAUUGUCAAGACACAAAGAUAUAUUUAAUUGAAGACUUUCAUAUUUCUUGAAUUUUUUUUCAACAUGGAGCCUCUGUGGAGAACUAUUGAUUCAGUUAAUAAAACAUUUAAUUCUAUUUACUUAACCAACCACUCAUAAUUAGUAAUUAGAUAAUUUGAAACUAUUAGGCCUAUUUCGAACGAACUGUUUCAUAAUAAAAUCAAUUUAAAUAAAGUGAAAAGAUUUAUUUACAAACACACCAUGCAAUAACAUAGAUUCUAUAAUGAAGUGAGAUUGUCAAAAUGAAAUCAUGAAAUUGCAAUAUAGAUAGAUAAUGGAAACAUUACUUGAAAAACAUAGAAUUAAAGGUGGGAGCUCCUCUAGCAAACGAUCCUGUCAUUUUUUUCCCCCUUUUUUCUCUCACUUUCUCUCUUUCCAAACAAUGUGGGUGGAUUGAAUUGAAUUAUGAUUUAGAUAGAGAGCUCUUUGUAUAGUGAAGUUAAAUAAGAGAAUAUUGUUAUCCAUUUCUCGGGUCCGCCUACGUUACAUGUAGUGUAACGUACACUCAGCCUGUGAAAUUUCAUCUAGCCCCUUAUACUUUCUGUUAUUUAUAUUUUAUUCAUAAAUAUUAUAAAUUUUUUGAAAUGUACAAUUUUGUUUAACCCCUUAUACACUCAAUUUUAUUUUAUUAAAACCCUAGAGUAUGAAUUCGCCCCUAUAAUAUUAAAUUCUCAAAAUAACCUCUAUUUAAUUAAAAAAUAUAAUUAUUGUUAAAUGAAUUAUAAUUAUAAUUAUUAUUUUAUUAUAAUCAUAAAUAUUUUUUUAAUAGAUUAUUGUUAUUAUUAAUAACAAGAAUAAAAAGCAUUAUAAUUAAUCUAUUAACAAUAAUUAAUAAUAUUUUUUUAUUAAAUUGUUAAUAAUAAUAAUCAAUGAUAAUUAAUAUAUUUAUGAUUAUAAUAAAAUAUGAAAGGAGAGCGGAGACUUUUAUUUUGAAUAAACUAGUUCCGAUUAACAUAUUUAUGAUUAUAAUAAUAUUUUUUGAGUUGUUUGGGCAAGGGGGUCUCAUGCGUGUGUGGACUUUUAGGCUGCCAGGAGAGCGGAGGCUGGAAAAAUACCUUGCGUUUAGAUAGUGACUUGUGUGUGAGUAAUAACAAUUUUUAUUAUAAAAAUAAGUUUUAUACCAAAUAUUAAAAAAAAUCUAGAUAAUCAUUAAUUAUUAUUAUUAUUAACAAUUUAAUAAAAAAUAUUAUUAAUUAUUGUUAAUAGAUUAAUUAAUUAUAAUGCUUUUUAUUCUUGUUAUUAAUAAUAACAAUAAUCUAUUAAAAAAUAUUUAUGAUUAUAAUAAAAUAAUAAUUAUAAUUAUAAUUCAUUUAACAAUAAUUAUAUUUUUUUAAUUAAAUAGAGGUUAUUUUGAGAAUUUAAUAUUAUAGGGGCGAAUUCAUACUCUAGGGUUUUAAUAAAAUAAAAUUGAGUGUAUAAGGGGUUAAACGAAAUUGUACAUUUCAAAAAAUUUAUAAUAUUUAUGAAUAAAAUAUAAAUAACAGAAAGUAUAAGGGGCUGGAUGAAAUUUCACAGGCUGAGUGUAUGUUACACUACAUGUAACGUAGGCGGACCCCCAUUUCUCUCAUCUCUAGGGAGGUCAUUUAUUGUUCCCGUGUACGUCAUUUUCUGUUUCGAUAAAUAUUAAAUUAUAAUACUCUUUCUUGAUCAUUGGGGAGCACUCAUUGCAGAGCAUGGCCUUCUUUUGUUCCCUUUUGUUUUGUUUUUGUUUUUUAGUCAUCUAAGUUAUGGGACAUGGCUUGUGGACUCAGCUUUUAAAAACUUUCCCUAGGUAAGUAGUUGAAUCUAGGGGAGGUACUUUUUAGUCAUAACGAGAUUACACGAUAUAAAAUGAGAUAUAGAGGUGGAUUCACCUCAUGAUUAGUGGGACAGAGAGAAUAGUUAAAAAAAAUUAUUUGAGUUAUUAAUUAAUUCUGUUGAAUAUAUUAAAAUAGGCAAGUUAAAUUUAUAAAAAUAGUCUCAUAAAUUUAAAAUUUAUAAAAUUUUAACUUUGAGAAUUACAAAAACCAUACUUUAAUUAAAAAAUAAAAGGCUAUGAGGUAACCCAUAUAGGUGGUUUUACUAUUAUUUAAUUUAGUUUCCAUUAAAUCUAUAAAAAUAAUUUAUUUAAACUCAUCAACCUAUAAAAUUUGAGUUUUCGCGUCGUGUCGUUAUAUAAUUUAACCAUCAAUAAAUUAUUUUUCUGAAUCCACCACUGAUAACAUAAAUAUAAAAAAAUUAAGUGCUCGAUUUACCUCACGCAAAUAUGACAUAAUAUUUUCGUUAAGUGUCAGAAAAAACUUAAAAAUGGUAGCCAAUUAAAUAAACUAUGACCAUUGACAAAAAAUUAAUGAAAUUGUAACAGAUAUACAAAAAGAUUUUAAAAUCCUUUUGCCCUUAAGUUGAUAUAAGAUGAGUCGUUAAUAAUUGCACGUGCAAACAUCGUAUAUUCUUUAUAAUUAAUUGUGCAGAUUUUGAUGACCAAUGCACCAAAACCACAUGGUAAAAAUCUCCUUAAUGUUUCUGUUUUGUGAAAGUUGCUGAAUCAAUGUCAUGACGCUAAUUUUCAAAGCAUGAAAAUAGAAUGAAAUUAAAGAAACCAUAGUGAUGUAUCUUGUUUGCAUACUGGAAUGUGAAAAAACUUGUUUUCAUUUCUUAAAAUAAAACAUUAUACACUGAGAGUUAUUUAUAGAUGCAGAGACUACAUUUUGUCAAAGUUUACAUAUGUGAAUACGGAAGGAAAUGUGUCAAUCCGUUCGGCGCGGAUCUUGUCUUUGACAAGUGCAGAUUAUCCCUUUGACAAGUGCGGAUUAUGUCUUUGAAAACUUCAUUCAAUGCCGUUUUAUUUGAUUCUCAACACUCCCCCUCAAGCUGGUGCAUAGAUGUCUUGCAUACCCAGCUUGUCUAGGAAUUUUGUAAAUGCCCUGCUUGAAAUGGCCUUCGUUAAAAUAUCUACAAGUUGAUCUUCUGAUCGAAUUUUCAGCAGUUCUAAGAUUUUUUCAUCUAAUUUCUCCUUGAUGAAAAAUCUAUCUAUCUCGACAUGUUUUGUUCGAUCGUGUUGAACUGGGUUAUGAGCAAUAUCUCGUGCAGCUUUGUUGUCACAGUAUAGUUGUAUUGGUUGUUGUGAUGGAUAGCCCAAAUCGUUUAAGAUAAAGCUUAUCCAUAGCCCUUCACAUACCCCAAGGGCCAUGCCUCGAUAUUCUGUUUCAGCGCUCGAACGGGCAACGACAUGUUGUUUCUUGCUUCUCCAUGUGACAAGGUUGCCUCCCACAAAGGUAAAGUGUCCUGAAGUAGAGCGUCUAUCACUAACUGACCCGACCCAAUCUGCAUCAGUAUAAACUUCUAUGUUGCUGUAAUCUUCAUUUUUGGAAAAUAGGAUUCUUUUUCCUGGAUUUGUCUUCAGGUACCUCAGGAUCCGCAUUACUGCUUUAAUGUGUUGUUCUCCGGGAUUAUGCAUAAACUGACUUACAACACUCAAUGCAUAAGCAAGAUCUGGCCUUGUGUGCGACAAGUACAUCAAUCUUCCAAUCAGUCUUUGAUAUCUUCCUUUGUCUACUGGAACUUGGUCUGAGGUAAUACAAAACUUCAGUCCUUCUUCUAUUGGGGUGUCAAUAGGCUAACAAGCUGUCAUUCCCGUUUCGUGCAAUAGAUUUAAGGCAUAUUUCCUUUGAGACAGAAAGAUUCCUCCCUUAGAUCAAGAAACCUCAAUUCCAUGAAAGUAUUUUAAGGCUCAUAAAUCCUUCAUCUCAAACUCUCUUGACAAGUACUUCUGAAGAGCCUAUCUUUCUUCCUCGUCAUUGCCUGUAACUACCAUAUCAUCCACAUAGACAAUAAGGACAGUGAUUUUACCUUGUCGUUUUUUAAUGAACAAAGUAUGAUCUGAACUGCUUUGGUUAUACCCAAAAAGAACCAUAGCCUUUGUGAAUUUCCCGAACCAUGCUCUUGGGGAUUGCUUCAACCCGUGUAAUGAUUUCUUCAAUUUGCAUCCUUUCUGAUUGAGUCGUUCUAGUCCACUGCAUCCUAGUGGCAGAUCCAUAUAAAUUUCUUCAGAUAGGUUUCCAUAGAGGAAAGCAUUCUUUACAUCAAACUGUUGCACUGGCCAAUCCAAGUUGACUGCUAAUGAUAAUAAGAUAUGAAUAGUAUUAAUUUUUGCUACCGGUGCAAACGUAUCGGAAUAAUCUAUUCCGUAGGUUUGAGUGUAACCCUUAGCUACGAGUCUUGCUUUGUAUCGUUCAAUAGAGCCAUAUGCUUUGUACUUUAUAGUAUAGAUCCAUCGGCAACCCACUGGUUUCUUUCUUGGUGGAGAUCAACUAGUUCCCAUGUUGGAUUUUUCUGAAGAGAUCUCAUUUCAUCAUUCAUAGAUGCUUUCCACUUUGGGUCUUUUAAGGCUUCUUGCACACUGUUAGGAAUAGAUACAGUAGAUAAUUGAUUCACAAAUGACUGAUUUGAUUCUGACAAGCGAUGGUUAGACACAAAAUGACUCAUAGGGUAUUUGACUCUGCUAGAGAAGUCAAGCUCAUAUGUGGUUUUAGGGAUACCUCUAUUUUGACGCUGGGGAAGAAUUCUUCUGAUUGGACUUGUGGUAGGAACAUCCUCUGCAGACGAUUAGUUAGGUAUUUCUUCAUGUGACUCAUUCUCGAUUGCAGUUGUGUCUGAGUUAUUGUGCUCCCCAAAUGUGUCUUCACUUAUCUCAGCCUGAGAAUCAUCACCAUUAUCUUUUCCAGUAUCUUGAAGGUUUACUAUCUCAAUGGAAAAUUGACCUUCUUCAAGUGGAAGAUGUGUAAGAGUAUGAAUUUCCUCUUCAUUAUACUCCCCCUGAAAUUCAGGCUCUGACAAGUAGUACAUGAUAUCUUCAUGAAAGACGACAUCUAUGGUGAUGUAUAUUUUUCUUGAUGGUGGAUGAUAGCAUCGGUAUCCCUUUUGAUAUAAGGCAUACCCUACAAACACACAACGUAGUGCUCGAGGAGAUAAUUUGUCUUGUUGUGACAAAUGAACAAAGGCAACACAGCCAAACACAUGUGGGGGUAAAUUCGGCAAUAAGAUAGUGGCAUGUGGGCUUGGAAAGGAGUCUGGAAUCCAAGAGAGCUUGAAGGUGUUCGAUUGAUCAAGUAUGUUGCGGAUGCCAGUGCUUCUCCCCAAUAAGAUAGUGGCAUGUGGGCUUGGAUUAGUGAUGCUCGAACAACUUCUAGUAAAUGUCUGUUUUUUCGUUCAGCAACGCCAUUUUGUUGGGGUGUCCCCACACAAGUGGUUUGAUGGACAGGUCCUUGUGAUUUCAGAAACUGUUGAAUUGUUGUGCUCAUAUACUCGUCUCCAUUAUCAGUAUGUAGAACUCGAAUUUGUGUCUGAAAUUGAGUCGUCACCAUCUUAUGAAAUCUUUGAAAUAAAGAGUUUACUUCGUCUUUUAAUUUCAUCAUAAAAAUCCAUGUCAUUCUGCUACAAUCAUCAAUAAAUGUAACAAACCAACGAGCACCUCCAAUUGUAGAAACUUUAGAUGGCCCCCAUACAUCAGAAUGUACUACCAUGAAAGGAACUGGAUUUUUAUUUAAGGAAAAUGAAAAAGUAGUUCGAUGGUUUUUUGAAAGUUCACAAACAUCACAUUUAAAGUUACAAAUAUCAAAUUUCAGAAACAAACUAGGAAAUAAUUUUUUUAAGUAACCAAAUGACAUAUGCCCUAAACGUUUAUGCCAUAACCAAAUUUCUGAUUUCCCUUUUUUUAUGGAACUAUCUGCGACUAGUACGGGGAUUAGCUUUCCAGUGUUUGUUGAUGACAUCUCCAAGUAGUACAAGUUGCCUCGUCUAAUACCAUAACCAAUCGUUUGCUUCAUUUGAAUGUCCUUAAACACACAAUGAUCAGGCCAAAAACUUACAACACAUGAUAAGUAAGUUGUUAAUUGAGACACAGAUAAAAGAUUAUAAUCUAAAGAUGGAACAAUUAACACAGAGUCUAAAUUUAAUUCAUCUGUGAGUCGUAAAGAUCCUUCCCCAAUAACUAAGGUUGUGGUUCCAUUUGCAGUGGAAAUAUGUUUUUGUGAAGAUGGUUUCAAUUGAGAAACUUGUUGAGAAUCAAAAGUCAUAUGAUCAGUUGCCCCAGAAUCAAUUAUCCAUGUACUAUUAAUAACAGGUGUAAGAGUUUUAAGGGCCUUACCUGGACUGACAGAGGUUGCGAUUUGCACUGAAGAUUCUUUUCUAAGAUCUGUAGUGGAUGUGGAUUCAGCUACUGCAGUUUUUUAUCCCUGCUUGGUGUUCUUCUUUCGAGUAUCCCACCAGUCAGGAUAUCCAAUGAUUUCAAAAUAUUGUUCUUUCGUAUGACCCUUCUUUCUACAAUGAGUUCAAUGGAGUGAUGACUUGUCAACAAGCUUCCUUUAAGGCUGCUGUCGUGCUAUCAUAGCAGACGUUUCUGAGUCGACCUUCUUAUUUAGUUUGCUUUGCCGUACAUCUUCUCUUCAGAUAAGAGAAUAACAUUCUUCUAAGUCUGGGAUAAUAUCUUUUCGUAGAAUUUCUCCACGAACUUGGUCAAAUUCUUCAUCUAGCCCAGCAAGAAAAAUGUGCACUCUCAAUCUUUCAACAGACCUUCUGUAUAUUACAACAUCUUCUGGAUCCUUCAUGACCACUUUAUCUCGGUGAUCAAGUUCUCGAAAUAUUUCAAUCAAUUCUCCGUAGAAUUUAGAGAGUGGUUGUCCAUUUUGCUUGAUUGAGAAUGCCUUCUGAUUUAGAGUGAAAACUUGUAAUUCAUCGCUUCCAUCAUAGAAGGCUUUUGAUAAUGCAUCCCAAAUUUCGUAGGCUGUAGGAAUUCGUAAAUAUCGCUUCAUGAUCUCCGGAGACAUGGAUAUGAGUAACCAUCUUUUCACUUUUUGGUUCUCACUAUACCAUUUCUCAUAUUCCUUUGAAGAUUCCUCAGAUGGCUUUGUGUAGCUACAAAUAUAUGAGAGUUUUUCUCUUUCUGCAAGAUGCAUCUCCAUUAUUUGAGACCAAACAUCGUAGUUUGUCUCAAUGAGGAUAAUUCCAGCAUUAAAUACUCCAUCAGAUUGAACAGAUUGAAUGACAACAGGAGCAGAUUCAGUUGGAGUUUUCUCCAUUUUUUUGUUUUUUUCUUUUCUUUUUUUUUUUGUUUUUUGUUUUUUAUUUUUUUAUUUUUUUAUUUUUUUUUUUUUGCGUCUAGAUUGAAAGAAGAAAAAAAAUAACCUUUUUAGAUCAAAAAACGACAAGUUGUUUGGCCUCUGCUUGACGAAACGAUAUGUCGGCUCUGAUGGAAUAGAAACGACAUGUCGUUUUAGGACUGCUGCACUCUGGAGAUAAAAAACGACAUGUCGGUUGAAGUCUUCUUCAACCUCUGGAGCGCGUGAGAGCGCGUAAAGAUGACAGAGGCGCGUGGUUGAUUGGCCGUGGUUUCGGGUGGCGCGUGGAAGCGCGUGGGUAUGUGUUUAAAUGCGAAAUUUUUACAGUUUACUUACUGGAAACUGAGAAAUUUGAUGGUAUUCUUGGUUUUUGAGGAACACACUCUUGGAAAAUUGAUAGGAUUGUUGAUAAAUUUGUAAACUCAAGUUUUUUACGUAUGGGUGGCUUGUUUUUUGAUCGGCAUGGAUUUCGGAAAUGGUAGGAAUGGUUGUAAGGAAGAAAAUUGUGGGAAAAUGGUUGUGGGAAGAAUUUGGUUUCCUCUGUUUUUGUUACAAAUAGAGCAGUGAAACUGGAAGAAACUUGAGCGUAUUCAUGGCUCUGAUACCAUGAAGAAACUUGUUUUCAUUUCUUAAAAUAAAACAUUAUACACUGAGAGUUAUUUAUAGAUGCAGAAACUACAUUUUUUCAAAGUUUACAUAUGUGAAUACGGAAGGAAAUGUGUCAAUCCAUUCGGCGCGGAUCUUGUCUUUGACAAGUGCAGAUUAUCCCUUUGACAAGUACGGAUUAUGUCUUUGAAAACUUCAUUCAAUGACGUUUUAUUUGAUUCUCAACAUAAUGAAAUGUUGAUAUCGGCAAAUCUAGGAUGUAAACUAAGGUUCACAUAAAAAAAAAAAAACUAAUAAUAAUAAUAAUAUUAUUAUUUUAAUCCAUGAAUAGAAAAAGGUUGUAUGCUCAUCAACCCAUUGCAAACUUUUGGCUUAAGAUUAAUAUGAGUAAUACAACACAGCUAUAUCAUAUCCCUAAACUUGAAAAUUAUUUAAAAAGGACCAUGUCUUGAUGAGGAUGAUAAAAUUAGCAAGGUUUCUAUUUUAUAAGUGUCUUCAACAACAGCUCAAAAACUUGCCUCCUCGGUUGUUGGUCGCCUCAAGAAAUAUCGCAAACUGUUAGCAAGAACCUGCAAAUUUGAUCAAGCAAAGUCUAAUCAGUACAUCAACGAUCGUGCAAGUCUUCAGGCGCACCGUGUGAUCAUUAGCACGUUAAUGUUCUUACCGCCCACUUCAAAGUUUAAAUUCAAAUCUUUUAUAUAAGAACAGUUUUGCAACUAGAAUACCGAUUUUGAGUAGAAAUGGUAAGUCUCUUUAUUCUUCAGAGCAAACAAUCUAUAAAGCAAUUUCCGAUGUCCUAUAUGUAGGCCUGUUUUUUUUACCUGUUGGAGAGGCUUGAUAAUGGCUUCACCCUUGUAGCUGACAUGAAACUUUGCCUUAGCCAACAACCCCUGGGUGCGAAAACAAAAAUUAGAACAAAAUAUAUUAAUAAGGGAAGGCCACUCUUUUGUCAAUAUAUAUAUAUUAAUAAGGGAAGUGGGACGUUAUCCUUCCCAUAAUAACUCAUAUACAUAGUUUUUAACAUUCAUGACAACAUGAUAUUAAUUUCAAUGGCAGGCAAAUUGAAUAUAAUGUCUUUAAAGAAAAUGAGGAUAAAAGGGAAGUAAUAUUUGGCCUAAGAGAACUCUAAAAACAACUUAGUUUCCUAUUCAAAUGAUCCACUAGUGAGAAGAGCCAAAAAUAUCAAUAAUCUGAAAAAUCAAAAUAAGACCAGAAAGCAAAAACCUGUUGUUUUGGAGGAUCAACGCCAAAGGCAACACCCAUUGCCAACUGGGAACUUCAUUCCUGAUUCCAUCACCAACACAAAUGGAAUAAACUUUUCAAUAAGAGAAUACCUACAGGUGCUCCACCAAGUGAUAUCUCAAGAGAGACAAAAAAAUGAUUACCGGGUGAUACUGAAGUAGAUUGUUUAUAACUGUCAAACGAAUUGCCUCAAGCACCUCAGGAUCAUCAACUUUCCUACCAGUAUCACUGCACACAAGCAUCAUGACCAAAUUAAUCAAAACCACAGUGGGAAUCUAUUGCAAGAACUUCUCCAAAAAACAGCGAUGGCUCUUUGGAUCAUUGAUUUUAGGUUCUAGUAUGUCUAAAAUUUUAACGAUUUCAACAUUAGUUAUAAACAUCUAUUUGCAACAGACUGAUCACACUUGUAUAUGGAGCAUCAAAAGUAGGUAUUUACUAUGCUCAUCAAAUAUAGACCAGAAGACGUUGACAACAAUUAAAGGAUAUUAGUGAAUGAAACUGCAAGCAGAGAAUAUAAAUCAGCUCAGUAAUGCAAGGGCAUGAAAAGCAAAAUGCAUAUGCAUCACAAAAUUACAGAGAUAUAUAAUUUCGCAGUCAUAUGAUGAUAUUGCAGCGGUGAAGCCGUGCGUGAGGUUAAGGCAAGUGAUGGAAUGACUUGCGUUACAAAAGAGGUAUGUGAAGUUGCACUAUAAAAAUAAAAUAAAUUUGUAUUUUCAAGUAGUGAGGUUAACGUGGCUUGUUUUUGCUCAAAACCUUAAGGAGCUAUAUAUAAAGUUUUGUAAUGAUGUGGAAGAAAUAAUUAGUGUUGAUAAAUUGAGUGAUAUUUCAGAUAUAAUCGGGUCAGAGCAUAACUUUUUCUCACAACUCGAAUAUCUAUUCAUAAGGUGGGGACCAAAUUUAAAGAGCGUUUACCCGAAUCCCCUGCCCUUUCCAAAGCUGAAGAAAAUUGAAGUACGUGGAUGCCCACAGCUGAAGAAGCUCCCACUCAAUUCCAGCAGCGCGAAGGAACGUCGAGUUGUCAUCGAGGGAGAGAAAAAAUGGUAGGAAGAGCUACAAUGGGAGGAUCAAGCCACCCAAAAUGCUUUCUCUUCCGGUGCCGUAAUUAAUGAGGGUCCUUUUCAUUAAUAUGUUUGAAUAUGUAUUUCUUUUUUUUUUUAAUUUUCAUUAGAUUUAAUUGCAUCUUGUUCUUGUUGUCUGGUGUGUCAAUCGUUCCCUAUUUUCAGUUAAUAAAAUUUCAGCAGUGGAUUCUUGGUUUAUUAAUGUUUAUAUAACUGAAUUGUUCAGCAGAUGUACUCUGCAUAUGUACUCUGCACAACUAACACAGAAAUAAACACAGAAAUAAAUAUAUGUAAGUGGGUACAGGACUGACUCUGCUUCUGGCUGCGAAUUGCAAAUAAAAGAAGCCGAUAUAUUAAACCCAACUGACAUUAUUAUUGCAAAUAAGAGAAGUUAAUACAUUGUCUACCCACUCUGCAGACUGUCAACAAAUGUUCAACCACCACAAAUGAAAAAAUGGAACUUGAUUUUUGUCUAACCAAAUACAAGCCAAACAGGAUUUUGCGCAGAUAUUCUACCAGCAAAUUCUAAAUCCUCUUUGACAUAAUCCAUCUUAGAAUAAUUGCUCCUUACUUCAUCUCUGAAACCAAACUCUUAGCUCUUGCUUUUCUAAUAGGUUGCAGGCCGUUUUAGUAGACACCCCAUGAAAGGAUCGGCUAGAGUGUAAACAAGCAUUGCCCCUUCCUUGGUUGCUUGCUUUACUAUCUCCAUCAACUGCUCAACAUCAUUAAAUUAACAAAAUUGUUGCAAUUACAAUAUGUCAGUGCUCACAUUUUAGCUGAUUAAAUUAAAUGAGGUUUCAACAUUAAGCAAAACAAUCCAGAUUAUAAUAAUAAAGCAUUUCCUCUAGUACACCAACAACAAUUAUUGUUUUCUGUGAUCAAAUCACAUACAGAAAAUAACUAAAUUGACAAGAGUUGAACUGAAGAGUCAGCUUUCCAAUUUUCUACUUCUACAAUUUUAUUCGGAAUAAAGAAAAACAGCCUAAUAUAGAAGGGAAAGAAAUAAAAAGUUCAGCAUGGUCAAAUGGGUCAAUUUUCAUCCUCCCUUUACUGCUCCACUUUGCUCAAUCAAGUGGAUUUACAUUCAAUUCUUGAGGAUUUGAAUUAAAAAAACAAAAAAAAAAAAGCAACAGUUUAUAUUCAUCUAUAAGCGGGCUAUGUAAAGAUCAAGGUCUGUGUCUGUAAAACUUAAGUCUUCCGGCUUCAAAGGAGAAUGAGGCAAAAGCUGAACAUUUGUGGAGUGAUAUAAAAAAUUUGUGGUUCUGGAUCCAUUUCACAUUAGGCAUUGUAAUGUUUAUGGAUGGUAUACAGGAUGUCACGAAUAGUUAAACGAAGAAGGUAUUUGAUUGAAAUGCGCAGAUGUUCGAUGAAAUGUAUCUGCGUUUCAGCCUCAGCGGAAAUUGUUGUGAGUGUGUGAUGGGUAUUUCAAAAUAUUGAAUCCAAGACAAUUGAAUUUGAAUUAAAUUGAAGGAGUUUAAAUUUAAUUAACUAAAGUUAAUUGACUCAUUUUUAAUAAUGUUAAAAUUUGGUUAGAGGAAGUUAUGGUAGUUAAGAAAAUAAAAUUAAAAGAAGUUGAAGUGGAUUAAAGAGAGAUAAAUUAAAUGGAGGCUAUUCAAAGAUGUAUUUGGAACAGACACCGUUAAUUUAUAAAUAGUAGCCUACAUAUUAUUAUUCGAUAUUGAUUUUUUCUCUACCACUUCUUCAACUCUACUUCUUCCAUAUUCCAAAUACUAACACAUAAAUCAUCAUAUUUUAUAUUUAAUUAUUUGUUAUUCCAAAUUGUUGUAUUGAGUGUGCACUAAUACAAAAAUUACAGUUGUAUCCUAGGAACUAUCUAUCAACAAUCUAUUUGUACCAAAAUAUUAUUUUGAGAGGCAAAAACAGUCUCAAAAACAGCGUAUACCACAUCUUAACUCUUACUUAUUUUAUUCAUAACCAUAUCAUAUUUUUUUGCAAUAUCUUAUUUAUUAUCUUAAAUUUUUACAACUAUCUUAAGAUUAGUUCUUAUGGAUGUUGUAACUAAUGCUGCAAUGAUGGCUGUCGCUAAAGCUCUACUUGACACACAAAAACUGAACGUUUGAUAGGAAUUUUCUAAGGCAAUGGCAUGAUCAUAUCUAUGGCACAUUGGAUGUAAUGAAUUAUGCUUAAUUUCUAUAGAGCCUCCACCAGAUUCUGAAUCUAAAAAUUAUGAGGUAUCAUAUCAAAAUUAGACUAAAGCAAAUAAGAUAUGCUGAAGUACCAUUCUGAACACUGUUUCAAAUGAGUUAUAUGAUGUUUGUUCACAACACAAGUUUGUGUAUGAAAUUUGGACUUAAUUGCAUAAAAAUAUAUCAUAGAAGAUGCUGGAGCCCAAAAAUAUUUAAUUGCUAAUUUUUUAGAUUUUAAGAUGAUAGAAGAUAAGGAAGUGACUUCUCAAAUUCAUGGAUUCCACAUGCUUAUUAAUGAUUCGAAAAAUGAAAAUAUAAAUCUUCCUGAGUUUUUUGUGGUUGGUUACCACAUUGAAAAAUUGGCUGACUCAUGGAAGGAUUAUUAGAAAAUAACAAAGAAAAUAAUAAGCACAAAAUGAAAGCAUAAGAAUUUGGAGGAUGCUAUUGUUCAAAUCCGAAUUGAAGAAAAACAUAGACAAAUGGAUCAAUUGGAGAAAGCCAAGGAAAUUACUUUUAAGGCUAAUUUGAUUGAGAAUGAGGCUCAUCCAAGCAAGAAUCAAAACCCUAACAACAACAAGCUUUUCAAAAAUAAAAAGAUCACAUUAAAAAAAAAAAAAGGCAAUUGUUAUGUUUGUGGCAAACCUGGAUAUUUUGCUAUCAAAUGCAAGUAUAGAAAAAGAGAUCACAAGCCUCUUAAGGCCAAUUUGGUCAAUAAAGAAGAAAUUAUUGCUGUUGUGGUGGUCACUCAAGCGAACUGCUACCGAGGGAAAAAAAAUGGCGACAAAUUCUACUGCUACCAAACACAUUAGUAGUGAUAGAAAUUCUUUCUUUAAGUAUGUUCAAGAGAGCGAUUUGGAAGAAAAAGUGCAUUUUGGUGACUUCCACUCGAUUCCAAUCAUAGGAAAAGGUAAAAUUCUUCUCAAAUUGACUUCCGGAAAAAUCUUCUCAAUGAAAAAUGUACUUAAUAUUCCUAAUAUUAGAUAUAAUUUAAUUUCCUAUUUCUACUUGGGAAGGGUUGGUGUAAAAGUCUCCUUUGAAUGAGAUAAAAUUGUAAUGACUAAAAAUGGGCUCUUUGUUGGGAAAGGAUAUGUCUAUGGAAAUUUGUUCAAGAUUAAUGUACUUGACACAAUUAUUAAUAAUCGAGUCUCUACUUCUCCUUAUAUUUUCUUACUCUGUUGAUUUACGGCAUGCUAGAUUAGGCCAUGUGAAUUUUUCUUGAAGAAAAUGAAAGGUAUUGGCUUACUGUCUGGUUAAUGUAUCAAAGAUUGAAAAAUGUUGUGUACGUGUGGAGCCUAAGUCUGUAAAAAGGACAUGUAAACAAAUUCUUAUGAGAGAAACUAAAAUAUUCAGUUUAAUUUACAGUCACCUUGGAGAUUUAAAACAACCAUGACUAUAGGAGGUAAAAGAUUUUAUGUAACCUUGAUUAAUGAUUUUUCAAUAUAUACUAAGUUGUAUUUACUAAGAAAUAAAGAUGAGGCGGGUGAAAAUUUCUCAAUUUAUGAAAAUGAAGUUGAAAAUCAACUUGGGAAAAGAAUUAAAAAAAUUAAGAACUGAUAGAGAAGGGGAGUAUGCGUCUAAUAUGUUUUUGCCCUUUGUGAGGAUCAUGGCAUUAUUCAUGAAAUGACACCUCCUUAUUCACCUGAAUCGGAUGGGGUUGCUAAGAGGAAAAAUAGAACCCCAAAAGAAAUGAUAAAUGCGAUGCUUGUAAGUUCUAGGGUCCCUUUGAAAUUAUGGGGGGAAGCUAUCCUUGAUUUACAUCAGAUGGAUAUGAAGAUAACGUUUCUCAAUGGUGACAUUGAUGAGACUAUCUAUAUGGUGCAGCCUGAAAACUUUGUAUCAGGAGACCCAAAUAAUAUGGUUUGCAAACUUAAUCAAUCUAUCUUUGGACUCAAGCAAGCAUCUCGACAAUGGUAUUUCAAGUUUCAUCAAGUGAUCAUCUCAUUCAAUUUUGAGAUGAAUUUGGUCGAUGAUUGCAUAUACUAUAGGUUCUGUUGGGGCAAGUAUAUUUUUUCGGUUUCGUAUGUCGAUGAAAUAUAAAUCCAUCUUGUUAGCAAUGAUAUAUGCUUAUUACACAAUACCAAGAAAUUUCUAGCUAAUAAGAUGAAACAGCUAUAUCAAAAAAUAUUCUCAAGAGAUAUGGCUUACAAGAUUGCAAGAAAUUUAGUUUUUAUGGAAGAUUGUGAAUUUAGAUGCUUUUAUGAUAUAGACAUUUUUCAGUUAUUUCAGUUUAUGGAUAUUUAAAGUUAUUUUCUACAAAAUUAAAUGUUUUGAUUAUUCACACUCUGAUUUUAAUAUGGUUUGAUCUUACUAACGUUUAAAGUGAACCAGUUAGAAAUAGGCAUAUUAAGAUCACAAUGUAUGAAAUUUCCAUGCUAUACAUCCAUAUCAUGAUCCAUGUCAUUGGCAUAGUGACCAUUGAUGAGUCGAGUUAUGAAAGUUGUUAUAAAGGCCGCUUUGAUCUUAUGUUGAUAUGAUUAAUGAACCGGAUUAGUUAUGGAUGCAUUUAAGUAAUGAUAGUAAAGUUCAACUUAUACAAUUAUUUUUGCAAAGAAUAAUUAUAAGGUUACACAAUUAACCCAAGUAGCAUAUUGUUGGAUCUUGAAUCCAGUAUUAUUGGAUCCUUAAUCUAACAUUGGGCUCAUAUGUGAAUAAGUAUGAGUUGCAGAUUGUCAUAUAUGAUUAAAUCCAAUGAAAAGUAAUCUAAAAUUUUUUUCAGUGAUUUGAACUUUGAUGUAUCAAAUUGGGUGUGAGCCUUUAAUAAGAACAAUUUCUAUUUGUAAGAUGGGUUAAAAUAGAAAUACCUAAAUAUAACAAAAAAGUGUCUAUAUAAGUAGUUACAGUCCCAAGGCACUACUAGAAAAAUGGUCUUUACUGAUACUUGUGUUCUGACACUUUGUUUAAAAGUAUCAGUAUAUACAUAUAUUUGGAUCAUUUUUCACGUUUAACAGAUAUGUAUCAUUAAUUACUAAUACUGAAGUAUCAAUAGUUUUAGUAAUAACGAUCAAUGACGCUUAGGUAUCAGCAAUUAAAAAUUAUCAUUUUAAUUUUGUUUUAGUCCAAAUUCGAACCCAAGACCUCUUAAACCUAGAGCUUUUACAUUGAAUCAAAAGACCACUAGGCUACAAAUUAUUUUUAAUUUUUUUAGAGUUGUGCUUUUUAAGUGGAUAAAAACAAAACAAAUGGACAAGUCUUAUCUUAUCCAAAAUACAACUUUUCAACUCCCUUUACCAAAGUAUUCGUUCCCUUCUAAGCUCCCCAGAUCUGAAAAAUCCCUAACAUCCAAAUUGUCAAAAAGUGCUCAGCCAUGAUCCUAUCAAACUAGUGGCACAGAUUCACCAUUUGCCUUCAAAAUCCUAACUUAUUGUUUCUUUUCUUAUUUUAUGAUUUCGGGUCUCUCUUGUUGUCAUUAGAUCUUGAGUUUUUUUUUGUUUUAAUUGUUUUUUUAGGUUUAAAUAAGUGAUUUGGAGAAGAGCUUCUAUGUUUCUUUGGCUACUUGGAAGAAACUAGAAGGUAUUAUUUCUUUGGCUACUUGGAAGAAACAAGAAGGUAAAGAUUUAGCUUUUAUUGUGUUUUUUUCUCUACUACUUUCUUUUCUUUUAUUGGCACCAAAUAGCCUUCAUUAUAUCUACUUUGGAAAAUAUUGUGUUUAGGGUGAUCGUCACUGUAAGGUUAACUUUAUUUCGCUGAUGAACGACAAUAAACAUUUUUUACAGUAAAACCCUAAAAUUUUCUAAUUUGGGAAUUCUUAAGAGCAGCAUGAUUAUGCUAAAAUUGAUGGUUUAUAUUGGUUCAUAGUAGUUCUAUGUUGAUAUAACUUAUUGCUUAUUAACUAUUUGUUCAUGUGUUAUUAGCUUUUUUUUUCAAAAGCAAUCUUUUCAUUUUUUUUGGCUGUUAUUUUUUAGUUUUGUUCAUAUCGAAUAGAUUUCAAUUUUUAUUUGCUAUAAAUAGUCUCAUUGGAUGAUUACUUAUUACAAACUAUCAAAUAGAUGCUUUUACAAAGGAAAAGUUUGAAGUAUGUGGCUUAGGUUGAGAAAUGAGGUGUCUUUAUCAUUUCUUUAAUGGAUUUGUUUACAGGGCAAAACAGAAUUUUGUUUCUUCAAUUCAUUACUAAGGCAAUAUUAGAUUUGUCUUAUUUAUAUUUAUGUUCAUAAUAAGGCAAUAUCUACUUUAAUUGUUUAAUUUUUCUUAUUUAUAUUUAUAUGACUGAUGGCCAAAAUCAUAAGACUUGUUUAUAAGUAAUGAUUUUGGAAUGAACUCUCAAAUUAUUGAAAUAUUUUGUCCAAAGUUUACCAUAUGUUUGAAAUAAUUAAAGUUAAAUGUGUAUGUUUCAGUUCUGGAAAUUUGGAAUGAAUUGGGUCUAUAACUAAUUUUUAAUCGAUUUUUCAAAAUGGUUGGUUGUUGUCCAAUCUUUCAUAAAUUACUCAUGUAUCAUGUUUGGUGGUGCAAAACGAUAGUCUAAACAUGUCUGAAUGAGCUGAAAUUCGGAGAAACUAAAGUUCUAUAUGAAUACUUCAAAUUUGAAAAAUUUUAUGUUGAUUGAACUUGCAAGUUAUUUUUAAUGAUUUUUUAAACUCUGCUGCUCUGCAGCAAGUUCUUUUGACAUAACUAUUUAUUAACUUUUGUUCUUACAAAACACGAGCAUAAUAAUAUCAGAAUAACCUCAAAUUUUAAUAUGUUGUUCAUUCAUAUGUGUUGUUAAAAACUGGAAAAUAUCAUUCCAAUGUAUUAAGUAUCUUAAAUUUUAUAAGAUUCAUGGCCAAAAUCAUAAGACUUGUUUAUAAGCAAUGAUUUUGGAAUGAACUCUCAAAUUAUUGAAAUAUUUUGUCCAAACUUUACCAUAUGUUUGAUAUAAUUAAAGUUAAAUGUGUAUGUUUCAGUUUUGGAAAUUUUGGAAUGAAUUGGGUCUAUAACUGAUUUUUAAUCGAUUUUUCAAAAUGGUUGGUUGUUGUCCAAUCUUUCAUAAAUUACUCAUGUAUCAUGUUUGGUGGUGCAAAACAAUAGUCUAAACAUGUUUGAAUGAGCUGAAAUUCGGCGAAACUAAAGUUCUAUAUGCUUACUUCAAAUCUGAAAAAUUUUAUAUUGAUUGAACUUGCAGGUUAUUUUUAAUGAUUUUUUAAACUUUGCUGCUCUGUAGCAAGUUCUUUUGACAUAACUAUUUAUUAACAUUUGAUCUUACAAAACACCAGCAUAAUAAUAUCAGAAUAACCUUAAAUUUUAAUAUGUUGUUCAUUCAUAUGUGUUGUUAAAAAUUGGAAAAUAUCAAUCCAAUGUAUUAAGUAUCUUAAAUUUUAUAAAUAUGUAUUUAAGUACCAAUUACUACUGUAGUUUUUCAUUGACAAUUUUGAAUUACACACAAAUCUACUUAAUUAUUUUUAGGAAUCUGGUUUUAUUAUUUAAUUGUCCCACAUACCUCUUGUUGUGCAAAUUUUAAUGAACUCGCAAGUGCACGAAUCUAUUGUAGUAUAGAUCAAUGGUGACGAGUGUCGAUCCCAUGAGGAGGUGGAUUUUAAUUAUAUGUAGAAUUAAUUUUGUAAAUGGGUGGUUGGAAUUGUGGUGGAAGUGAUUUAAAUUAUCCUAAAAUUGGAAUUGAAAUGGCGAUAAUCAAUUCUAAAAUUGGAAUUGCAAUGGCGAGAAUAAAUUGAAGCGAAAUCUAUUGAAAUGACGUACUUGGGUAUCUGGAUCCGUAUCAACAUGCACCAUGGGCUAAAUAUUCCUUAUUAAUACCAAUUAAAUCAUGAGGGGGGGAAUCCACACCUCAUGAACCACACUUUAAUCAAUAUGGUGCUAAGGGCUUAUCGUGCCAAAUAAUAAUAACCUUGUACUAGGGGGCCGGUGAAACUAAGGUGGUACUAGACAAGAUUAGUAUUAUUUGUCGACGAGAAGUUAAAACAUCCACAAAAAUUAGAGGGGAAGAGAAAAUAAAUUUACCAAAUAAAGCCCAUGACACAUGUUGAGACUUCACCUUCAACCCAAGCUUGAAAGAAAAUUAGCUACUCAUAAUUGAACUAGGGGCAAAAUGGAAAUUUAUUAAAAUACGAAGAAAAUACAAGAUGGAGAAGGAAUUACAAAAAAUGGAUUCAGAGAUAUCAAAUUAGGGGGGGGAGGCCCCCUUUUUAUAGAUACAUGGAGUAAAUCAUUGUCAUCGGAUUAAAAACAGUUUGGACGCUCAGGAUUGCGCCACAUCAUCAGUCAACAGUACGCGGUUUGACCACGUGGAUGAACAGUAACACGGUUUGACCCGAGUUGAACAGUAACGCAGUUUGGUUGAAAAUAAUCCUGUGUGAUGCGUGUACCGUACGCGAGAUUUUUCGUCCACUGAUAUGCUGCCACGUCACCAUCAACAGUACAUAAGAAUUUUAGUCCAACAGGAUCAUGACACCUCAUCAGUCAAUGCCACAUCAUCGGUCAAUGCCACGUCAUCGAUCCGUCUAUGUGAACAGUGUCGUGAACAGUAACAUAUACAAUACCGUACAUGUGAAUAGUGUCAUUUUUCCUUUUAUACUCCUCCUAAGGUUUUCAACCAUCUUGAGUUCAAAAGUGAUGUCUGUUUUGCCGUCUGAUCUCUCCUUUAUUGUGAAAUGACUAUAAUGCCCCUAAAAUACAUAAAAUACUUAAUUAAAAUAAAACACAUGUAAUUAAAUCACAAGAAGGUUAAAUACAUAAAAGUAAAGGUUGUUAGUAAUACUUAAAAUGUAAAAUGACGGGUUUCUCCUUUAUAAAUAUGCAUUUUCUAACACUCAACACACCCCCCAACCAACUUAUUGCUAGUCCCUAGCAAAUAAAGUGAAAACAAAAUUCAAAUUCAAAAUAAUUUUUUUUUUAAUAGAAACACUCGUAUUCCAUCAGAUUAAUGAUAACAAUCAAAUAAAAGUAUAAGCAUGAUCUCCAGUCUAAAGCAACAUCAUACCCACAUCAACCAUCCACAUGAAUCAGCCCAGUAGACUUUGUUAUAGCUACUUUUAAUAAUGACAUGUCAAACCCCAAAAUCUCACUGGAAGUAGUGACACUCUCACAAAGAAAUUAAAACCAAUAAAAAUAGUCACUCCAAUGAAUGGUAAUUGAGAGAGAAAAUAAUAAAGAAGUGAUAUCACAUGCUCUCACCAAGAUGAAAUAAAUAUGCCCUCAGCUUAGAAAUAAUACGAUCUCAAGUUAAAUAAAAAUGCUAGUCAACCCAAUUUAUUUAUCUUUUUAUUUAUUUAUUUAUUUUUAUUAUGCACCACUACAUCUUUUUAGCCCACAUAACUAGCUUCUACUUCAUAUUAUAAUUCCCUAAAAUUAGGAAGGACUUUUAUUAGGAUGUAACGUAGGCUAGGGACAUGGUUAACAAAGAAGGGAAAUAAGGAAAACAAAGUGUAUGUUUGAGAAAAAUGCAGAGGAAUUUUUUUUUUGCUUUUACUUGGCACAACGUCACUAAAUAAAAUAAUUAUUUACAUUUUCUCAAACAUAAAUAGGUGAUGGAACUUAUAAGACAUCGGGUAAUACUCCAAAUCGGAGUGGGUUAAGAUGAUAAGUUGACAAAGAAAAUGUCUUUUUUUUUUUUUAAAGGCUCAAAAGGGUUAACUAUGGAUAUUUAAUAAAAGGGAUGGCUAGAAAGGCUCAAACGGAUCAAAGAUGGCCUUUCCAUCGUCUUUUAGGGCUCUAAAUAAUCAUCCAUAUCUACUAGUUAGAUGGGCCUCCAAAUGUAGCAACACACAUUUUUUUUUUCUUUUUUUUUUAAUUUUACAAUUUUUUUUUUAAGGGUUAACUCAAAAGAAAUCUAGAGAUCGUGUAUACAAUAAUAAACUGCUAAGCUGUAUAGAGAAUGGGCAAAAUGGUUACUCUCCAAGAAAAUGAUAGGCUCAACAACUCACUUGGCACUUAUUUAUGACAUGUUCAUUCCUUCAACCAACUCAUAUAUAUCUCCGACAUCAACAUGUAAAAUAGCAAACAUAGCGUAACAUCACUUAAGACCAAAGAUAAUACAACUACUAAAAUUUAAAAUUAAUCAUGUCAUCCAAUGUUAAAACAAAUCACACAAAUUUUUUUUUUUUUUUAAACAACAUUCUACCCCCCAACCUAUUCUAAGCAUGAAAGGAAAAUAUGCAUGCAGAAAUGUGAAUAUAAUGCAGAAAAACUAAUUAGAAAAGUUACACUUAAAAUGAUAGAAAACGAAAAUAAUUUUUUUUUUUAACUUAGAAGAUGCGUUUCUAGAGGCACUACACUCCAUAUUCAGCCAUCUUCGACUCACAAGUUGGAAAAUGUAUAUUUAUGGAGGAGAAAUUAAAAAGAAGAAAAAUAAACAUAAAAACAUAAUAAAGAAAAAGAAAAUGUUUGAAUUUUUUUUUGUUUUUUAAUUUUUUUUAAACGAUGAAGAUGCGUUUCUAGAGUCACUACACUCCAUAUUCAGCCAUCUUCAACACAAAAAGUUAGCAACAAUUAGUUUCUACAACAAAAAAUUAGUAAAAACUUAACCAAAAUUCCACAAUUGUCGACUAUUCCCUCCCCCCAACCAGAAUGAAAUAUUGUCCUCAAUGUUUGAAAGGAAAGAAGUAGAGUUUAGAAGACAUCACCUAGGUGGUGCAACACAGAAAAUAAUAUUUACAAGCGGAGAGUUAAAUCUAAUUUGUACUUCUUACUGCGGCUACGGUUACCAUAAUUAUUUGGAUGCUCCAACACAAAAGUCCAGGGGUCUGGCUCCGGUCUAUAAACUUGUAACAUAUCAAGUAGCUCAUUAGCAGUGUGAGCACAAAUAAAGAGUUUUUUCGCAUUAGAGGGAAUGAAAUAGUUUUUUAUUGCAUGGUUAAGAAAUGCGAUAAAGCCAUCAUAAAAGUUAUUGACAUUUAACAAACCGAUAGGUUUCUGAUGGAUGUGCAUAUGGGCCCAAGAUGCUAGUGUGAUAAGUGCCUCUAGUGUUGCAAGAUCUCCUGGAAGGAAAAUAAAAGCAUCAGCAUGAUUAAGCAUUUAAGUUAUUCUUUCUUGCAUACCUGAGACGACUAACUCUUCUCCAGUUGAUGAGUCAGACGAACUGCCCAAUGGUUUUAGGGCUCUUGGGAUGAUGCCUAACACUUGGCUGCCUCUGACAAAAGCUGCUUCUGAGACCAUUUUUGAUAACCCUCGAUUACCUCCUCCAUACACCAAGUGUAAUUUUCUCGCUGCUAUGCUUCGACCAAGAUCGAUGGCUGCCUCAACGAACUCUUUAUGUUUGCCAUAGGUAAAUCCAGAAAGCACACAAAUGUUCUUGAAUUGUCUAUUUGGAGUAGCUGCCAUUGUGAUACUUCUCAAAAAACAAUUUGUGAGUGCUUGACAAAAAAAAAAUCACAUUUAAGAGUCUUGGUGACAGUGGGUCACAGUUGUGUAUGAGGUAACAUGUCAGUGUCAAAUAACGCGUAAAGCACGUGGCUCGCGAGUCAAAAAGGAAACAGUAAAAAGGAAAAAGCAAACAGUAAUAAAAUUAUUAAAGACAAUAAUACACACAAUAAAACAAUAGUGAAAUAAAAUAACAGUAAAGUGAAAGGAUAUUUACAGGUAGUUGCGACAGUGGCUCACAUCUUCCUCUGGUUUUACGUCCAGAAACGGCUUGAACGCCCUCUAUGGGUCGAUGAUAGGCUUCCUAUCCAGUUUUCUUAUAAACUGGCAAACAAUGUCGUUUAUAGUCAGAUUCCCGAGACUAUAUCGUGCAUGCUCUUUCUGGAAUAAUGGCCAUAACUGGAGAAUCGCUCCUUGCACAUAUCCAUUGGGAUGCGUUUCAAGAGACAAAAGGAUAUCAUCCAAUGACUCCUUAUUCAAGCCAUCCCUAAUGAAUUGAAUCUUAUCUUCCCUGUUAUCAGACACCAUUCCUAAAGAACAUUGGUUUUUUUGCAACUCAUUCUGGCACACUUAUGACAAGCAACAGAAAUUCUUCGAGCUCGUCAUUUUCUUGCAUAAUUUCCUUUACCACAACCAGGCAUGUAUGCAAUAAAUUUUGGAGGUAACUCACCUGCCGAUCGUACUUUAGCCUCAAUUAACCAACGGAUGUCAGCAGGUAUGUUAUUCCUCAUGAGUAAUCGCAUGCGUUCGGACCGAGCUUUAUAGAUCAUAAGGAGGGCAUUCUGAGGAAGUGAAGGGAAUCGCUUGUGAAGCUUCACUAGAAUCUCGUUUAUGUCCAUACUUUCGCCUCAGAAUAUCAGUUAUUAUGAGAAACUGAAGUAACCGACUUGAUUGUCACGGAGUACCGUUAUCCGCCAUUUAACCGGGGUAACAAACUAAAGCACACAAACAGAAAAACAAAUUAAAACACAAAAAAAAAAUUAAAAUCGUCCUCUUAUUGAAUUUACCUCAAGCUCCAACUGGAUGUCGUAAACACUUCUCUCAAUAUCUCUGAGUUGGCUUUCUAGACCCUCAACAUAGGAUACUAACUCUGGUGGUUGUAGAGCCCAAAUGCGAUAUAUUUUACAAAAUUGAAUCUGCCUUUUGAGAUGAGUUUUGACAUGUUGAAGUGGUUUAAGAAUGUUCAGGAGGAACGGUCUAAGUAAGGUACUCAUGAUUAAAAAUGAUAAGAGAAAACUUAAUAGUUAAACAAACAUACUUAUGCAAAAAUAAUUUCAAAUUAGCAAAAGAAUAAUAAAAAGAAAGAAAGAAAAAUCAAAUCAAUGAAAAGGAAAAAAAAAUCAAUUCAAAUCUGGUGGGUAACUCAAAUUUAUUUCGGUGUUUUCUCCAUGUGGUUGGUACUCUAGAUAUGGCUUUAAUCUUUGACCAUUAACUUUAAACGUGACACCGUUCUUUGGGUCCUUAAUUUCAAUUGCCCCAUGUGGAAAAAUAGUAUGUACAAUAAAUGGGCCAGACCAACGAGAGCGUAACUUACCUGGGAAUAGGUGCAAGCGAGAAUUGAAUAAAAGCACUUUCUGACCUGGAGUGAAAGAUUUUCUCAUAAUUUGCUUGUCAUGGAAGACUUUCAUUCGUUGCUUGUAAAUCUUGGCAUUUUCGUAUGCGUCAUUGCGAAUUUCUUUAAGUUCUGCCAGUUGUAAUCUUCUUUCUGAGCUGGCUUGCUGCAUGUCAAAGUUGAAUUUCUUGAUGGCCCAAUAUGCACGAUGCUCGAGUUCCACAGGUAGGUGGCAAGCUUUUCCAUACACUAACCUGUAGGGUGACAUCCCAAUCGGGGUCUUGAAAGCCGUUCUAUAUGCCCAUAAUGCAUCAUCAAGUCUUAAUGACCAAUCUUUUCUGUCUGGCCUCACCGUCUUUUCUAAUAUGUGCUUUAUUUCUCGAUUGGAGAUCUCAACUUGGCCACUGAUUUGCGGAUGAUAUGGGGUCGCCACUUUAUGAGUGAUUGAAUACUUUGUCAAAAGAGCUUUGAAUGCUUUGUUACAAAAGUGGGCACCACUAUCACUGAUUAUUGCUCGAGGGAAUCCAAAGCGUGAGAUAAUAUUACUUUUCAAAAAUCCUAUCACCACCUUGUGAUCAUUGGUUCUGCAUGGAAUUGCUUCUACCCAUUUCGAUACAUAGUCAACAGCAACGAAUAUGUAUUGAUGGCCAAAAGAAAGGGGAAAGGGUCCCAUGAAGUCGAUACCCCAUACAUAAAAAAUCUCAACCACUAAAAUUGGAUUUAGUGGCAUCAUGUUCCUUCGUAUAAUGCUCCCCAUUCGUUGACACAUAUCACAUGAAGAACAAAAAGUGUAAGCAUCUCGAAAUAUAGUUGGCCAAUAAAAACCACAUUGUAAAACUUUAGUUUCUGUUUUCUUAGCACUGAAAUGGCCUCCACAAGCUUGUUCAUGGCAGAAUGAAAGAAUAUUCUGAAUUUCAUUUUCUGGGACACAUCGUCUAACAAUUUGAUCAGCACAAUACUUGAACAAAUACGGGUCAUCCCAAAAGAAAUUCUUUAUCUCUACAAAAAAUUUAGCCUUAUCUUGCUUGGUCCAAUGCUCUGGAAGUUUACCUGUAACAAGAUAAUUAACUAUAUCAGCAUACCAAGGUAAUACUUCCACACUCAUUAAUUGUUCAUCUGGAAAUGACUCAUUUAAUAUUAAUGGCUCUGUAAUUGUGUCAAAAUGGUGACGAGAGAGAUGGUCCGCCACGACAUUUUCUGUCCCUUUCUUAUCUUUGAAUUCCAAGUCAAAUUCCUGCAAAAGUAAUACCCAACGAAUUAGUCUAGCUUUUGCAUGUUUCUUUGUGAGAAGAUAUUUAAGAGCAGCAUGAUAUGUGAAUAUAAUUAUUUUACAACCAAUGAGAUAAGAUCGAAAUUUCUCUAAUAUAAACACUACUGCUAGCAUUUCUUUUUCAGUAGUUGAAUAGUUCAACUAUGCAUCAUUCAAUGUCAUACUAGCAUAGUAAAUAACAUGGGGAAUUCGAUCAACUCUUUGUCCUAAUACUGCUCCUACUGCAUAAUCAGAUGCAUCGCACAUGAGCUCAAAUGGUAAGCUCCAAUUUGGGGGCUGAAUGAUGGGUGAUGAUGUCAACAACUGCUUUAACUUUUCAAAUGCCACAAGACAUGAAUCAUUAAAGACAAAAGGUACAUCCUUAGCAAGUAAAUUGCAUAAGGGUCUAGAAACAUUGCUAAAAUCUUUAAUGAAACGUCUAUAGAAACCAGCAUGCCCAAGGAAAGAUCUUACUUCUUUGACUAUUUUGGGUGAAGGAAGAUUAGAAAUGAGAUCCACCUUGGCUUUGUCAACCUCAAUACCUUUGCUCGAAAUGAUGUGACCGAGAACAAUACCUUGUUUUACCAUAAAAUGGCAUUUCUCCCAAUUUAAAACUAAAUUCUUCUUGAUACAUCUCUGCAGAACUAAUGUUAGAUGAUGUAAACAUUGAUCAAAUGAAUCACCAAAGACAGAAAAGUCAUCCAUAAAGACUUCAAGGAAUUGUUCAACCAUAUCAGAAAAAAUGAUUAACAUGCAUCGUUGAAAUGUAGCAGGUGCAUUACAUAAUCCAAAUGGCAUUCUCCUAUAUGCAAAAGUGCCAAAAGGGCAAGUGAAAGUGGUCUUCUUUUGAUCUUUUGGUGCUAUGGGAAUCUGAUUGUAUCCUGAGUAGCCAUCUAGAAAGCAAUAAAAUUCAUGGCUUGCUAAUCUAUCAAGCAUUUGAUCAAUAAAUGGUAAAGGAAAAUGGUCUUUACGUGUGACAGAAUUCAACUUUCUAUAAUCAAUGCAUACACGCCAUCCUGUAGUCACUCUAGUUGGUAUCAAUUCAUUAUCAGCAUUCGUAACUACUGUGACUCCUGACUUUUUGGGGACAACUUGUACAGGACUGACCCAUGAACUAUCAGAAAUUGGAUAAAUGAUACCUGUAUCUAAUAGCUUAAGGACUUCAGUUCUAACAACUUCUUUCAUAUUAGGAUUUAACCGACAUUGCAUUUCCCUAGUAGAUUUAGCAUUUUCAUCAAGGUGAAUGUAAUGCAUGCAGUCUACUGGGUUUAUACCUUUUAUGUCCGCUAUGGUCCAUCCUAAUACUCCUUUGUGCUCUUUUAAAACAUCCAACAACUUACCUUUUUGUCCGUCAUUUAGGGAUGAUGAGAUGAUUAUCGGUAGAGUACUUUCUUCUCCCAAAAAUGCAUAUUCCAAUGUGUUGGGCAAUGGUUUGAGCUCGAGUUUUGGUGGUGAUUCUGAUGAUGGGAUGAGUUUCUUCUCUGAUGGUGCUAGUUAUUCAACUCUUGACUUCCAUUUAUUAGUGUCCAUGGAUGGUGCUGAGUCAAGUAGGGCGUUGACCUCAUCGACUGAUCUGUCAAUAUCAAAAUCCAAACCAAAGUGAGUUAAACAUGUUUGUAAAGGAUCAUCACUAAGGUUUGAAAGAAAAGUGUCAUCAACUAUUGUUUCUAUUAAAUCCACAUCAACAAUUCCAUCAUCUGCAUUGUGAGGUUGUUUGACAAUGUUGAAGAUGUUCAGCUCCAUAGUCAUGUUGCCGAAGGACAACUGCAUAUUUCAUGUCCUACAUUGAAUGUGAACAUCCGCAGUUGCCAAGAAAGGUCGGCCUAGAAUAAUGGAGAUGUGCUUCCUUGAAUCCUGUAUUGGUUGAGUGUCAAUUACAAUGAAAUCAACAGGAAAAUAAAACUUGUCUACCUGGAUAAGCACGUCCUCCACAAUACCAUGAGGUAUUUUCGUGGACCAAUCUGCAAGCUGUAACACCACUGGAGUUGGGUGUAAUUCUCCCAGUCCAAGUUUCACAAAUACUGAAUAAGGCAACAAAUUUACACUAGCUCCUAAAUCCAACAAAACAUUCUCAAUUGUGUGGUUCCCUAUACUACAUGAGAUAGUGGGGAAGCCUGGGUCUUUGCAUUUUAAAGGAAUUUUAUGUUGGAGUAUAGAACUAAUAUUUUCUGUUAAAAAUGCAUUCUUUUGAACAUGCAUAUUUCUCUUUUUAGUACAAAGGUCUUUAAGAAACUUGGCAUAAGAUGGAACUUGCUUAAUAGCAUCAAGCAAUGGGAUGUUAACACUUACCUGUUUGAAGAUUUCAAGAAUCUCACCUGUGGAUUUUCCCUUAUUUCCUUUAGCUAACCUUUGAGGAAAUGGAGCUUUAGGAAUGUAUUCCCGUGGGUUGGUUUCUUCUUUCUCCUCCGGUGAUGAGUCCUCAACAUUCACAGGUACAAUUUGAUUUUCUCUUGUCACCGGCAUCUCCACUUUGUUGUCGACUUCUUUUCCUUUUCGCAAGGUCAUGACUGCUUUGACUUCUCCAUGCUGCUGUGGUGAGCUGGUACUUGCUUCAUGUACUCCUUUAGGAUUAGGCACUGGUUGACUUGGAAACUUGCCUUUGUCAACAGUCAUUGCCAAGGUCUGAACUGAAGAAGCAAGCUGUCCCACCAUCUUCUCGAGGCUUGAAACUGAUUGGGCUUGUGAAUUGAAGCUUGCUCUCAACUCAUUUCGUAGUCCAUCAAUGGUGCGGUUCUGUUGCUCAAUCGUGGAGUGAGUAACAUUCUUGAAAUUUUGGAAUGCAUCCUCCCAUGAUCUGGGUUGAGAGUAGUUCUGGUUCUGAUUGUAUGGUCUAAAUGGGGGCUGAGAGGCUUGAGGAAUUUGAGGAAUUGGUUGCAUUGGUGGAGCUGGAGCUGCUGGUCCAUUCUGUUGGAGUCCUUGAGACCAUGAAAAAUUGGGGUGGUCUCUCCAUUCAGGGUUAUAUGUGUUGGAGUAUGGGUUGUAAUUUGAUGGCUUUCUCAUUACACCUAUGGCAUUGGCUUGAUCUGAGUAUGAGUCAGGGUCAUGUGGCUCUGUUGAUUUAGCAGUCGAUAACGAUGCUAUUUGUCGAGCAAGACCUUUAACCAUCUCCUUGACUUCUUUGAUUCCCGAAGUUGACUCGCCAAUUUGAACCUCAUUUACUCCCUUAAUUCUUCUAGUAUUCCUGAGUGAUCGACUCCGUUGUUGGGAAUUAUCCGCUUGUCCCUGGAAGAAUUCCCAAAUCUCUGAUGCACUUUUUGACAUUAGCUCUCCUCCACUUGUUGCCAUUAGCCAUUCUUCCACAUUCGGCAAUAAUUCCUCCAAAAAGUAUUGGCAUUGGUGCCAUUUCUCGUACCCAUGAUGUAGACACUUCAAGAGUAGCCCAUUGAAUCGCUCCCAUGUUUCGAAAAAUUGCUCGUCCUCUCUCUGUGUAAACUCUGAAAUUUCCCUGCGAAUAGCAUUGGUUUUAUGCACUAGGAAAUAUUUAUUCAAAAAUUUUGUUACCAUUUGUUCCCAUGAUGAAAUGCUAUUAGCAGGUAAAGUAUUUAACCAUGAACGAGCUCUAUCCUUUAAAGAAAAUGGGAAUAAUCUGAGUUUAACAUCAUCGUCUGAAAAAUUUUCAUAUUUAAAAGUUUGACAAAUGGCAUGAAAAUCAUUCAGAUGAUUAUAUGGGUCCUCAUUUUCUAGGCCAUAGAAUGUUGGGAGACAAUUUAGCACACUAGGUUUUAAUUCAAAACUCCUAGCAGCUACAUUUGGGUAUCUUAUACAUGAUGUGCUCAAAUUAGCUAAGGGACUGAAAUAAUCCUUAAAUGGCCUCUCCUGUGGUGCUUGUAAAUCCAUUCCAAAUUUAUUUUUAAUGUGCUUGUGUGUGCGGAGUGUUUUUUCUAAUUCAAGGUCUAUAGGUUCAAGAUUAGGUAAUAAUGACCUACGACCAUGCAUGCAAAACAAAUAAAAUAAAAAUAAAGAUGGGAACAAAACAAAUAAAAAUAAAUAAGAGGGAGAAAUUACGAUACUAACCUUAUCGCGAUGUUACAACCUUUCUAUAAAAACACACUAAAACAAAUACGUGAAAUAAAUUAACUAAGAAUAAAUUAAUAAGAUAAAAAAAAUUUACAAAGAAAAAUAAAUUGAAAAUUAAAUUACAGAAUUUUAAAGAAGAGAAAAAGAAAAGAAAUAUUAACCUUUAAAUGUAGAUUCACUUUUUUUUUCUUUUUUUUAAUAAAAAAAUUACAAGAAAAUAAUUAAAAGAAAUUAAUCACAAAAAUUAAUUCUAUGAAUUAAAAUUACUUACCUCCCCGGCAACGGCGCCAAAAACUUCUUGUGCAAAUUUUAAUGAACUCGCAAGUGCACGAAUCUAUUGUAGUAUAGAUCAAUGGUGACGAGUGUCGAUCCCACGAGGAGGUAUAUUUUAAUUAUAUGUAGAAUUAAUUUUGUAAAUGGGUGGUUGGAAUUGUGGUAGAAGUGAUUUAAAUUAUCCUAAAAUUGGAAUUGAAAUGGCGAUAAUAAAUUCUAAAAUUAGAAUUGCAAUGGCGAGAAUAAAUUGAAGCGAAAUCUAUUGAAAUGACGUACUUGGGUAUCUGGAUCCGUAUCAACAUGCACCAUGGGCUAAAUAUUCCUUAUUAAUACCAAUUAAAUCAUGAGGGGGGAAUCCACACCUCAUGAACCACACUCUAAUCAAUAUGGUGCUAAGGGCUUAUCGUGCCAAAUAAUAAUAACGUUGUACUAGGGGGCCGGUGAAACCAAGGCGGUACUAGACAAGAUUAGUAUCAUUUGUCGACGAGAAGUCAAAACAUCCACAAAAAUUAGAGGGGAAGAGAAAAUGAAUUUACCAAAUAAAGCCUAUGACACAUGUUGAGACUUCACCUUCAACCCAAGCUUGAAAGAAAAUUAGCUACUCAUAAUUGAACUAGGGGCAAAAUGGAAAUUUAUUAAAAUAUGAAGAAAAUACAAGAUGGAGAAGGAAUUACAGAAAAUGGAUCCCAAAAAUGGAUUCAGAGAUAACAAAUUAGGGGGGGAGGCCCCCUUUUUAUAGAUACAUGGAGUAAAUCAUGGUCAUCGGAUUAAAAACAGUUUGGACGCUCAGGAUUGUGCCACGUCAUCAGUCAACAGUACGCGGUUUGACCACUUGGAUGAACAGUAACACGGUUUGACCCAGGUUGAACAGUAACGCAGUUUGGUUGAAAAUAAUCCUGUGUGAUGCAUGUACCGUACGCGAGAUUUUUUGUCCACUGAUAUGCUGCCACGUCACCAUCAACAGUACAUAAGAAUUUUAGUCCAACAGGAUCAUGAAACCUCAUCAGUCAAUGCCACAUCAUCGGUCAAUGCCACGUCAUCGAUCCGUCUAUGUGAACAGUGUCGUGAACAGUAACUUAUACAGUACCGCACACGUGAAUAGUACCGUACAUGUGAAUAGUGUCAUUUUUCCUUUUAUGCUCCUCCUAAGGUUUUCGACCAUCCUGAGUUCAAAAGUGAUGUCCGUUUUACCGUCUGAUCUCUCCUUUAUUGUGAAAUGACUAUAAUGCCCCUAAAAUACAUAAAUACUUAAUUAAAAUAAAACACAUGUAAUUAAAUUACAAGAAUGUUAAAUACAUAAAAGUAAAGGUUGUUAGUAAGACUUGAAAUGUAAAAUGACGGGUUUCUCCUUUAUAAAUAUGCAUUUUCUAACACUCAACACCUCUUUCGUCCUAGGUUUUCAAUAAUGGGAGCAAUCGCCUCCAUAAAUUACAUAGAAAUAAUUAUUAUUAGCUUUAAUUUAUUUUAAAUAAUAUGAAAAGGAAAAGAAGUUGAUAAAUAUUUUUUAUUUGUGUCUUAUCUAUUCAUGUCACCGUGACAAAUCUUUAGGGAAUCUUUUUAGUCAUUAAUUAAGCUUUGUUCAAUUGCUUCGUUUUUCAGCUCGCUUUGACUAAAUCAAAGGAACUACAUGGUCAUAAAGCACUUAAGUAUAAUAGCUCAAAGAUUAUCUGCUACCCGCAAAGCUAAUUAAAUUAAUAUGACUCUCCAAGUCAACAGGGCGGAUUUUUCUUUUUCUGCUGUGCAUAUAUUUAGCCAUCUCCUUCACCACAGCGAAAGUGUUUUUUUUUUAAUUUUUUAAAAACUUUUUUCCUAGUGAUGAAGGUUGAAAUUAAGUUAUUAAAUAAAAUAGAAGAGCUUAAGGAAAUUAACAAGAAUGUGCUUAAUCGAUCAAGUAGACGGUUAAUUUAUAAAAAAAAAUGCUCUGUGUGAUUAUCUGAAAAUUGCAGAAACGCUAUCAGUUUGUCAUUUCUAUUAACUUUCUUUCUCUGCAGCAAAAUAAUUAAGCAUUGGAAGUAUGCAUAUAAAUAAGGAGGCAGCAAGGUUAUUGGAUUUUUUUAAGGCAAUGAAUGAAGUCAGUCCCUGCACUAACUACUUGGCUGAUGCCUUAGUAAUUAAUUGCUCAACAUUAUGAUGUAGUUACUGGGAAUAAACUGUAUUUCUUUAGUAUUUGUAAGGAAAUAAACUACAACUUCCUUUCUUUAGUAUUUGUAAGGAAAUAAACUACAACUUCCUUGUUCACUAAUUUUUCUUUGAAAUAACUGAGUUUACUUAUAAAUAGUGUAUGAAUAUUUUUUCUUUAGAACAAAAUAGAUUUAUUUAUAUUAACCAUUGUUUCUCUAAUGGUUGGGAAUUGGCAGCUAAUUUUUUCUCCCUUUUCCAUGUAUGCAGAUUUGCUCAAUGUGUUUGAAGUGUUUAUUCCUCAACUUCACUUGUAUCCUAACCCAUACAGUCUAUUGAAUGGAGAAGCUGCUGGUGUGAUAACGCAAUUAUACUACUCAUAUUCAAAGAGUGAAAGACAGUCAUCAUUAUCAAUUUAGCUUCUAGAUUUAUUAAAUUUGGCCACAAGUAGUAGACAUUUGAUUGGAUGGUGAAAUUUUUAUGUAUUGAAUUUAGAUUAUUUAGUUAUGAGAGUAGGAUAUCUCAUUUUUUGGCUAUUGAAGUUGAAUUUGUAAUAUAUACUAAUAAUAUUUAAAUGUGAAAUGAAAGAUUUUGUGAUAUAAAUCAAUUUCUUUUUGUUAUUUUGUGGUGCUUUUAAUUUUACCAAUAAAUCAAUAGGCAAUGAUCCAAUUCAAUUUUUUAAAAAAAAUAAAUUAACUAGUGAUACCAUAGUAACAAUAAUUAUAGACACAAAAAAAAUAUCAAUAAUUACUAACACUAUGCUAUCAUAAUAUUGGUGAUAUUGUAGUAAUAGUAAUCACUGACACCACUUACAAGUGUCACUAUUUUUCUGACUCCCAGAUUACUGACACAAUUAACAAGUGUCAGUGAAAGUAAUUUCUGACACUAUUCUAAAGUCAGUAAAGACUGUUUUUCUAGUAAUGAGGUCUCACGUAUCGUUUUAUUUUUUUUCUGACAACCGAUCAUCAGAGAGAGAGCAGAGAACAUUAAAGGAUUUUUUAAGAGAAUAUGUUGAUCUGGAAGGCUAACCACACUAUUCUAAAAAGCAAUUAAGCAUUAUGGAUCCAGAUAUACUUCUACAUAUCAUAUUAUUGAUUCUUGUUGAUAUAACAUUAAUGUUCCUAGACUAUAGGUAAUCAUUUUAAGUAUAGGAUUAUUAUCGUUCUAAUAUUUUCUUGUGAAGAGCUUUACUGGGUAUUCUUCCAACAUCUUAUAAUUUAUUUAAAAGGAAGGUAAUGCAAUCUCAUAUUUGUCAAAGGUCCAAUAGAGUGUAGGAGGAUAGCUUCCAUGCUUUAGUGGCAUGUAGAGUUGUUAAGAAGGUAUGGCGAUUAUCAAUCUUGGCAAAUUUUGCGAUUAGUUUUGAAAGCACCAAUUUCUCAUGCUUUGCUCAAUCAUUGGCUGAUUAAAUGUCUAAGGAGAAUUUUGAGUCUUUUGUGGUCUUGCCUUGCUCAAUUUGGAGGGACAAAAACUUGAUUCUUCACAAUGAUGUGGGAAAUGACAUUUUGAGCUUGAUAAUCAGAGCUGAAUCUAUUAUUGAGAACUAUAAGUUAGUGCAACAAUCUCUAGCGACCGUGCCUUCUAUGAAUUAGAAUUAUAAGGAAGAAAAAUAGGUUGCUCCACCAAAUAAUCGGUAGAAACUUAAUACUGAUGCAGCUAUUAAAUCUUUAGAAAGUAUUUCUAGCCUUGGUACUAUUAUUAAAAACUCAAGAGGAGAAGUUAUGGUAGCAUCAGUCAAUAUAAAGUCCUUUUUUUGUAGGGAUGUGGAAUUUGCAAAAGCUUAUGCAGUUGUUCAGGGGGUUAAGCUAGCAAUUGACUUAGGUUUAACUCCCUUGAUUGUUAAACUUGAUUCAGUAAAUGUUGUUACUUUGAUUAAUGGAAGUUUGUCUAGCAAAAAAAAAGAGAUUGGCUGGCUAGUAUGGGAGAUCAAAGGUCUUAUAAUUAAUAGAGCUGCCAUUAAAGUUAAAUUGGUUGGCUAUUAUAGGAGAUCAAGGGUCCUAUAUAGAGCUUCCAUUAUAGUUAAACAUGCACCUAGAUGUUAUAAUGAGGUGGCUCACAUUUUAAGCAAAUUGGAAUUUUCUUUUCCAAAGUUAGCAUAUUAGAAUAGAAGAUUGUCUUGUUGAAAUUGUCAGUCUCUUGUGAUGUUUUGUUAUUCAACAUGUAGUCAGCUUUUCAAAAAGCAAAAAAAUGGCAGUACAAAUAAAGUCCACAUAGUACAUGUUGCUUAAUGCGCACUAAUUCUACAAUCUUGAUUAUGAGUAAUUUAUCUGUCACCAUUUGCAAUAUGGCCAUCAAAACCCAUUUAUAAAUCGAGGCCAGUAAUAGAUUGUCAUCACAACUGGGGAGAAAGCUACGAUUCAUCCAAAUGGAUCCAACGGCUGGAUGCAACGGUGAUACCGUAUCACCGUUGCACUGUAGUCGGACCCCACAACUGGACCCAUGAUGAUGAUAACAAUAAAUAAUAAAUAAUUUUUAAUUUUUUUGUUAUUUAAUAGGUUAGCUUUUAGGUCAAAAUGAUGGAAGGCGCCCAUUGGGUACCGUAUUCAGGGGUGGGUAAAUUAUUUGACCUGACUUAAAAUAUUUCGGGUUUAGAUCGGAUCGAAUUGUAAAAAAAAUCCGAUCGGAUGAAAACGGUAAAACCCGAUCAGGUUCUUUAAAAAAAAAAAUAAACACAUACACGCACGCCAGACAGAGUCACACAAAAUACAAAUCACACUUACAAAUUCAUUUACAAUACACACACAACACAAAUCUCACACACAACACAAAUCACACUCACAGAUUCAUUUACAAUCCACACACAAACACAAGUCAGUGAAAUCACAGUGAUUCAUUUACAAAUCACACAAAAUACAAAUCACACUUACAAAUUCAUUUACUUGAGAUCGUAUUAUUUCUAAGCUGAGGGCAUAUUUAUUUCAUCUUGGUGAGAGCAUGUGAUAUCAUUUCUUUAUUAUUUUCUCUCUCAAUUACCAUUCAUUGGAGUGACUGUGUUUAUUGGGUUUUGAUUUCUUUGUGAGAGUGUCACUACUUCCAGUGAGAUUUUGGGGUUUGACAUGUCAUUCUUGAAAGUAGCUAUAACAAAGUCUACUAGGCCGAUUCAUGUGGAUGGUUGAUGUGGGUGUGAUAUUGCUUUAGACUGGAGAUAAUGCUUAUACUUUUAUUUGAUUGCUAUCAUUAAUCUGAUUGAAUAAACACGAGUGUUUCUAAAAAUAUAUAUAUAUAUAUAUAUAUAUAUUGAAUUUGAAUUUUGUUUUCGCUUUAUUUGCUAGGGACUAGCAAUAAGCUGGUUGGGGGGUGUGUUGAGUGUUAGAAAAUACAUAUUUAUAAAAGGAGAAAACCGUCAUUUUACAUUUCAAGUCUUACUAACAACCCUUACUUUUAUGUAUUUAACCUUCUUGUGAUGUAAUUACGUGUGUGUUAUUUUAAUUAAGUAUUUUAUGUAUUUGAGGGGCAUUAUAGUCAUUUCACAAUAAAAGAGAAAUCAUACGGCAAAACGGACAUCACUUUUGAACUCAGGACGGUCAAAAACCUUAGGAGGAGCAUAAAAGGAAAAAUGGCACUAUUCACAUGUACGGUACUAUUCACGUAUACGGUACUGUCUACGUUACUGUUCACGACACUGUUCACAUAGACGGAUCGACGACGUGGCAUUGACCGAUGAUGUGGCAUUGACUGAUGGGUGUCAUGAUCCUGUUGGACUAAAAUUCUUAUGUACUGUUGACGGUGACGUGGCAGCAUAUCAGUGAACGAAAAAUCUCGCGUACGGUGCAUGCAUCACACAGGAUUAUUUUCAACCCAACCGUGUUACUGUUCAUCUGGGUCAAACCGUGUUACUGUUCAUCCACGUGGUCAAACCGUAGACUGUUGACUGAUGACGUGGCGCAAUCCUGAGCGUCCAAACUGUUUUUAAUCCGAUGGCCAUGAUUUACUCCAUGUAUCUAUAAAAAGGGGGCCUCCCCCCCCCCCUAAUUUGAUAUCUCUUAAUCCAUUUUUGGGAUCCAUUUUCUGUAAUUCCCUCUCCAUCUUGUAUUUUCUUUGUAUUUUAAUAAAUUCCCAUUUUGCCCCUAGUUCAAUUAUGAGUAACUAAUUUUCUUUCAAGCUUGGGUUGAAGGUGAAGUCUCAACAUGUGUCAUGGGCUUAAUUUGGUAAAUUUAUUUUCUCUUCCCCUCUAGUUUUUGUGGAUGUUUUGACUUCUCGUCGACAAAUAAUAAUAAUCUUGUCUAGAUACCGCCUUGGUUACACCGGCUCUCUAGUAUAAGGUUAUUAUUAUUUGGCACGAUAAGCCCUUAGCACCAUAUUGAUUAGAGCGUGGUUCAUGAGGUGUGGAUUCCCCCCUCAUGAUUUAAUUGGCAUUAAUACAGAUUAUUUAGCCCAUGAUGCAUGUUGAUACGGAUCCAGAUACCCAAGUACGUCAAUUUAAUCGAUUUUCUCUACAAUUUAUUCUCGCCAUUGCAAUUCCAAUUUUAGCAUAUUUAUUAUCGUCAUUUCAAUUCCAAUUUUAGCAUAUUUUAAAUCACUUCCACCACAAUUCCAACCACCCAUUUACAGAAUUAAUUCUACACACAAUUAAAAAUCCAUCUCCUCGUGGGAUCGACACUCGUCACCAUUGAUCUAUACUACAAUAGAUUCGUGCACUUGCGAGUACAUUAAAAUUUGCACAACAAGUUUUUGGCGCCGUUGCCGGGGAGGUAAGUAAUUUUAAUUCAUAGAUUUAAUUUUUGUGAAUAAUUUCAUUUAAUUGUUUUCUUGUAUUUUUUUUUUUUUGUUCUUUAAAAAAAAAAAAAAGUAAAUCUACAUUUAAAGGUUAGUAUUUCUUUUCUUUUUCUCUUCUUUAAAAUUCUGUAAUUUAUUUUUCAAUUUAUUUUUUUCUUUGUAAUUUUUGUUUAUCUUACUAAUUUUUUUUAGUUAAUUUAUUUCAUGUAUUUUUUGUUUUUGUGUGUAUUUUUAUAGUAAGGUUGUAAUAGCGCAAUAAGGUUAGUAUUGUAAUUUCUCUCUCUUCUUUAUUUUUAUUUGUUUUGUUCCAUCUUUAUUUUUAUUUUAUUUAUUUUGCAUGCAUGGUCGUAGGUCAUUAUUAUCUAAUCUUGAACCUAUAGACCUUGAACUUGAGAAAACACUUCGCACACAAAAGCACAAUAAAAAUAAAGUUGGAAUGGAUUUACAAGCACCACAGGAGAGGCCAUUUAAGGACUAUUUUAGUCCCUUAGCUAAUUUGAGCACAUCAUGUAUUAGAUACCCAAAUGUAGCUGCUAGGAGUUUUGAAUUAAAACCUAGUGUGCUAAAUUGUCUCCCCACAUUCUAUGGCUUAGAAAAUGAGGACCCAUAUAAUCAUCUGAAUGAUUUUCAUGCAAUUUGUCAAACUUUUAAAUAUGAAAAUUUUUCAGACGAUGAUGUUAAACUUAGAUUAUUCCCAUUUUCUUUAAAGGAUAGAGCUCGUCCAUGGUUAAAUACUUUGCCUGCUAAUAGCAUUGCAUCAUGGGAACAAAUGGUUACAAAAUUUCUAAAUAAAUAUUUCCCAGUGCAUAAAACCAAUUCUAUUCGCAGGGAAAUUUCAGAGUUUACACAAAGAGAGGACGAGCAGUUUUUCGAAACUUGGGAGCGAUUCAAUGGGCUACUCUUGAAGUGUCCACAUCAUGGGUAUGAGAAAUGGCACCAAUGCCAAUACUUUUUGGAGGGAUUAUUGCCGAAUGUGCAAGAAUGGCUAAUGGCAACAAGUGGAGGAGAGCUAAUGUCAAAAAGUGCAUCAGAAAUUUGGGAAUUCUUCCAGCGACAAGCGGAUAAUUCCCAACAACGGAGUCGAUCACUCAGGAAUACUAGAAGAAUUAAGGGAGUAAAUUAGGUUCAAAUUGGCGAGUCAACUUCGGGAAUCAAAGAAGUCAAGGAGAUGGUUGAAGGUCUCGCUCGACAAAUAGCAUCGUUAUCGACUGCUAAAUCAACAGAACCACAUGACCAUGACUCAUACUCCGAUCAAGCCAAUGCCAUAGGUGUAAUGAGAAAACCAUCGAAUUACAACCCAUACUCCAACACAUAUAACCCUGGAUGGAGAGACCACCCUAAUUUUUCAUGGUCUCAAGGAUUCCAACAGAAUGGACCAGCAGCUCCAGCUCCACCAAUGCAACCAAUUCCUCAAAAUCCUCAAGCCUUUCAGCCCCCAUUUAGACCAUACAAUCAGAACUAGAAUUACUCUCAACCCAGACCAUGGGAGGAUUCAUUCCAGAAUCUCAAGAAUCUUACUCACUCCACAAUUGAGCAACAGAACCGCACCAUUGAUGGACUACGAAAUGAGUUGAGAGCAGGCUUCAACUCACAAGCUCAAUCAGUUUCAAGCCUGGAGAAAAUGGUGGGACAACUCACUUCUUCAGUUCAGACCUUGGCAAUGACUGUUGAGAAAGGCAAGUUUCCAAGUCAACCAGUGCCUAAUCCUAAAGGAGUGCAUGAAGCAAGUACCAGUUCACCACAGCAGCAUGGAGAGGUCAAAGCAGUCAUGACCUUGCGAAAAGGAAAAGAAGUCGACAACAAAGUAGAGAUGCCGGUGACCAAAGAAAAUCAAAUUGUACCUGUGAAUGUUGAGGACUCACCACCGGAGGAAAAAGAAGAAACCAACCCACGAGAGUACAUUCCCAAGGCUCCAUUUCCUCAGAGGUUAGCUAAAGGAAAAAAGGGAAAAUCCACAGGUGAGAUUCUCGAAAUCUUCAAACAGGUAAGUGUCAAUAUCCCUUUGCUUGAUGCUAUAAAACAAAUUCCAUCUUAUGCCAAGUUUCUUAAAGACCUUUGUACUAAAAAGAGAAAUAUGCAUGUUCAAAAGAAGGCUUUUUUAACAGAAAACGUUAGUUCUAUACUCCAACAUAAAAUUCCUUUAAAAUGCAAAGACCCAGGCUCCCCCACUAUCUCAUGUAGUAUAGGGAACCACACAAUUGAGAAUGCUUUGUUGGAUUUAGGAGCUAGUGUAAAUCUUUUGCCUUACUCUGUAUUCGUGAAACUUGGACUGGGAGAAUUACACCCAACUCCAGUGGUGUUACAGCUUGCAGAUCGGUCCACGAAAAUACCUCGUGGUAUUGUGGAGGACGUGCUUAUUCAGGUAGACAAGUUUUAUUUUCCUGUUGAUUUCAUUAUAAUUGACACUCAACCAAUACAGGACUCAAGGAAGCACAUCCCCAUUAUUCUAGGCCGACCUUUCUUGGCAACUGCAGAUGCUCAUAUUCAAUGUAGGACCGGAAAUAUGCAAUUGUCAUUCGGCAACAUGACUAUGGAGCUAAAUAUUUUCAACAUUGCCAAACAACCUCACAGUGCAGAUGAUGGAAUUGUUGAUGUGGAUUUAAUAGAAACAAUAGUUGAUAAUACUUUUCUUUCAAACCUUAAUGAUGACCCUUUACAGACAUGCUUAACUCACUUUGGUUUGGAUUUUGAUAUUGACAGAUCGGUUGAUGAGGUCAACGCUCUACUUGACUCAGCACCAUCCAUGGACACUAAUAAAUGGAAGUCAAGAGUUGAACAACUAGCACCAUCAGAGAAGAAACUCAUUCCAUCAUCAGAAUCACCACCGAAACUCGAGCUCAAACCAUUACCCAACACAUUGGAAUAUGCAUUUUUGGGGGAAGAAAGUACUCUGCCGGUAAUCAUCUCAUCAUCCCUUAAUGACGAAUAAAAAGGUAAGUUGUUGGAUGUUUUGAAAGAGCACAAAGGGGCAUUAGGAUGGACCAUAGCAGACAUAAAAGGUAUAAACUCUGCAGAUUGCAUGCAUUACAUUCACCUUGAUGAAAAUGCUAAAUCUACUAGGGAAAUGCAACGUCGGUUAAAUCCUAAUAUGAAAGAAGUUGUUAGAACAGAAGUCCUUAAGCUAUUAGACGCAUGUAUCAUUUACCCAAUUUCUGAUAGUUCAUGGGUCAGUCCUGUACAAGUUGUCCCCAAAAAGUCAGGAGUCACAGUAGUUACCAAUGCUGAUAAUGAAUUGAUACCAACUAGAGUAACUACAUGAUGGCGUGUAUGCAUUGAUUAUAGAAAGUUGAAUUCUGUCACACGUAAAGACCAUUUUCCUUUACCAUUUAUUGAUCAAAUGCUUGAUAGAUUAGCAGGCCAUGAAUUUUAUUGCUUUCUAGAUGGCUAUUCAGGAUAUAAUCAGAUUCCCAUAGCACCAAAAGAUCAAGAGAAAACUACUUUCACUUGCCCUUUUGGCACAUUUACAUAUAGGAGAAUGUCAUUUGGAUUAUGUAAUGCACCUGCUACAUUUCAACGAUGCAUGUUAAGCAUUUUUUCUGAUAUGGUUAAACGAUUCCUUGAAGUCUUCAUGGAUGACUUUUCUGUCUUUUUGAUUCGUUUGAUCAAUGUUUACAUCAUCUAACGCUAGUUCUGCAGAGAUGUACCGAGAAGAACUUAGUCUUGAAUUGGGAGAAGUGCCAUUUUAUGGUAAAACAAGGUAUUGUUCUCAGUCACAUCAUUUCGAGCAAAGGUAUUGAGGUUGACAAAGCCAAGGUGGAUCUCAUUUCUAAUCUUCCUCCACCUAAAACAGUUAGAGAAGUAAGAUCUUUCAUUGGGCAUGUUGGUUUCUAUAGACGUUUCAUUAAAAAUUUUAGCAAAGUUUCUAGACCCUUAUGCAAUUUACUUGCUAAGGAUGUACCUUUUAUCUUUAAUGAUUCAUGUCUUAUGGCUUUUGAAAAAUUAAAACAAUUGUUGACAUCACCACCCAUCAUUCAGGCCCCAAACUGGAGCUUACCAUUUGAGCUCAUAUGUGAUGCAUCUGAUUAUGCAGUAGGAGCAGUAUUAGGACAAAGAGUUGAUCGAAUUCCCCAUGUUAUUUACUAUGCUAGUAUGACAUUGAAUGAUGCACAGUUGAACUAUUCAACUACUGAAAAAGAAAUGCUAGCAGUAGUGUUUGCAUUGGAAAAAUUUCGAUCUUAUCUCAUUGGUUGUAAAAUAAUUAUAUUCACAGAUCAUGCUGCUCUUAAAUAUCUUCUCACAAAGAAAGAUGCAAAAGCUAGACUAAUUCGUUGGGUGUUACUUUUGCAGGAAUUCGACUUGGAAUUCAAGGAUAAGAAAGGCACAGAAAAUGUUGUGGCGGACCACCUCUCUCGUCUCCAUUUUGACACAAUUACAGAGCCAUUAAUAUUAAAUGAGUCAUUUCCAGAUGAACAAUUAAUGAGUGUGGAAGUAUUACCUUAGUAUGCUGAUAUAGUUAAUUAUCUUGUUACAGGUAAAUUUCCAGAGCAUUGGACCAAGCAAGACAAGGCUAAAUUCUUUGCGGAAAUAAAGAAUUUCUUUUGGGAUGACCCAUAUUUGUUCAAGUAUUGUGCAGACCAAAUUGUUAGACGAUGUGUCCCUGAAAGUGAAAUUCAGAAUAUCCUUUCAUUCUGCCAUGAACAAGCUUGUGGAGGCCAUUUCAGUGCUAAGAAAACAGCGACUAAAGUUUUACAAUGUGGUUUCUAUUGGCCAAUUAUAUUUCGAGAUGCUUACACUUUCUGUUCUUCAUGUGAUAGGUGUCAACGAAUGGGGAGUAUUAAACGAAGGAACAUGAUGCCACUAAAUCCAAUUUUAGUGGUUGAGAUUUUUGACGUAUGGGGUAUCGACUUCAUGGGACCCUUUCCCUCUUCUUUUGGCCAUCAAUACAUAUUGGUUGGUGUUGACUACGUUUCAAAAUGGGUAGAAGCAAUUCCAUGUAGAACCAAUGAUCACAAAGUGGUGAUAGGAUUUUUGAAAAGCAACAUUGUCUCACGCUUUGGAUUCCCUCGAGCAAUAAUCAAUGAUGGUGGUGCCCACUUUUGUAACAAAGCAUUCAAAGCUCUUUUGACAAAGUAUUCAAUCACCCACAAAGUGGCGACCCCUUAUCAUCCGCAAACCAGUGGCCAAGUUGAGAUCUCCAAUCGAGAAAUAAAGCACAUAUUAGAAAAAACGGUGAGGCCAGACAGAAAAGAUUGGUCAUUAAGACUUGAUGAUGCAUUAUGGGCAUAUAGAACGGCUUUCAAGACCCCGAUUGGGAUGUCACCCUAUAGGCUAGUGUAUGGAAAGCUUGCCACCUACCUGUGGAACUCGAGCAUCGUGCAUAUUGGGCCAUCAAGAAAUUCAACUUUGACAUGCAGCAAGCCAGCUCAGAAAGAAGAUUACAACUGGUAGAACUUGAAGAAAUUCGCAAUGAUGCAUACGAAAAUGCCAAGAUUUACAAGCAACGAAUGAAAGUCUUUCAUGACAAGCACAUUAUGAGAAAAUUGUUCACUCCAGGUCAGAAAGUGCUUUUAUUCCAUUCUCGUUUGCACUUAUUCCCAGGUAAGUUACGCUCUCGAUGGUCUGGUUCCUUUAUUGUUCAUACUGUUUUUCCACAUGGGGCAAUUGAAAUUAAGAACCCAAAGAACGGUGUCACGUUUAAAGUUAAUGGUCAAAGAUUAAAGCCAUAUCUAGAAUACCAACCACAUGGAGAAGACACCGAAAUAAAUUUGAGUGACCCACCAGAUUUGAAUUGAUUUGUUUUUUUCUUUUCGUUGAUUUGAUUUUUCUUUCUUUCUUUUUAUUAUUCUUUUGCUAAUUGAAAUUAUUUUUGCAUAAGUGUGUUUGUCUAACUAUUAAGUUUUCUCUUAUCAUUUUUAAUCAUGAGUACCUUACUUAGACCGUUCCUCCUGAACAUUCUUAAACCACUUCAACGUGUCAAAACUCAUCUCAAAAGGCAGAUUCAAUUUUGUAAAACACAUCGCAUUUGGGCUCUACAACCACCAGAGUUAGUAGCCUAUGUUGAGGGUUUAGAACGCCAACUCAGAGAUAUUGAGAGAAGUGUUUACGACAUCCAGUUGGAACUUGAGGUAAAUUCAAUAAGAGGACGAUUUUAAUUUUCUUUGUGUGUUUUGAUUUAUUUUUCUGUUUGUGUGAUUUAGUUUGUUACCCUGGUGAAGUGGCGGAUAACGGUACUCCGUGACAAUCAAGUCGGAUACUUCAGUUUCCCAUAAUAACUGACAUUCUGAGGUGAAAGUAUGGACAGAAACGAGAUUCUAGCGAAGCUUCACAAGCGAUUCCCUUCACUUCCUCAGAAUGCCCUCUUUACGAUCUAUAAAGCUCGGUCUGAAUGCAUGCGAUUACUCAUGAAGAAUAACAUACCUGCUGACAUCUGUUGGUUAAUCGAGGCUAAAGUACGAUCGGCAGGUGAGUUACCUCCAAAAUUUAUUGCAUUCAUGCCUGGUUGUGGUAAAGGAAAUUAUGCAAGAAAACGACGAGCUCGAAGAAUUUCUGUUGCUUGUCAUAAGUGUGCCAGAAUGAGUUGCGAUAGAAACCCAUGUUCUUUAGGAAUGGUGUCUGAUAACAGGGAAGAUAAGAUUCAAUUCAUUAGGGAUGGCUUGAAUAAGGAGUCAUUGGAUGAUAUUCUUUUGUCUCUUGAAACGCAUCCCAGUGGAUAUGUGCAAGGAGCGAUUCUCCAGUUGUGGCCAUUAUUCCAGGAAGAGCAUGCACGAUAUAGUCUCGGGAAUCUGACUAUAAACGACCAUGUUUGCCAGUUUAUAAGAAAACUGGAUAGGAAGCCUAUCCUCGACCCAUAGAGGGCGUUCAAGCCGUUUCUGGACGUAAAACUAGAGGAAGAUGUGAGCCACAGUCGCAAUUACGUGUAAAUAUCAUUUUACUUUACUGUUAUUUUAUUUCAUUUCACUGUUGUUUUAUUGUUUGCAUUAUUGUAUUUAAUAAUUUUAUUACUGUUUGCUUUUUCCUUUUUACUGUUUCCUUUUUGACUCGCAAGCCAUGUGCUUCACGCGUUAUUUCACACUGACAUCUUACCUCAUUCACAGCUGUGACCCACUAUCACCAAGAUUCUUAAAUGUGAUUUAUCUUUUGUCAAGCACUCACAAAUUGUUUUUGAGAAGUAUCACAAUGGCAGCUACUCCCAAUAGACAAUUCAAAAACAUUUGUGUGCUUUCUGGAUUUACCUAUGGCAAACAUAAAGAGUUCGUGGAGGCAGCCAUAGAUCUUGGUCGAAGCAUAGCAGCGAGAAAAUUACAUUUGGUGUAUGGAGGAGGUAACCGAGGGUUAUCAAAAAUGGUCUCGGAAGCAGCUUUUAUCAGAGGAAGUCAAGUGUUAAGCAUCAUCCCAAGAGUCCUAAAACCAUUGGGCAGUUCGUCUGACUCAUCAACUGGAGAAGAGUUAGUCGUCUCAGGUAUGCAAGAAAGAAUAACUGAAAUGCUUAAUCAUGCUGAUGCUUUUAUUUUCCUUCCAGGAGAUCUUGCAACACUAGAGGCACUUAUGACACUAGCAUCUUGGGCCCAUCUACACAUUCACCAGAAACCCAUCGGUUUGUUAAAUGUCAAUAACUUUUAUGAUGGCUUUAUCGCAUUUCUUAACCAUGCAAUAAAAAACUAUUUCAUUCCUUCUAAUGUGAAAAAACUCUUUAUUUGUGCUCACACUGCUAAUGAGCUACUUGAUAUGUUACAAGCUUAUAAACCGAAGCCAGACCCCUGGACCUUUGUGUUGGAGCGACCAAAUAAUGAUGGUAACAGUAGCCGCAGUAAGAAGUACAAAUUAGAUUUAACUCUCCGCCUGUAAAUAUUUUCUUCUGUGUUGCACCACCCAGGUGAUGUCUUCUAAACUCUACUUCUUUCCUUUAAAACAUUGAGGACAAUGUUUCGUUCUAGUUGGGGGGAGAGAAUAGUCGACAAUUGUGGAAUCUUAGUUAAGUUUUUACUGAUUUUUUGUUGUAGAAACUAACUGUUGCUAACGUUUUGUGUUGAAGAUGGCUGAAUAUGGAGUGUAGUGACUCUAGAAACGUAUCUUCAUCGUUUUAAAAAAAAAUUAAAAAAAAAAAUUCAAACAUUUUCUUUUUCUUUAUUAUGUGUUUAUGUUUAUUUUUCUUCUUUUUAAUUUCUCCUCUAUAAAUAUACAUUUUCCAACUUUUGAGUCGAAGAUGGCUGAAUAUGGAGUGUAGUUCCUCUAGAAACGCAUCUUCUUAAAAAAAAAAAAAAUCAUUUUCGUUUUCUAUCAUUUUACGUGUAACUUUUCUAAUUAGUUUUUAUGCAUCAUUUUCACAUUUCUGCAUGCAUAUUUUCAUUUCAUGUUUAGAAUAGGUUGGGGGAUAGAAUGUUGUUUAAAAAAAAAAAAAAUUGUGUUAUUUGUUUUAACAUUGGAUGACAUGAUUAAUUUCAAAUUUUAGUAUUUGUAUUAUCUUUGGUCUUAAGUGAUGUUACGCUAUGUUUGCUACUUUACAUGUUGAUGUCGGAGACAAAUAUGAGUUGCUUGAAGGAAUGAACAUGUCAUAAAUAAGUGCCAAGUGAGUUGUUGAGCCUAUCAUUUUCUUGGAGAGUAACCCUUUUGCCCAUUCUCUAUACAGCUUAGUAGUUUAUUAUUUUAUACACGAUCUCUAGAUUUCUUUUGAGUUAACCCUUUAAAAAAAAUGGUAAAAUUAAAAAAAAAAAUGUGUGUUGCUACAUUGGGAGGCCCAUCUAACCAGUAGAUAUGGAUAAUUAUUUAGAGCCCUAAAAGACGAUGGAAAGGCCAUCUUUGAUCCGUUUGAGCCUUUCUAGCCAUCCCUUUUAUUAAAUAUCCAUAGUUACCCCUUUUGAGCCUUUAAAAAAAAAAAAAAAAAACAUUUUCUUUGUCAACUUAUCAUCUUGACCCACUCCGAUUUGGAGUAUUACCCGAUGUCUUAUAAGUUCCAUCACCUAUUUAUGUUUGAGAAAAUGUAAAUAAUUAUGUUGUUCAGUGAAGUUAUGCCAAAUAAAAGCCAAAAAAAAAAACAAAAAAAACAAAAAAACAAAAGUUGUUGUUUCAAAAGAAUAAAAUAACAAUAAUAGGUGAAAUCCACCUUGCAACUUCAAAAAAAAAAAAUAUAUAUUUCUGCUUUUUUCUCAAACAUACACUUUGUUUCCUUAUUUCCUUUCUUUGUUAGCCAUAUCCCUAGCCUACGUUACGUCCUAAUAAAAGUCCUUCUUGAUUUUAGGGAACUAUAGUUUGAAGUAGAAGCUAGUUAUAUGGGCUAAAAAGAUGUAGUGAUGCAUAAUAAAAAAAGAAAAAAGAUAAAUAAAGUGGGUUGACUAACAUUUUAUUUGACUUGAGAUCGUAUUAUUUCUAAGCUGAGGGCAUAUUUAUUUCAUCUUGGUGAGAGCAUGUGAUAUCAUUUCUUUAUUAUUUUCUCUCUCAAUUACCAUUCAUUGGAGUGACUAUGUUUAUUGGGUUUUGAUUUCUUUGUGAGAGUGUCACUACUUCCAGUGAGAUUUUGGGGUUUGACAUGUCAUUCUUGAAAGUAGCUAUAACAAAGUCUACUGGGCCGAUUCAUGUGGAUGGUUGAUGUGGGUGUGAUAUUGCUUUAGACUGGAGAUAAUGCUUAUACUUUUAUUUGAUUGCUAUCAUUAAUCUGAUUGAAUAAACACGAGUGUUUCUAAAAAUAUAUAUAUAUAUAUAUUUUGAAUUUGAAUUUUGUUUUCGCUUUAUUUGCUAGGGACUAGCAAUAAGCUGGUUGGGGGGUGUGUUGAGUGUUAGAAAAUACAUAUUUAUAAAAGGAGAAAACCGUCAUUUUACAUUUCAAGUCUUACUAACAGCCCUUACUUUUAUAUAUUUAACCUUCUUGUGAUGUAAUUACGUGUGUGUUAUUUUAAUUAAGUAUUUUAUGUAUUUGAGGGGCAUUAUAGUCAUUUCACAAUAAAGGAGAAAUCAUACGGCAAAACGGACAUCACUUUUGAACUCAGGACGGUCGAAAACCUUAGGAGGAGCAUAAAAGGAAAAAUGGCACUAUUCACAUGUACGGUACUAUUCACGUAUACGGUACUGUCUACGUUACUGUUCACGACACUGUUCACAUACACGGAUCGAUGACGUGGCAUUGACCGAUGAUGUGGCAUUGACUGAUGAGGUGUCACGAUCCUGUUGGACUAAAAUUCUUAUGUACUGUUGACGGUGACGUGGCAGCAUAUCAGUGGACGAAAAAUCUCGCGUACGGUGCAUGCAUCACACAGGAUUAUUUUCAACCCAACCGUGUUACUGUUCAUCCAGGUCAAACCAUGUUACUGUUCAUCCACGUGGUCAAACCGUGGACUGUUGACUGAUGACGUGGCGCAAUCCUGAGCGUCCAAACUAUUUUUAAUCCGAUGGCCAUGAUUUACUCCAUGUAUCUAUAAAAAGGGGGCCUCCCCCCCCCCUAAUUUGAUAUCUCUUAAUCCAUUUUUGGGAUCCAUUUUCUGUAAUUCCCUCUCCAUCUUGUAUUUUCUUUGUAUUUUAAUAAAUUCCCAUUUUGCCCCUAGUUCAAUUAUGAGUAACUAAUUUUCUUUCAAGCUUGGGUUGAAGGUGAAGUCUCAACAUGUGUCAUGGGCUUAAUUUGGUAAAUUUAUUUUCUCUUCCCCUCUAGUUUUUGUGGAUGUUUUGACUUCUCGUCGACAAAUAAUAAUAAUCUUGUCUAGAUACCGCCUUGGUUACACCGGCUCUCUAGUAUAAGGUUAUUAUUAUUUGGCACGAUAAGCCCUUAGCACCAUAUUGAUUAGAGCGUGGUUCAUGAGGUGUGGAUUCCCCCCUCAUGAUUUAAUUGGCAUUAAUACGGAUUAUUUAGCCCAUGAUGCAUGUUGAUACGGAUCCAGAUACCCAAGUACGUCAAUUUAAUCGAUUUUCUCUACAAUUUAUUCUCGCCAUUGCAAUUCCAAUUUUAGCAUAUUUAUUAUCGUCAUUUCAAUUCCAAUUUUAGCAUAUUUUAAAUCACUUCCACCACAAUUCCAACCACCCAUUUACAUAAUUAAUUCUACACACAAUUAAAAAUCCACCUCCUCGUGGGAUCGACACUCAUCACCAUUGAUCUAUACUACAAUAGAUUCGUGCACUUGCGAGUACAUUAAAAUUUGCACAACAAUGACUCUAAUCCAACGAUUGGGAUUUUAAAACUGAACAAUGAUGUGAAGUGGGCAAUUGUACAAUGACGUGAAGUGGGCAACUGUCCAAACCCGUUUCAGCUACCAAAUUAGUUUUAGGGUUUUAUAAACCCUUGCUCGUAUUUCAACAAACGUCAGUGAAAUUUUUCAAGCAGUAAUAUUUUCUUAAUUCUGGAUAACUGUAACUGAAGCAGUGAUGCCGCGAAUUUUUAAAGUGGAUUAUGGUGACUUGUAGUUUGUUGCGGUAGUAUUGAAUGAAACGAAAGGGAUUGCGUAUACUAAAACUUAAGGUAAGUGUAUUUUUAAUAUGAGAUUUUUUAUGUGAAUCAUUUUUUUAUCAUAAUAUAGUUGGUAGGAAACUAGAUUUCAUACUGAUAAUGGAAAAAUUGGGGAGCAAAAAUUUUUUUUAAAAUAAAUUUAUGGAUAUUUUCUCAACAAUAUAGUAAUGUUUAUUUUAGUAAUUUCAUGUAUUAAAAUGAUAUUCGAAUCCAUAGCAAUAAGUCCCAGUUAGCUUGGGUUUUAUUAAGUUUUACAAUGAACAUUUUCAAAAUUAGGAACAGGAAAAUUAAUAUUCCAACAACCAAUAUAGUAGAGUCCAUGGUUAGCAUUAAGAUGGUAACACAGGCAAAUGAUACAUGCUUACCCUUCGUUCCAGAUCUCCUCUGUUUAUUUUUUCCCCCAAUUUUUUUGUUUGUUUUGGGGUUAAUUAUAUGUAUUUGUUUUGUGCUGGACUAGGAAUGUAAGCUGUAUGAUGCUAUGAACUUUAGUUUGAUUAUAAUAAAUAAAGGUAUCGUUGAAUUUCAUAAAUUAAGUUGGUGGGAAGUAAUAAGCAUAAAUCAUGUGAGAUUGAUGGCGGUGCUAGAGAAGUUGGUGGUGAUCAAAGCAUUAAAGGAAGAAUAAAAUGGCAAUGUCGUGAUGAGUUCAUAAGACAUUUGUAAGCUUAGUUAAAGGUUCAUUAAAAUUUAUAGAGAUACAUAAUUUCGCAAUCAUAUGAUGAUAUUGCAGCGGUGAAGUCGUGCAUGAGGUUAAGGCAAGUGAUGGAAUGACUUGCGUUACAAAAGAGGUAUGUGAAGUUGCACUAUAAAAAUAAAAUGAAUUUGUAUUUUCAAGUAGUGAACGUGUAGUUAGUUUAUUUGCCAUGAUUGUGUACUGGACGGAAUUGAAUCCAUGUUUAAGAAUUUACCACUCGAAAGAAAAUGUCAAUACAAAGUCAAUGCGAAUGAAUAGUGAAGUCAGCAGUCGCAAAGGCAAAGUUCUUAACCAUAUGUACUCCAGAUAGAUUAGCGGUGGCAGUUUCACAGCUGACAGAUGAACAAAGAGUGGCUGCUUGUCAAAUGGGCUUUGGUAGUUAAUUGAGAUGAUUGAUACUGUGAGGUGCAUUUUAGAGUUGAAUGGUAUUAGCUUUCGAACAAGAUCAUCAAAGAAACUUCACCAACCAGGAAAUUUAGACUUAAUCUAUGCUCCGCAAAUUCAAAUAUUCUCUAAUAUGAAACUUCUUUUAUGUGCUUGUAGUAUCUCGACGAAUUAAAACUUGCUAUCAAAGUUCUUCCCCCCUUCUUCUUUCAUUUAUACUUGCUGCACCAUUUACUUCACACUCUGUAAAGCCAGAUGAAAGCUUGUUCAUUUAUGUUCACUUGCCAUUCAAAUGCAGUGUUUAUUUCAACUGUCAAAUUGACUACUUGCACGUAUUGAUUUCAGUCGAAACAAGGUUAUUGGUCGAUCAAGAAAUUGAAUCCAUAUGGCCGUUCCAGCGUUAUUCAACCACCUAAUUUCAAAUAUAUGAAUUAGUUCAACCCACUUCAGUGAUCAAAGGCGUGGAACAAAUCAUGAAAGAUUUUUCAGCUAUCAUAAAUUCGAACGGAUGUAGUUUGUAUCCUUUCAGGCUUAGACAGAUUUUCCUUCCAUUAACCUUACAGUGUUGUAAUUAAAAAAAAAAAAAAACUUACAGUGUUAGUAAUCUUAUUACUUGUUUUACAGCUACAAUAGUAUGCCGAAAUUUUUGGCUUUUGAUACAUAAACUUGUAUGUAAUGUACAUUUUAUUGUUCCUUACAACUUAAUUGCUGCUAAAAUAGUUGUUUCAACUAAUAUAUUUAUUGUUAUAAUAGAUAAACAUUUUCUUGCAACUCAAACAGUUCUGAUGGCAUGAUUUGCCAUCAAACGGCAACUUCGUUACAGACAAAAAGAGGGGUACAGUGCCCGGCGCACCGUAGGCGCAGCCUAAAAAGAUGAUUUAGUCUCUCCAAAUCUUAGCACUUUAACCAAAAAUAUAAUAAUAAUUCUUUACAUCAUCAUUCAUUGCACUUGUAAAUCUGAGGGAUUAGAAUUCUGUACUGAAUUUAUUUUUUAUUAAAUAAAAAAUUAAUGUUAAAAUUUAUUUUAUUUUAUUUUUUAUCUAACUAUCAUUGACUUAAUAUUUUGGAUCUUUAUCCAAAGUCAAGGCACAAAAUUUUUAUUCUAAAUAAAUAUUCUCAAUAUAAAUUUAUCACUUAAAUAAUAAAUGAUACGAUUUAAUAUUAAUUCUGUCGUCAUUACUAAAAUGAAUCACAAAUUUUACAUGACGUGUAAACGUAUCAUUAUGUUCUCGAUAUUUGACAUAUGAAUUAUAAAGCAACAAAUCUAUCAUAUUUUUAUUUCGGUAUUGUGCUUCUCUAAAUAUAACCCUCUCCAAAGCAGCAUAAUUCUUUUCAUUGUACCCAUUGCUUCACUUCCUCUUUUCGUCAACGACAAUGGGUAACUUAAUCUCAACCUUCUUACCAGCAGACUUAUUUGAUCGAACUUCAAACUGCGUUGGUGAACAAGCAAAAUAUGUAUGGGGCCUCGAAAAAAAUCUUCGGGUCUUGGAGACUGAAUUGCACAAAUUGACUCGAGCAAGGGCCGAUCUGAAGACCAAGGUUGAGAUCGAAGAACAACGACCUCGAACCAGACGAACGAACCAGGUCGCAGGGUGGCUUGAAGAUGUGCAAAAACUGGAAACUGAAUAUACCGAGCUGGAACGAGAUAGAGCUCAAGAAAUGGAUAGACUGUGCCUUGGAGGCCUCUGUUCCAAAAACUUCGUUUCAAGCUACAAUUACGGGACUCAGGUGGUCGAGUUGACGGAUCGAGUGAUCAAUUUAAAGAAAGACGGAGAAAAAAUUGAAGUCGUUGUUGAGAAGGCGCCGGAUGGUGCAGCAAUUGAAUUACCUCUUGAUCACACGGUUGUUGGUCAAGAACUAUUACUUGGUCAAGUUUGGAGAUGUAUCACUGAUCAGGAAAAGAAGAGGGGAAUUAUCGGCUUGUAUGGUAUAGGGGGAGUCGGCAAAACUACCCUUUUAAAACAAGUCAACAACAACUUCUGCCAUCAACAGCAUAAUUUUGAUGUUGUUAUCUGGGCGGCUGUGUCAACACUUCAAGAUGACAUUGGAAAAAGGAUUGGCUUUUCAGAAGACAGAAACUGGAAGGAAAAAAGUCUUCAAGACAAGGCUGCGGACAUCGCUAGAAUUUUAAGCGGAAAGAAGUUUGUGUUGUUAUUGGAUGAUAUAUGGGAACGCAUUGAUUUAACACAAUUGGGUGUCCCUCUUCAAAAACUAAAUGAUGGGUCCAAAGUAGUCUUGACAACUCGUUCAGCUGGUGUUUGCGAUCAAAUGGACGCUGAAAAGGUGGAAGUGUAUAGUUUGGCGCAUGAUAAAGCCUGGGAAUUAUUUCAGGAGAUGGUCGAUAGAUCCACUCUUGAUAGUCAUACCAGUAUUCCAGAGCUAGCCGAAGCCUUGGCAAGAGAGUGUGGUGGGUUGCCGCUAGCGCUUAAAACAGUGGGUCGAGCCAUGAAAAGCCAAAGGAAAGUUGGAGAUUGGAAACGUGCAAUUCACAAAAUGACAACAUCAGCUUCUAAAUUCUCAGGUAUGAAAGAAGAGGUGUUUUCGCGUUUAAAGUUCAGCUAUGAUAGUUUGUCUACGGACGAACUUCGUUCCUGUCUCCUGUAUUGUUGUUUGUACCCUGAAGACUCCGAAAUUCCUAAAAGGCAAUUGAUUGAUUACUGGAUUAGUGAAGGAUUUGUGUGUGAUUUUGAUGAUGGAUGCGAUUUUAUUGAUGACCUUCUUCAAGCAUGCUUAUUGGAGGAAGAAGGCGAUGAUCAUGUAAAGAUGCACGAUAUGAUUCGUGAGAUGUCAUUAUGGAUAGCGUGCACGGUAGACAAGGAGGAGCAGAACUUUCUGGUUCACGCUGGAGUUGAAUUGACCGAAGCACCAAAGUUUGAAGAAUGGGAAGGUGCCAAACGGGUAUCUCUGAUGGGAAAUGGAAUUAGGAGCUUAUCGGAAAUUCCCACGUGUCCGCGCCUCGUAACUUUACUUCUGGGUGGAAAUCGGAUUGAGGAGAUUACUGAUGGCUUCUUUCAAUCUAUGUCGACUCUUAGAGUAUUAAGUCUACGAAUAAAUAUUUCCCUAAGGAAACUACCCUCAGGUAUACGCGGGUUGCCGCAAGAGCUGAAGGCGUUGGAGAAGUUGAGAUAUUUGAACUUGGACUAUACACGGUUUUUGUCUAUAAUUCCACAUCAGUUGAUAUCUGGCUUUUCAAAGUUGGAGGUACUCAGGUUGUUUGGGUGCGGUUUUUGGGUUGUAACAGAAGAAGAAGGUAACGUUCUAUGUGAAGAUGCUGAACCUUUGAUGAAGGAAUUGCUGGGUUCGAAGCAUUUAAAUGUUUUAAGCUGGACCUUCCGAAGUUCACUUGGUGUCCAAAACUUUUUGAAAUAUCCAAAGCUGGUGAGCAUCACUCAAUCUGUAUUGG